UUUUUUUUUAAAAAAAAUAUAACAAAUAAAAAAAAAUACAUACAUAGAAUAAUUUUGAAAAUAGAAAAAUACGAUCGUGUAUAAUUCUUCUUCUAAACGAUAAUCAUCAUACGCAAUCGUGUACAAUCAUGAUACGCGAUUGUGUAAAUCGAGUAGAAAAUGAUACACAAUCUUGUACUAAAUCUAAAUCAUUCUAGUUUAGGAUUGUGUACCAAUAUCGUUUAAAUUUGGUUCAUCAUCAUGUAUCCAAAUCUUACCAAUAUCCUUAUAAAAUAUUUAUAUUUGGUAAACGAUUUUGUAAAUUUGGUAUAUGUACCAAAAUCUAAACAAUCGUGUACAAAUAUCCAACUAUUUUUGUUCAAUAUCGAGUAUCAAAUAUAAAUAUUUUAUAUAUGAUACAUGAUUUUAAACCAAAUAACACUUUAACAAAAACAAUACAAGAUUGAUCAUUAAUUGAAAACAAAGAUAAUGAUUUCAAAAAGAAAAAAUUGCAUUAAACUAAGAGAAAAAAUAAGAAAAAUGAAGAAAGAAAAAAUUUAAAAACGACAAACGCAAACCUAGAAUAUUUUAGAAAAUGUCCGAUCUUAUUAACAUUUUAAUUUUGUUACAUGAACAGCCAUAAAUAUUUUGUUGUUUUAUUAUAUUUAUGAAAAUUAACUAAUAUUUUACACAUCAAAAUGUUAUAUAUAUAAAAAGCGUUAAAAAUGUAUUGACAACCAGAAGGAACUAAUAGCAUUUGGAUUUUGGAGAAUAGGUCAGUGUCAAUAGAAUGUGGUUGAGUUAAUUAAUAAUAAUGAUGUUGUUAUUAUUUAGAUUUAAAUUUGAGAAUAAUACUAAAUUAAUUAAGGGAUAAAUAAGUGACAUACUAAACUCAUGUGAAAUGAAUAAACUGACUACACUGAUUAGUUUAAAUAUAAUUAGGUUAGGUUUAAAGAAUAAUUAAGUAAAAAGAAGUUGGUUUAAACAACUCAAAUCCCAAAAACAAAUCUAAAAUCACAGUGGAAAUUUCAAAGGGGCAAUCAUACUUAACUUCUGUUUUAUAGUAAAAGCCUAAACCAAAGUUCAAAGUUAGUAAAAGCAACUCAUUCAGGAAUAUUAUUAUUAGGAUUAAACAAAUUAGAAAGAGAAAAAAAAAGAGAUGGGUUUGGUGCUUCCACCUAUUUCUAAAGUAAAGAAUCAAUUCUCCCCUUUAAUAAGAAAGGUUGAUCCGAGUAAUUAUUUAGACUUCGUUUCGUAACUAUUUCAAUCUUUUAAUUUUUUUAAAAUUAAAAUUAUUUUCUUUUCAUUUUUGUAAAAUAGACUCCACUUUAGUAAGGAAUGUUGUUUUAAUAUUCUACCGUUUUAUUAUCAUUAAGUGUAGAAUAUUAAAACAACGAUACCGUUCUUUUUGUUACUAAAAUUAAUUUUGAGAUCUAAAUUAGUUUCUACCAUUAAAACUUUCAAAAACAUCUUUGCUUCUUCUUCCUCGAAAUGAAUAUCUUUUUGGAACUUUGUACAGAAAAAAUCUACUUCUUUUUUAUUUCUUUUCUGUUUCUAACCUACAGUUUUUAUUGAUUCCAAUUCAUUCUUGGACAAGUACACAUCUGAGUUAGAGUAUUGUGUGAAUUUUGGAUAGCAAUCGACCGACGUUUUGCUAUUUAUUACCAAGGUUGCGUUGUUCUUGCUUUCAUGACAAUUGUCUAUAUAUUCUAUGACACAACAACGAUCAUCCAAUCUUACAUUUAGUUCUUAUAGUUUGAAAAAAAAUCAAAUUUUGGUUAUGAUGAUUUAUAAUUUGAAUUUAGCUAAGGUAUACCGUUUGAUUAUUGAUAAAGAUGAGAAUUUUAUCGAGGCAUAAGAACUAUUUUUAUUGUUUUUUUAAAUUAAGGCAUAAGAACGGAUCAAUUAUUCUUUUUGACCAACUAUAGAAACAAAAUUUAAAACUUUUAAAAUUAGUUGUUUUAAAUUUGACUUUGAGUUUGAGAGCACUUUAAUAGAUAACAAAAUAUAAAAUUAAUAGAUGAAAUAAUUUUUAUAGACUCAAUUUUAAUUUUUUAGGUAAAAAUAUUAAAAUAUUAAAAUGAUUAUCAAAGUAUGGCCUUUUGAUAAAACAAAGUAUAUGUCAAUAGUUGUACUUUGAGUAUAGAUAUAUCUCCGUUAAUAAAUGGAAGAUAAACAGAAGAUACAACAAAAUAAGAAGUAAACAAAAUAAGAAGUAAGAACACAACACAUUGUUAACUAUCUAUGUCUAGAGGGUUCUUGACUUGAAAUCAAAGAUUUUGUAUUACUUUGAAAUAUAAAUCAUAAUUACAUCCUUGCGAUCAUAAGUACAAAAUUUACAAUUCAGUUUUAUCAUUUUGUACUAAUUAAGUGAUUCUAUAUCUUAUUAAAUAGUAAAUCAAUCACUAAUAUCUUUCCUUUAAUUAUGUAUCUCAUCAAUCAACAUAUUAAUGUGUUAUACGUGAAGCUCUCACCCUUAAUCAAGUAUCAUAUCAAUCAUCAAACUAAGGUACUCUUAAUCUUCGUUAUCGUGAAGCUUGAUCUUCUUCUUUAAGAAGAAAGACUUUUAAAAGUCUUUCUAUAUGAUCUUCUUCUUUAAGUCGAAAUACUCUUCGUACUGAGAACUUACAUAAGAACUUACUUUGCUUCUUUGAUUACCACACAGAAUACGAUCAAUAUUUCGUUUUUGAUGCACACCCACAAAGACACCAAAGACCAUGAUAUAUAUAAGCAACCAAGAUUGUGCCAAAACCCAUGGAAUGAGGAGAAGCAGAAUCUUAGAAACAAAUCGUUUUCUAAAAAUCAUAUGUCGAGAGAUAAAGACUCUAAAUUAAAAGAAUAUGUACUUAGUACAUAAUACUUUUGUCAAAGAAUAUCUUUUAAUAAAAUAGAGGCUUCAAAUCUUUGAAAAUAAUAUCUUUGCCACGAAAACUUCCAUGAAAGAAAUUCUUAAUAAAUAUUUGGACACGGACCUACCCAUUUUAAAAGACCUUAAUUAGUUAUUGUCUUUUAAAACAUGAUAGUGCAAUUUAAUCUCUAAAAAUCAUUUUAAUUUAGAGAAAACUUAUAUUCUAUGUCAUACAAAUUUAUGUGUUGUUAUGGGAGACGUUUCUUCAUGCAUAGAUAAGUUAUUUGAAGUAAUUAAAACGUGAUCAGGGGCUAACGGGUUGUUUAAGUUUAGAAAUUGAAGUUAAGAGAUGGAAAGUUGUGAAAUUCACUCUUUACUUCGUCCAACGAGUUCAUUGCUCCAAUUUUAAAAACUAACAUAAUUUUUGUGUUUUAUUAACAUUUACAUUAAAGUGAGAGGAAGGCAUAUGUGGUGUUGUACAGUCGAUUUGAGCACUACCACUGAUUCUCGUGCCCUUGGGUUGGGUGCUCAAAUGAACGACGAAGGAUUUGGUUGCGACUCAAGCUCUUGUUUGUCUGGGUUGUUUUGGAAGUUGAGGCAGGAGAGGUGAUGGUGAUUGUGAUGGAGUCACUUCUUGCUGAAGCUUGCAGUUGAUGAGGAAGAAUCAUUCAUGUCUUUUGCCCUUUUCCUUUUUGGUGUUAUUCAUACAAAAGUUUAUUAUUUUACAUUUUCAACCUCAGAUACACCGACUCAAUUUGAACAAGCGGCAUCAACCAAAAUCUUGUCCCGUCUACCGACUAAACUUGCCUGCAAACCGGGCAAGCAUCUCCAUACCAACCUCAUGAUCAGACCCUUGUUACACCCAACUCCUCACCCUACAAAAUUCGUUCACAUAAUUAACCACUCACUGACAUUUCACACCUUCAAACUCGUCACACACCCCUUAAGACGCUAAGUAUUCCGAUCAUUCCACGGAAACCUUAGCACCCAACACACCACACCGUUCAAAAUCGUAGUUCGAAAAGCUCAUUCAACAACGACAGCAAACACAAUUGCAUACCAAACAUAACGCAGAAACAUCCAUACCUCUCUCGAUCAGCAAGACAGGCUAGUGUCGAGAGAUCUUAGUUAUUCUUCUAAUUUUCGACGGUAUACAUACCUUCCAAACUCGAGUUCAUCAGUUUGCCACCAAAGAAACGUCAUAGCUAUCUAUACCAACUCCGAAUACUAUACAGCGUCUUAGAAUCAUAAUGCCACAUCCUGCAGCCACCACUUCAACUUGUCAUGUUUUAUAUGUAUAUGACUUUCACCUUUAUUAAUAAAGAAAACAGUUUAAAAUGCUUUAGGAUGAUGUAAGCAAAUUAAGAUCUAAAUUAUAACAGAGAGUAUGAGUGAUGAUGAUGCUGAAAGGAAGGUGUGGGCAUAGAUUGAGUGUAAAAGGUGUGUUCUUUAGGCUUAAGAAAUUGGCACAUUGAUUGUGGAAUCAAGUUGAAUCGUUUUUUUUCUUCUUUUUUUUUGGCUUUUUAAUAUUAUUCCCCAAUAAGCAUCUUUUGAAAAUGUUUGAUUUCUUUUAACAUAAGUUAAGGAAAAAAAACUAAAUCAUGAUUCAUUCAUUUAUGAUACAGUUCUGAAUUUGUGGAUAUUCAAUUAAUAUAUUAUAAUAUAUGAAUUUGAUGAAAAGAUUAAGAUAAAAUGAAUUCAACUCGUUGCGAUUAUCUCAUCAACGAUUUAAUAUCUUACGAAUUUUCUUUCAUAUCCUCACAUGUUAACAGAGAUUUACAAAAUUAUUUUGACAAAAAUUAAAAAGGUAAUAAUUUACAUAUAUAUUUAACAUGUGAGUUGGUAUAUUAAUUAUAAGUUAUAAAUUUCUUAUUUAUGAAACUUAUUUUGUUCAUAUGUUUUUUUACAAACAUUAAUUAUAAACCUAAAAAGUUGAAUGUAUGUUUGUGAAGGGCAAGCAUCUGUAACUGAUCUAACUCUUAACUCUAAAUUAAAUUCAAAUUAAACUAUGAUUAAAGUGAAACAUGGGAUAGAAUGUUUAUUUAAUAAUAAUUUGAAAUUGAAAUAGGUUUUAAUUUUUUAAUACCACCUUUUAAAAAGUAAUUAAAAAGUAAUGAUUAUAUAUCGAUCAUGAUUAUUCUUCUUUAUUACCAAUAUAGUGACUUAAAAAAUGGUGAGUGGUAAUUUUAUGAAUUUUGAAAAUAUAAAAUUAUGUCCGACUAUAUUUAAAAUAAUAAUAAUAAUAAUAAUAAUAAUAAUAAUAAUAAUAAUGAUAAGGUUUAGGUUAUUUAGAAUAAAUAAGGAACCGACAAAUGUGAUUGGCCAAUGAGAUGACAAUCCAACUAUUUAUUUAAUAUUCACACCAUACCCUUCCCUACUCUUUUUCUUUCUUUUUAAAAUCAAAUUUAUUUUCAAACAAUCAUAUAAUUAAUAUAUCAAAAUACCCUUUCAACCAAAAACAUCUUUGUCAAUUAAUCAUUCAUAAGCUAACUCUACAAAUUAAGAGGAAAUUUCUUUCCUUUUUUAUGGUUGAAUUUUCAACUUUCUUUCAAAAAUAUUCUUUUCGGGACUACUUCUGUUAAAAUAAAAUGGAAAACCAAAUUAUUAAAAAGAUAAAAGAUUUCGAUGCAUAUUAUAUCAUGUCAAUUUUCAUUUUUUAUUUUAUGAAAGAAUAUAGUUUUCAACAUAAUUUGGAAGUUAUUAGUACAACUACUUUUGACUAGAAGACUCAAUGGUUCAAAUCUCCAUCUCUAAUUUCAAAGUUCACAAUUAGUUAUAAUUGAUAUAUACACAAGUUAUAUUAGGGUUCAUUUUGUCUUUUUAAAAAGUUUAGAACUCUUCAAAUUCAAGAAGUCAUUCAAAUUCAAGAAGUCAUCAAAACAAGAUAAACAAUUUUGCAUCUUUAAAAUAUGAGCGAGAUAAUUUGAGAAAGUAUCUCUAAUAAAGUUGUAUCUAAUAAUACUUAUUAAGGAUAUUCUUAAUCUUUUAACCUAAGUUUGAUAAUUAUCGAAGGCGAUUGUGAUAUAAUGUUCGAAUCGUUAAUUGUUUUUUCAAAAGGAAGUCCACUCUCUAACAUCCACACCUAACAUAUAUAUGUGGGAAAGAUCCCAAGCAAAUCUUAAGAUUCAUUGAAAUUUUGAGGAACAAUAAAGGGCUAGUGGUCAAUGUUACAAUUUAACAAAAAAUAUAACAUUAUCGAUAGAUAAUAUGAAAAGAUUCUAUUUCAUUAACAUUAUAUUUUUUUUCUUCUUAUUCAUGUGUUUAUUAAAAUAAUUGAUGGGUUUUAUUUGAUUACAUUUUUCAAUUUUGCAAUAUAAAAUUUUAACAACAAAAGAAUCCCAUUCUUUAAAAAUUAAUAAUUGGUUUUGUCCUUACAUAUAAGUGGAACACAAAGCAUGAAAGGACCAUAAGGUUGUGCAUCAAUUUUGGUCUCAUCUUUGCAAUUAUACUUGUUUUAUAUAAAUUUAACUUACAACACAUGUUGGGAUUGAAUGAAGGAUUUCAUUCCUUUCUCAAACAUUAUUUUGAAUAAAAAAAACUUUGAAAGUGUUUUUUCUUUUUAUCAAAUAACUCUUAUUAUAAAAAAUGCUCCACUCCAACAUUUUUGUAAAUAUAGAAGAUAAUUAAUCUUAUCGAAAACUUAAGGAGCAUGAUUGGGAUAAAGAGUAAGUUACUAUAAUGUAAUUGAUUAUUUUAAUUUAGCUAGAGGUGGUUAUUAUAGUCUUGCGUAAUCUUCGUCUCAAAUGACAUCUAAGAAGGUUGAUGAUAGAUAUGUAAGAUUUGUAGUACGGAGUUGAAAGAAGGGUAAUGAAGUAAUUUUGUUUUGAAUUAAAAUAUGUGGAAAGAGGUCAUAUAAGACAACUUUGGAAUUGAAAGAAAAAAGAGAAUUAGGAAAAUGGAGAUUUAAAAGUGCAAAAAAUGGGAUAAGAGAGAGAAGAAAGGAAGUUUGAAAAUGAAAAUAGAGAGAGGUUUUUGAGUUGGAGUAUUGGAGAGGCAACCAAACCCACCUUUUGUGUGCAGCUGUGUUUUGGGUAUUAAUUAAAAAAAGAAAAGAGUAUUACUUUUCCUCAGCCUUAGCUUAGCUCUCAUAUAAAUUAUAAUGUUAGGUAUAUUAUAGCUGUAUUCACAAGCAAUCACAUGCACUUUCACCCCUUCCAUCUAUAUCCCUUCUCUCUCUUUCCCCCUCUUUCUUUUCUUAUAUAUAUAUAUAUGUAUUUCUUUUUUAUUUCUCUUCUUUGGAUCUCUCUAUUCUCUAUUCUCUCUCUCUCGUUAGACACAACAAAGAUUUUCAUUUUAGUUAUGCAUUGGACUCCACCCAUUAAAGUGUUCAUAUACCUAAAUCAAAGGACUACAUCUCAGAUAACUUGGUAUCUUUAACUAUGGAAUUUGAUUUGUUUUAGUACAAUCAUAAAGGGUACCUAACUAGAAUUUUUGUUUUUUGUUUUUAUAAAUGUUAUGAGUAUAAUUAUAAUUGCUUGCGAUUUUAUGAUUUUAAAGUAAUAGAUAUUUCAAUUUGUAUUGAAAAAAUUAUUAAUAAAAUAUUGUUGGUAUAUAUAUUGGUAUUUAUUUAAUUUUUUUUAAAAAAGGUAUUAUAUUAGAUGUAUCGGUAUAAUAUAAAAUAUUUGACCUACAACUUUUUAGAAAUAUUGGAACUAACAAGCUAAGCUUUUGUAUAUACAUACAUAUACACACUACUAGUUAAGACUAAAGUCACAUAAUAUUUAUUUUAUAAAUAUUUUUAAAAGUUUUAUUAUUUAUGAUAAUCUUUCAUAAAGGAAAAAUGAGAGUGGCACUUUGAAUUGGUUUUAAUUGAAAAAAAGUGUAUUAAUUACAUGUCUCGUCAAAAACAAAGUAAUGAAUAAAACAGGAGUUUGGGAGAUUUAUUUGAUUUUAUGUUGUUUUGACAACUAACAUUCUACCAUUUAUGUAUUUAAUAAACUUAUUUUACUUACUUUAAAAAAAAAAUUGUAUUAAAUUCUGUUUAUGCUUUUUUUAGUUCAAUGCAAUUAUGGUGGAUUUAGCUGUUAACUAUAAUGUCUUAAUUAAUUAAACUAUGUUUAAAUUAAAGCUUUAUCGCAAGCUUGCAACAAUAGGAAGGAUUGUUCUUAAAAGUAUGAGCAAUAGUCGUUGGUGCAUAGGAGUUGGUUCUAUUGUAUUUGUUUUGAGUAAUGAUAAGUUAAACUAGUAGUAUGAUAAUAAUAUAUAUGAUUAUUAACGAUAAAGAAAGAUGUGUUAACCUCGACUUAAUUAACUUAAUUAGUAGUGGUUUUCUUAUUUGACUUAAUAGUGGGGGAAGAUUGGUUUGCUUAAUUUUCUAAAUUUUUAACAAUGUGAAGAUUUGAAUUGGAUUUAAGAAAUUUUAUAAUAUAUUUACUGAAAAAAGGUAGUUUCAAGUUAGCACUUACAUUUAUUCUAUACUAUGAAUUUCAUAAUAAAACAAUUUACUUUGGUCUGAAUUUUGGAAUAUAAAAAUUAGGCAAAUAUAAUCAUUUAAUUCUUGUGUGUUGCAUUUAAUAUAAUGUUUAGGCCAUAUUCAUUCUAAAAACUAGAUACAUGUGACUCAAACCACAACUCCACAUGCCAUCUUUUGUAAUUCUUUUCCUUUUUUGUUAAAUGUAUGGUAGAAAUUAAAUAACAUGACUAUAAUUUAACUUUUUGAGAAAAAUAUAUAAUUCAAACAUUGUGUAUUAAUUGUAAUGUUAUACUUUGGGGGUUCAAACAAAUUAUGAUGAAUAGGGCAUGGUGCAAUUGGUUUAAAGGCUCUAAACAUGUAAUUAAUUAAUAUAUAAGAUACAAUCCAAUUACACAGUAUUUUAUUGGCAAGAUUCUUUCUCCAUUAAAACUCAAUUAUUUGGGCAAUCAUGAUCGUAAUUCGUAGCAUGGUUAUUUUAUAAACUGUUAAUAAUAAGGUUUAAAUAUCAUUUUGUUCUUUGUAUUAUAUAUUUUGAAUUUCCAUUGCAUUUAUAUAUAUAUAUAUAUACUUUUUAUUGUUAAUUACGUUAAUUUUGUGUAAACUUAAGAAGUUUUUACUUACAACAAAAAAAUAAUUUCAACCUUUUAGGGAAGAAAUUAUUCAUUUAAAAAUAAGAAAAAAAUAUUAAUUAAUUCAAUAUUUACAAUUUUAUAUUAAAACAGAGAUCAAUUAGAUUUAAAGUAUUAUUGUAUAUAUCAUAAUAAAAAAUUACAUAUAUAACAAAAAAAUUACUUUUGGAGUAGUGAUAAAAUAUAUCACUAAAAUAGAAGUUUAUUAACCUUUUAAUUUCGAAUAUCACGUUUACAUUAUGUUAUUGUUGAUGUUGACUAAAAUGUCAAACAAUUUUUUUUUUCCUUUUAUUGAGAUAUCUCUAAGGUCAUUUAAAUUUUAGCAUACAUAUAUAUAUCCAUCUAAUUAUUAAAUGUCAUUCCACAUUUCUCAUAUUUCUUAGUAUAGUUAUAUAUAUAUAUAAAGCAAGUUUUAUACGUUAAGUAAACAAUUCAAACUUUAUUCAAUCAAUUCUAAGUAUAAACAUAUUUCCUUUUUACAAUUCAAUGUCUUGAAUCUUGAUUAUUUAAAGUGGUCAAAAUGGAUGGGUUCAUCUAAUAAAUAACAAAAAUUAGAGAUUAGAGUAUUUAGAUUUAGUCUCUAAAAAGUAUUUAGAUUUAUUGUUUAAACAUUUUCAACGUGAAAAAUUGAAUAUAAAUAUUUUAUAUAAAAUUUUCUGUAAUACAAAUUGAAAUCUAAGAGACCAAAAAGCAAAAAGAUGAAUAAAAAUGGUACUAUUUUAAAAAGGUGAACCUACCAAAAAAAAAGUUUGUGGUCUAUAAACCCUAAACCCAUAACUAUAAAUGUUGAAUAGUAGCUAUAUACUCUAUAAAGUUUAAAUAAAACCUCAAAACUUUGGGUUGCAUUAUUAUGGCUCUCUAAUUAACUCAACCUUAAAAAAAAAUUGACCACAAAGAUGAUAAAGAUUGAAGUAUAGACAUGUUGCCUCUUCAAAUCCUAAAAUAAACAAUUAAUUAAAGUAGUGAAAUACAUUUGGUACUAAUUAAACUUUAAAAUAUGUUGAAUUUUAGUUUUUUAAAUUUUACUAUGGUCUAAUUUUAUUUCUUAUAUUUAGACUAUUCCUAUUUUUUUAAUAAUUUUUUUCUUUUUAAAUCUAUGAGUUCUUUUAUUAAGUAUCCAAACUAUUUAACUAAUUUCGAUAAAAGUUAAUUUUGAAUGACUAAAUUUAAGAUCUACCAAAGACUUUGUUUGGUGACAAUUUUUGUUUUUUACUUUUUGGUUAUGGACAAUUAAAGUAAAAAGAAUCAAUUUGACCACUAAAUCUCUUGGUUUGGUAUUUGUUCACGUUUAUUAAAACAAAAUAAAAACCUAAAAAUUAUAGUGUUUUAAACGAUAUUGAUAAAGAAAACAACUUGUCUAUUUAAUAUGAAUACCAUGAAAUGAAAAAAGUAGACAUAAUUUUUGAAAAGAAGAGAUAAAAAUAAAAUGAUUAGGAAAUGAAAAAUAUAAAAACAAAAAUUGAAAACACAUAAAAUGUUAAUAAUAAGAAGAAGAAGAAGAAGAAUAUUGGAAAAGAGGUUCCAAAAAGUAAGGAAACCCGACCCGAGGAAGAGGGUCGAAGAGAGGGAAUGCGGGACCCAGAGGAGACACGUGGAGAGAAAGGAAGGGUCUAUCCAAUAAAAUAACAAUUGGCGUAUAGUAAAGCGCGCUUUAUCUAUCCACCUGUCUGGACGAGACGUGUCCCACACGGAUAAUGCUUAAUUCCUUUCUUUUUUUUCAACUUUUUUUAUUUAUAUUUUUCUUUAUUAAAAGAAAAAAGAAAAAAGAAAAUAAUAGGAUAUCCGCAAACCACUUUGGUCCACUCCUCUAUCCAUACUCUUACGCCUCUCUCUUCACCACAUUUUUUUCUUCAAUUAUCCCUCUUUUUUUUUUUUUAUUAUUUCUUCUUCUUCUUCUAAUUUUCCCAAUAAAUUACAAUUACAAUUACAUUCAUAAUUUAUUAUUUUCAAUUUAUUAGGUCCACCAAAUUGAAAUCCCCCCCAACUUAAUCUUGAAUAUGACUACACAAUGCACAUCCACUAAUCAAUCUUAUUUUAUUUUCAUGCACAAUCAUUUUAUUUACCUUUUUCUCUUCCUUUAUAAUUUGUACUAUCAAAAAACCCUUUACAGGUAUAACUAACUAACUAACCAAAUUUAACAAAAGUUUCAAAUGAGUAUUUAAGAUGGUGAGUGAGUUAUUAUAGUUGGAUUACAACCAUUUGUGUAGGGAGUGUAGAUUAUUUUAGUUUGUGAAGAAAAAACAGUAAAAACUAUAUCAAAGAGUAAAAGAAAUAAAAAUAUAAAAGAGUUAAAAUGUUUUAAAUAAAUAUUUAUUGCACCAAAAUCAUGAGUAUAACAUAUACUCGAACAAUCAUUUCUGUAAUAGAUUAUCAAUCAUUCUCAUAAUUUUUUUAGGAAAAAAGUUUAGGAUUUUGGUUAAAAAGAUGAAGGAAAAGAAAAAAAAAAAAAAAAAGGAAAGAGAGAACCACUAUAUAUAUAUAUAUAUAUAAAAUUUGUUAGUUGAUUUGAAUAAUAAGUAAAAUAAAAAAAGAAAAGAAGGUUGCGUAUGGAGAAAAAAAAAAAAAGAAAAAAAGGGGAUGCCACGUGGCAAAAGGUAAGUUGGAAGGGAGUGGGAGUUAUUACGUUAAGAAGCAGUCUCUCUCGAUUUUUACACGGAAAAAAAUGGAAAAAAAGAAAAGAAAAAGAAAAGGGUUUUGGUGGGUUUAACCCGAUAUAGCCGGUUACCGUGAUGGCUGUCCACCGGUUGUGCCGGUUUCGUGGUCAAACAUUUUAGGAUAUAUGUCUGUAAGAGGUUUUAGCCACUGUUUAUGUUCUUCCUUUUUUCUUUUCUUCACAAACACCACCCGGGGUUUUUCAUUUUCUCUUCUCCAAUUCUCUCUCUCUCUCUCUCUCUCUCUCUCUUUUACCCAAAUCAAAUUUUAAUUCUCAAUUUUCUUUCUUUGGGAUUUGUGUUCUUAAAAAUUUCAUGGAUCUCUUCCCUUUUCUCCCCACUGGAUUCUGGAUCUUCCCUUUCAAUUCCCUCUAAUUUUCUUACAUUUCUCUUCUUCUUCUUCUUCUUCUUCUAAUUUCAAAUCUUUAGCUCCAAUUUGGAUCUGGGUUUGAUUGAAUCAUUAGGAUCCUUCUUCUACAGGUGAGUUUUUAUUUUUCCUGCUCAGAGAUUUUCUCGGAGUUUUGGAUUUUAUAUUUUGGGUCGUGUUCUUCGGGUUGUUUGGUUCUCGCAAAAUAUGGGAAUCUGUCUGGAUUUUGCUUCUUCUUCUUUUUUUUUUUUAAAUGGGUUUUGGGUUGCUUGUGGUGUAUUUCUGUCGGAAUUUUGAACAAUCGGGUCUCUUCAGAAAUUGUCUCGAGUUCGUAAGCUAUGGUUUUGGGUUUAAGAUCGGAUCCAGUUGAAUUGUUUGAAAUUGGUUUGGUUUCGGUUGAUCCGAUCUUCUCUGUUUGGUUUAUAUGCUUCUUGAAGCAAGUAACUUAUGAAUUGGGGUUUUUGAUUUGGAGGUUUUGGAAUUGGGUUUUUUUUCGGAAUUCUGAAUUUUUAGUGGGUUUUCCAUUUCUCCAAUCUCUAGUUGAAAUUUUGAUUUCCAUUUCAAGUUUAUUUGAAUGUUUUCUUUCAUUUCUAAAUCUGGGGUUUUUUGUUUUUUGUUCUUGCUGACGUUGUGAAUUUUGGGAAGUCUUCCUUUGCUUAGAUGGGGUUUAACAAGGGAUCAUUGCUUUCACAUUGCUGUUGUAAUGCUAAUUGUGGUAGCCUUUUUGUUGUAUUCGUGUUCGUGUUUGGCUGUAUAGAGUUUCAAAUUUGAAUGAAUCUGUUGUUUUGAUGAUUGGCAGUGAAACUGGCGAAUCUCUCUGCGUUUGAUGAGUUUUUACCACAAUGAAUGCCUAAGAUAUGGUGAUGAAGAAGAGAUUGGAUAAUGGAUUCAGUGGCUUUUCAAAUUGGACCGUGCCCAGAGGUCCGAGAUCUCUUAGAGUGAGUUCAAUUUCUUCUUUAGAUCUCUCUAUAUAUCUUCACUGUUCUGUUGAACUGGUACUCACGUUUUGCCUUUGAUUCUAGAAGAAGGUUCAUCGAAAGAAAGAUUUCGAAGAUGGCCAGAUCUGCGCAAUUGAAUUGCUGGCUUCUUUAGCGGGGAAGCUUUUGCAGGAUGGCGAAAGCACAGCAUGCAGUAAUACGUCGGAUGGAGAUCGCUCGGUGAUUGGCACAAAUGUCGUCAAGGAAGAACGGUCAAGUGAGGAGAAAGCUUUCAAGGUGGAGUGUUGUGAUGGUGGUAGCAGCCAAAGUUGUGAUCUUGAUUUAGAAGAGAAGACUGAUCAGAAGCAAAAUCUGAACAAACUCCAAUAUGUAGAUAAUAAUACUGUUUUGGAUUGUACUUCAGUCGUAGUAAAUUCUAACAGCUCAGACGAGGCCUGUGGUGAUGUUAAGCCUGUGAUCCACAAGACGGAAUUCGAAGAUUAUCGCACGAAACCAGAGGAAGGCUCCCCUGAUUUUCUAGAAACAACAAAUACUGGUAUGAACAUUGUUGAUGAAGAACAUGAGCCCAAAGGAUUUGGAAUCGGAUUUCAAAAGAUUACUCAUUCACACAAUUCUAAGGAUUUGAAGAAGUCCUAUGGAAAAUUAUCAACUAUGCCCAAUUCAAGCUUCAAAACUAAAUUGCCCUUGUCAACAGAUGCCAUUCGUAGUUCGUUUUCCAGAUAUAGGAAUUACCUUAAGUUAGCAAGUAGAGAUGAUGAUGAAAAAUUUAGGUCCAAUAAAUCUAGCAUUCACUCAAACUCGUAUAGGCCUCCAUCGCGAAUUGCAGGUCGACGAAUAAGGAAAUUACUGAAUUCGAAACACUGGAAAGUAGCUCCAAAGUUGAAGGACUGUGAGGUUGCUAGAUCUGGUGAGAUUUCUUGUUUCUGCCACUUUUGAGGUGUAUGUGUGAAAUAGUUUGACCACAUAUUUCAAGUUUUUGUCUUGGAGUGAAAUGUCUGUCUUUAUAACUUACAAUUCGUUUUUGCAACAGAAUCUAUAGGCGAAGAAACAAGAAACCCUUUUCGCAAGAGAAAACUAUAUUUUAACAGUGAGAGGUACCAGGAUAGUCUUUACAAAAGGAAGAGAUUUUUCGACCGAAGCUCCAUGGUGAAUUCUGAUGGAGGAAUGAGCAGUGAAAGCGUAACCAACUCUCCUGAAAAGAGCGUCCACAUCGAUAAGUCUAGUUUGGCUGCAAUAUUGCAUGGAGGUCCUUAGCUAACUUAUUGCUUGAAUUUAUAGUCCUUGUGAAUUGUAAAACUAACAUUUCUUUUCUCCAGUAAUCUCAUAAAUUUCCUUUGUGUAUUAUGCAGCAAGUGUUUCACCAUCAUCAGGUCAACAAGCAUCUUUCCUCUCCAAAGAUGCUCAUGGUAUGAAAAUUUCCUUGCAACUCAACAUCUUUCUUUCAUCUGUCUCGCAAAUUUGGUAUCAUGCGGUUGGUUCCUCAUCAUCUGCUUGGGGUUGUUUGACAGUGAAAUUUAGCAUUAGAUCUUUCAAGGUGCCAGAACUAUUCAUUGAUGUCCCUGAAAACGCAACUGUUGGUUCCCUGAAGGUAAAUGAAGUGCAGUUCACCUGAAUUUUUUUUUUUUUUUUUUAACUUAUAAACGCAAUGUAAUAACUUUCUAUUGAUGAAAGUGCCAAGAAGCCAUGAAUUUGUAAAUUGAACUUCUUUAAGUGAAUGGAAAAUGUUGGUAAAGGAUCUUGGAUUUUUCCUAAAGCAGUUUUUAUGUUGUGUUACUUUACCAGAAGAUAGUACUUGAGGCAGUAACUGCUAUUCUCAAGGAUGGAUUACACGUUGGGGUUCUUGUUCACGGGAAAAAGGUUAGAGAUGAUAACAGAACCCUGUUGCAGACAGGACUUACUUGUAAAGAUAAUUUGGAUACUGUUGGUUUCACGCUGGAGCCAAAUCUUGUGCAUAAUACUACACCAGCUUUGUGUUCUGAGGAUCCUCCUCAGAUAUUAGCAUGUGAAAUGACUGAACUUCCACCCAGGUAUUACCAUUGCGUUUAUUUCAUUCUAUCUUGUGAGAUUUCAGAGGGCUCGGGAAAUAUUUGCAAUUGUUUUCUAGCGAGUUCCUAUACUUGGGUCACUAGCUUCUGUCUGAUGGCUUAUAUGUUGUUCAACUUCUUUACAGCUCUCCUGUAAAUCCUGUUUCGAGCUCGGUAAUACUAGAUCUUGCCUUACCAAAUCAUUCAUUGACCUACUCCCAAAACCAAGAUGAAAAUAAACACGAACUGGUUACUACCAGCAUUGACAAGUUACCUGACAAUUCUUUACAAGAUUGCAAAGCUUUGGUUCCUGUUCCAGAAAUGACUAUGGAAGCAUUAGCUGCAGUUCCCUUGAAUCCAAAAUCUAAGCGUUUGGAAGUUGUACAGCGUCGAACCAGAAGACCGUUCUCCGUUACAGAAGUAGAAGCGCUGGUUCAGGCCGUUGAGGAGCUAGGAACUGGAAGGUUUGACAAUGCUCUCUAACAACAUAAUUGACCUUGUGCACGAAGCAUGAGUUAAACCAAUCUAAACAGUGUAUUACCCUUUUGCAGGUGGCGGGAUGUUAAAUUCCGUGCAUUUGAGAAUGCAGAUCACCGAACUUACGUGGAUUUGAAGGUGGUUUUCCAUAUCCUUAACAAACAUGUGUUAGGGUGAUCGAUGAUUACUUUUGAAAUAAAAUUUUAACCCAAUGAGGAUGUUUUACAGGAUAAAUGGAAAACCUUGGUUCACACGGCGAGAAUAUCGCCUCAGCAGAGAAGAGGAGAGCCUGUCCCCCAAGAACUUUUGGACCGGGUGCUGGCUGCACAUGCUUAUUGGUCGCAACAUCAGGCAAAGCAACAUGGUGGCAAGCAUCUUCAAGCUGGAGUCGUGAAGGCCAUUGAGGGCUCUAGCAGUUAGGCUUGUCAUCUAAAAGAAACUCCCACAUAUAAUGUAAAAAGGAAUAGUAGGUACAUUUGACACUUUGCUGUAAUCAAUCAAGGCAAAUUGUAAGCAUGAUUUUAAUUUCUUGUAUUCUCUCACACUUUGAUUCAUUGUUUAGCUUUCCCAUUUGGGAAGAAUUGUCAUUUGUAAAUAUGAUUCUUGUAAUAAUGAGAUUCUAACAGAAUUCUUUUCUGUGUUUAGACAUUCAGUGUAUUUAGUUUUAUUGUAGUCUAUCAAUAUCAUGAAACUCAACUGUAAAUCUUUGUUGGGUAAUAUUUUGACCCUAAAGUCUCUUAUUCCUUUUAUGGUUUACUGAAUUAUUAUGCUUACUAAAUCUUUAUAGCAUUCUUUUAAGCUAAAUAUGAAUAUUCUUAAGAAUGGACCAAAGUGAGAUUGUGUUUAACAUUGUAUGUACUUCAUUAGUUAACUGAAAAGGUGGAUUUUGAAACAAUAUAGAUAUUAAGUUUCUAUUCAUGUCAUCACAAUAUCUAAUUCCUUAGAACUCAAGGCAUAGUCGUACAGCCUAAAAAACAGAUCUUGUUCAAGCAAGGUAGUGGAAUCUCAAGGUCUAAUUUUAACGAAGUUAAAACUUCAAAACCAAAAUUAGCUGCUCAAGUACGACAUUGAAAAAUGAAACGUUCACCUAAAAAUAAACAAAUGAAAUGGCAGGUAAUAUGCAAAGAACAUGUAUUAAUUAUCGACAUUAUAUAUUGAAACAUGUCAGAUCAUGAGUAAGUAGUAUACAACAAUUAAACAUGAAUUAUGAAAGAUACGGCAGCCAUCAUCGAACUUAAAUUUACUAAAGAGAGUACCGUAAUUGGUAUCUGCGAAGCCAAUCCUCUCCCUUCUCAUAAUAAUCCAACCUACUGAAAGUCUGCGUUGUGAAUUGUGAAGCAGCAGCAUAAACAGAGGCCCCUCGCCAUGCAUCGAGAAUUGGAUCCAGCGCUCUGACCACCCUAAUAGGUGAUCCACAUGGCCUAAUCAUCCGAAUUCCAGCCUCUAAGCGUUCCCUUAUGCCAGGAAAAAGACAACUCCCUCCUGUAAUGAGUAUUGAAUUGGUUAAUCUUUCUGCAAUAUCGUCACUGUAAGAUGGCAACCUACGUAAUGAGACGCCAGUCAUUUCAUCCAAUCCUGUCUGAUCAACUCCAAUCCAGUUGGGAUGAAAUAGAAUUUCAGGACACCGAAACCUUUCGACCCCCAUAACUAUCUGGAAGUCUUCCUUGGUAAGUGGACGAAAUUUUGGCAAUUCGGUUGUUUGAACAUCUGACUUGGGAACAAAAGAGGGGUCUAUGUCCUGAUAAGAGUAGUAUGGCAUUAGACUUGAAAUCAGUAAUAGGUAAAGCAGACUUGUAAGUGGGUACUGACCUGAAGCCUAGAUGAUAAACGAACCAAUUCAGCUUCAUCCUCAUCAGGGCCUUCAUCGUCUUCGUCAUUGUUAUCUUUGCUCAUAAGUUUAUAAAGCUGCCAGUCUUCAUCUCUUGCACCAAAGGUGUCCUCACCCUUCCCACGAUCAAAGGCUGCUGUUGUUAAAAGCCGCAUUCUCUCUCUCUGGGCAGCGUUCAGUCUCUCACCACGUCCUACUCCUCCAGACACAUUAUGCCCAUUUGUAUGGCCUCCAUUAGUCUUGAGUCGUUUUCGCUGCUCCACUUUUUCAGAAAGCUCCUUGUAUUUGACAUGCAGUUCCUCUAAAUAAAGCUCAGGAUUCUCCCUAGAAGAGAAGAAAUAUGAAAUGGAAAGAAGGCAUUAAAAUAGUAAUUCAUAGCAACAAAUGCAGUAUACUAGCAUCGUAGUCCUGGAACCAUUUAACUGAACAAUGGUAACUUCCAGGACAGCAAGCACAAUAUUAUUAAUAAUUUGAGUCCUCUGGAAACUAAAAUUGUGAAGGUUGGAAGACAUUGGUACGCACAUUCUCCUUUCUUCAUCUAGCUGGUUUCUCCUUUCUCGUUCCAACUCUAUUUCAUAACGUUUCUGCUUUGCACGCUGCCGUCCUUCAGAUGUGGUUUUGAGAAACAAUUGUCUUCUUUUCUCCUUGAGCUGCCAAGGAACACGAUCAUGUUUAGAAAAUGUAUUGACGGUUGUGAACAAUAGAAAUAAACAAAUGUAUAAAACAUUCAGGCCCUUAUCAUGCAUAUACAGCUUUCUUUUACCUGCUCAGGUGAAAGCACGUCAUCAGGGACAUUGAUGAGAUGAAACUUCUCAUUUAUAGCAUCAGCAUGAUCCUCAGCUUCCGCUUGCUCAUCCUUCGGUUCACCCUUUGCUUUCCGCAAAGAUUGUGUUGCUUUGGUCAGAGCAGACUCAAUUUCUUGCUUAGAGAUGUACCCAGUCUCUGACAAGAAAGAUGGAAUAUCAUCCUCUGCCACUUGCACAAGCUGAUGCAAAAGAAACUCCAAACCACGCACUUCAUUUUCUAGCUCAUUGAUCCUUGAAGAUCUUUUUGCUUCAGCCAUUUCUCUCAAUCGUUGCCCUUGUUUCUCCUUAAUUGCAGCCUUUCUCGCAAUCUCUUCUUCCGAAGGAGGCUCUUCAGUAGGUGGUGGAAUCCAUGGGAGCUGCCAACACCUAGUUUUCUCUUCUGCUUCCUUAGUCCCUUUCUGUUUGUAGACAUAGUAUUCAUAACUGAAUGAUGCAAUGAUGACGAUAACAAUAGUAAUAAAGCCAAGAAGGCCACCUGAAACAAUUGAGCCUCUGAUGCAUAAUCUGAAGCUAUAUAGCAAUGCUCCAUCUUCAGAUCUUCAACCUUCUCCCAUGUGAAUCGGGCCCUGUUGCAUGAACUAUAAGUAUGACUUUUUUUCCUUCCUUUUUCCCAACUUUCACCCACUAUACAUGUUAAAUGAAUUGAACUUACAUAUGAUGAGGAUAUUUUAGUGAAAGAAGUUGCUUUAGAGAAUCAGUCACAUGGUAUCCACCAAUAUUCGUUCUGCAGCAUCCUUUAUAAACAGGCUCCCCAUCAAUGAACUGAUAAUGAUGACCAGUGAUAAAACUAUCAAAGAUUAUUAAAAUCAAGUGUCCAAGAGGCAAUUCACAAUAGCCAAUAAUAAAAACUAUGCAUGAUUAGCACAACUAGAAACCAUCAUAGUCGAGAGAAAAUGCAAUAAUACAUAAAGGUUGAAAGAAAAGAAAAUGCAGUAGACACUUGGAUCAUAAACAAGAAAGUUCGUAUAGACUAGAAAUGAUAUCAUUACCAACUCAAGCAUUGAUAAAGUCAGAAAGAUCAAUAGCUGAAUCAACACAAGCAAGUAAGCUCAUACACACAGUGACAGCCAACACAGAAGUAGGAAAACCAACUUUGACCAUGUAUUUAACCCUUGUUGAAUCGGAAUCAACAACUUCUCAAAUGAUAGAAAGUAAAACAACUCAUGAACUCUAGUAAGAGGAUGAAAGAACAAAGCAAACCGGAAUAACGUGGCUUGCGGUAAAUCCUGGGCAUAUAGCAAGGCCAUCUUUAUCACAUAUCCCAAGUUGUUGGUUGUACAAAUAGCUGAAUGCUGCAUCAACACCAAAUGCUGCAGUAAUGGCAAAUAAGGUAAGUAAACCCAUUCAGCCAAAUGUUAUAAAUAAAUUUAAUUAUAGCUUAUGUCUAGAUGUACAAGUCAAACAUAAUAUAUUAAGUUUUAAUCUGUAGCAGCAGAAAAGGACGGCCACAGCAGUAAAGAGCUUGAAAACACUACUGCACAAAGAUUACGAUUCUCAUCCGUUAAUUCAAUAAGGACCAUACCUAUCGAAGGAACUCCAUAGGUUUCAAAUAAAAGCUCUGCCAUUUUACUACGAGAUUGAACUGGAUUGCAUACACAUUCUGUUAUCAGGACAGGGUGAUCAAUCUGCUCUGCCCUCAAAGGAACAUAAAUCAAAUUAAGAAAUUCAUUGAGAACAAAAAGUUAGGGACAAGUAAAGACACAUUAUUUGAAAUUGUAAGGAAAAUAGAUCAUCAAAUUAGUGGGAAAGAGAAAGAGAAAGAUUCAUUGAAGUUAAACUUGUAAAACAAAGAAGAAGAAUGAAUAUUGAAUCAUAAAAACUAAUGCCUACCUGUUUCACCAAGUGAAAGUUGUAUUCUAUACCAUCAUUAAUGUCUAAACUAUUUUGUAAUUUCAAAUCCAAGUAAAGAUAAUGACUUAAAAUUCAUUUCACCACAUAUAACCUCCAAAGCUGCAAUAAGGACCCCCAGUUGUUGAUCAUUGCAAAAAGAAAUAACAUAAUUUCGAAAGCAAUUUUCAAAUAGUGCACCCAAAGAGAAGCUAUGCUAAAAUACAUAAAAUUUCAAAUCUCUUCCCACAAAGCAAGUCCUAUUUAGACCCGAUGUUCUUUCCUAUUUUUUCACAACCAAAUAUUCCAAAGAGCACAAAACCAAUGCGCCCUAGCCAAGAAAGCUUACUCCAUCAUCAUAUAUGUUCAAGCAUAUGAAAUAAAGAUAUGCCAAAAGUCGACCAAAAUAGAAAGAUUAAUGUGAGAAAUAAAAGGUACCUACAAAAAGCUUGCUCCAUCAUCAUAUUUUUUCAAACAAGAAAGCAAUUAGGUACGACAGAACAAGGUACCAGAAAGAGGUUGAAACUUAAUGUUUGCACAAUUACCUCUGGUCCACUUGCUCCAAGUCGAUCAAAUCCAAAGUCAAGAACCUAGAAGAUGCAAGGAAAUAUUAAAAAGCUACAACCUUAUAUUCUCAAGGUUCAUUUAAGUAUACACGGGCAUGCACUGACACCAUUAUUCAAUCUCCAAAUACUUUUUACACUUUUCUUCUGUUUCCCACCUAUGAUUAUCUCCGAGAUACAAUGAAAUUAACAACUUCAGACAAUGCAUUUAGUUCAUAAAAUUAGAUCGCAAUUUUCCUUUUCAUUCAAUGAGGGACCUCUUAAAUGAAAGUGUUUGUUUUAUAAGUCAGUUGAACUAUGCUUAGGUUGGCAUUGGCUUGUAUGUAGGUUGUUAUUGGCUUGUAUGUAGGUUGUUACUAAAAGUGACAAUAGAUAAAACAAAAAUCCAACUUACGUAUUCCAUAAUCUCAAACUGAUAAACAACAUUGCCAUCAAAAGCAGAGCGAGGACCUGAACGUGUGCAAUCAAAGUAUUUCAUCAAAGACGGAUCAUGAUCUCCAACUAUAGUAACCGUUUCACCUGAAUUGCAAUAAGAAGAACAGUAGAUUACACUUCAGUAAAGAACAAUACAUUUUCCGCACAGGUGGAAGUGCGAUAAGAAUAAGACAGUAACAUCUCCACAUAAAUGGACAAGUAAAGCUAAGCCCCAAUCGUAAAUACCCAUCAAGGAUUCUAUCUUCAUUUUACUUUGAAAGUGUAAAUUCUUCAAAAGUAGACCUACCAGUGGCUUUGUGGCGAGGUCUCUGGACAAUGUUACGGAAAAUAACGCGAGGGUCGGACUCUCCAGCCCAUCUGAAAGAAUAAAACAGAACACAUUUUGAUUGAACGUAAAAAGAAAAAGGAUAGAUUGUGGUGCUUAUCCUAAGAGUUGAAGCCAUGAAAAUGGAGACUACCCAAUGCGAAAAGCGGAGGCACCAUUGUCGAUAACGAUGGGAGUAGUAGAAGGGAAGUGAUUGAAAUCAGAUUGUCUCUGAAUUUCCGAUACGAAUGGCAUGUUUAACGAGUCCAAAAGCUGAAACAGAGAGAAAUUGGGAGUUUAGAAGAAGGUAUGUUCUUGUUUGCCCUAGCUUUGCAGCGAACUGAAGAAGAAGAAGAAGGAAGAAAAACAAAGGUGAAGGAUGUUUUCGGUUGUUGAAACUUGGAACAAAGCUGACUGGCACGGUCAAGAUGGAAGAAAAAACCGACGGUUUAAUUGAACCGGUCUUUGGUAAUUAUAGUAAAAUUCGACAUUUGAAUAUUUCGUUUCGUGGGUUCAUAAUUUAAUUGACGGAGUUACGUGUCGAUGACGGAAGUUUCAAUCUUGAUCUUAUGGAUAGUUUUAGAAAAGUAGUGGUGUUCAACCAAAAAAAUUAUCCAAUUAAAGUCCUCAUGUCAUCACACCCAAAAACAACCGUAAUUAUAAUUUGAUUUUGUUCGAGUAAUUAAAAUUUUUUAUAUCCGGCUCGAAAAAUUGAAUUAAAGAAGGUAACGAAGGAAAGUCCAAACUCAAGUCCACAAUUAAUGAAUCUAAACACAAGUCCAUCAAGUCCAAUCCUAAUAAGUAAGUAGGUCCAAGCCUAAACCCAACUAACAAAUAGGCCUAAGCCCACAUGAAGUCCAUAAAAAUUCUCUAUAAAUAGAAACAUUACAAUUCAUUUAGGAGAUCAUUGGUUGGAGCAAGAAAACUCAAUAAUUGAAUAUUCAAACUUUUAAAGUUCUCACGAUCAACUUUAAGGUUAUCAUCUUAUGAAAGAUUGAUAAAAAAAAUUGAAAGAUUAAACAUUCCAUCAAUUUCAUAAUAUUAACUUCAAACCACAACUGUUUAAAGAUUGAGGAGCAAGAAUUUCUAAGUUUUAAUUUAUAUUCGAGAUAGAGUAUCAAAUGAGUAAAUAUUGAAGAUUGUAUCUACUAUACUAUAAAUCAAUAUACAAAGUUCAAAUUCCACAAACUAUAUUUAUCUGAACAUGUCGUGUAAAUAAUUGGGGAAAAAAUAUAAUGGUAAAUGAGCAAUUUAUGAUCGUUUAUUUAUUAUAUCUUGCAAAUUGUCAACAAUAUAAUAUAAAUAUCAAUUCACCUUUUAUACAAAUGUUGAACUUAUCAGAAGUGGAAUAUAUUGAAAUGUUAAUGAAAAUUUAAUGUCAUAUCCUAUUAUAUAUUAAGUUGGUCUUUUUUAGUACAAUAGUUGUAGGAAGAAGGUUUGAGCCUUCCACCUCUAGGAUCGAAAAGCAUACUAAUUAGCACGGAGCUAAAUUCACUUAGGUAUAUAUUAAUCAAUUGGUCUAAUAGACAUUAUCUUACAUAAAUCUCAAAAUUAAUAUUAAUAUAUAAUCUAAAAAGUUGAUUGGCAUUUUCAAUCUAUCGUAAAUAGUACAUAUAGAAUAUGUAUAUUGGUGGUUUUAAAAAUUAAGUUAGUAUAGGUCUUAAUUGAUGCAACGCGGUGAUAUAACUGGGGGCUAUUUGGGUUUAUCAUUGUGGAGUUGGGUCACCCUAACCUUAACCCUUGUUUGGGGUCCAAUUUAUGGAAAUUCUAGUUUUAGGUUUACAUAAUCAUCCCAAAUCAUUUUCACACUACUUUUCACUGUGCAUAACACCCCUUCAAAUGUGUAAUGCUUCAUCAUUUUCUUCAAUGUCCAAUCUCAUCUUCUUUCUCUUUUACCGUUUUUGUCCUUAUUCGUUUUUCUCUUCAAAAAUCUUCCUUUUUCACCUCCAAGUCAAUAGAGAGAUGCAUGUAAAGAUAUAAAUUAAUAUUUUCAAAUAAAUAUAAAGUUGUUAAUAGACAAUGGAAAAUGUCAUUAUGUUAGAAUUUUGAAUAUAAUGUGAUAUUUACUCUAAACAAAUAUCUAAAUAUGUGUAUCAUUACAUUCAUUUCAAGUCUCAAAUUUCUUUUAAAAUUGUAAUGAAUUUUUACUUUAGUAGUAGUUAUGAACCAACUAUAUAGAAGGUGCUACAAAAUCGACAAGUAAAGAAUAAAACAAAAGCAUAAAAAAAAAAAUCGACAGACAAAUGUACAUAAUUUACUAAUAGUGUGUUAGCUACGUUCACAAGCAGAUAAACACCAAUAGUACUAGAGAAAAGUGUUUUUAGAAUGUAAAUAGUGUCACCACGGCUAAAGAGUUUAUAUAUAUUGUACACUUUUUCUAAAUUUCAUGAUCUAAUCAUAAAAAUCCAUAAAUAAUUAAAUACGUUGAUACGAAUUUGAAUAGAUUAGUUGUUCGUAGAUCCAAAUAAAAAAUUUGACAUUAUUUGAACAAAAGGUUGAUGCAAUAUUGCAACUUUGAAAACAAUAAAAGAGUAUAUGAAGAGCUAAUUAAGCUAGUUAUUAUAGCAAAUGGUUAUUAUAAUAUAUGGUUUUCAAAACUUCUUUUUAACCUUUGUCGACAUUUCAUAUUGAAUAAUGUGAUAUUAAAUUCAUCUUUAUCAAUCAAUAUAAACUUUUUGGACCAAUAAGUGACAAACUUGCUUCAAGAUUUUACGAGAGAAUUGUCUUUUCUAGACAUCAAAUCUUUUACCAACUUUUUUUGUUGUUUAAAAUUAAAAGAUACAUCGACGAAAAAUAUAAUGAAAAGUUAGAGGUAAAAUUACAAUUUAUGAUAUCAACUAGAAUUUAAUAUAAGUUUAAAAAGUUAUAGCAUACUCUGUAUGAUUUAAUCAAAUGUAAGAAAUUGUAUUGAAAUUUUUGUAGGAGAAUAAAUUUACCUCCUAAAGUGAAAAUCUAUCAUUGUAACAAAAACUUUAAAGAAAUGGAAUUUCGAUCCCCACUAACACAUCUUGUUUACAUUAUGUCAUUGUUGUGGAAAUGCCUAAGUUAAUAUGUGACAAAAAUAGUUAGCUAGGUUUCUAUUGAUAAUUUUGGGUGAGAUUGUUAAUUUAUAUAAGGAUAUGAUGUUGCAAAAUUUAAAGUUAUAGAUAUACAUUGUUGCGUUUGCGGGAGUAUCAAAACAUAUAUAUCUUUCCAUAAGAUGUUUUUUCGAUAAAGUUGUUGGAAUCAACGGGUACUUUUAUUAAGGUGAGCUUUGAUAAUUAAUCUAACUCGUGUUUAAUUUCCUUCGAUAUCAAUGGUUGUCAAAGUAGGUUAAACCUUAAGAAUUAAUGAUGUAUUUGCAUGUAAUGUACUUCAUGGUCGAAUGUUGUUGGCACAAGAGGGCUUGGUUGGGUGUUAAAGAAACCAUCGUACCAAUAUCAUUAGGUCAAAGUGUCACUAGGUGAUCAAGUAUUUAUUUUAUACUAUUCGAUUUUUAAAUUAAACGGAUGAAAAUCAUGUCAUCAUGAAGGAGGUUUCUCAAUUAGCUUCCUUAGUGAAAUAUGCAAUGUUUUAUUGUAUCAAUCAAUUGAAAAAUGUUACGUAAAUUAUAUACUUUAUUAGACAGUGAUCAAAGAAAACUUUACUUAUUAGCUUGCUAACAAUACUUGUUAAUUUCUUUAUGCUUUUAGAGAUACACGUAAGCUAAGCUCGGUUUACAAACUAAAUUUGUAUAACUGAAUGGAAGUAAAAAAUAUUGUUGUUGAUAUGGACCACCAAAUGAAGGUAUAUUACAAAAAAGGACAUGAUGUGUCAUAAUCAAGGUAAAUUUUAAUAGUUAUUUUAUUUCCUAUGUUGGUGAAAAUGUUAAUGAAAAUAAUGUGUACAUUGAAUACUUUUCCAAAUAGAGAUAAAACAAAAUAAAUUCCAUAGUAAAUAGCAUACUUGUAUUCAAUUAAUAAUUAAAUGAAAUAGUAAAGUUUUUUCUUAUCAAUUCACCGCAUUUCCAUUUAAUAUUGCGAGCCAAACCCAAGGCAUUGAUAAAAGCAAUUAAUCACUGCCGCUAAUACACAAACAAACGCGGGAGAACACACAUCAAUCCAACGCUCAUCAUUCAAAACCAUACUUCUACUAACCUCUUCAUCUCCCGACACGUCACUAAUCCCAAAUUCUUCCUUCCCUUGCACGUUCUUUCAAAUGUUAUAUCUUCCACAGCAAGUUCCUCUUACUUCUAAUCAUUAUAAAUCCCACAAACCCAUUCUCUCAUUUUCUCUAUUGCAAUUCAUGGCGGAGGAGACAGUGGAACUUUGCAGGACCCCACGACGGAGGAGCUGCAGGAUCCCGGUGGCAAUGGCGUGUCCGUCGGCGCCGAGGAAGAAGCCGGUUUGCUUGAAGCGGAAGGCUCCGCCGAAGGAGGGGUAUUUUCGAUCGCCAGAUUUGGAGGUUUUGUUUGGUUUUGUUACUCCAAGAGAAGAGGCUUGUACUUAAGUUCUUUUUUUCCUUUCUUUUGCAUUGUAUAUAAAAUAGAGAUUUAAUUUUCUGUUGUGUGUGUUUUCUUUAAAAUGCAUUUUAGAGGUUAGUGAUUUCGAAGAAUGAAUUUGUAAAAGUAGUUUUGGAAAUAAUUUGGUUUUAAUUUUGUGAAUGUUGGAAUUUGAGCCUCGUUAUCAAAGAUGGAAAAGGGUAUAAUAAUUAAUUUACUUGGUAGUGAACAGUUAUGGUAGAUGUUUAUUUAUGGUAUCAAAGAAUUGUGUUGUUUGUGUUUAGGUUUAGCAUAGCUCAGCCUCGUACACACUUCAUUAAUACAAUAUCUUUGAGAAAAUAAAUUUGGUUAAUUUUUAUUUUAUUUACUUAAUAUAGAAAGUCAAUGAUCUAAUCAAUCAAAGCCCAACUAUAAUGUAUAUAUAAAUCUUAAAUAUGAAUUUAGAUAAAAAAUAACAUUGUUAUUUUAGUCUUUUUGAAUUAUUUUGGUGAACACAUGUUUCUUAAUUAUUUAGAAAAUAAAUCUAUUAUUUUAUAUAUGAAAAAAGAGAUUAAAAAUCUCCCAACUUUAUAAUGUCAUGGAGAAAAUUUGUUAUUAUUAAACUAACAAUGUGAUUGGAACAUUUGAUUUGUAUUCGAAAUAAGUAUUUAAGAUUUUAACCUUUUCACAUCGGUAAUUGCUUAAUCAAUAAAAUCGAGUUUUGAGGGAAAAUUUUCUCGUAUAUGUUUAGAGGUUUUCAUUGAUGAGGUUCUAUGUAUCUUUUUCUUUUAUGUGUCGAGGUUUUUCGAACCAUUAUUAAUAAAAAAGAAUAUUUAUCUUUUAGUCUGUAAUUCAUUGAAAUUCAAGUAAAAGAUAUUGUAGCCGCCUUGUUUGAUGGAGGUUUUUGCUUUCUUGAUUGAAUAUGGAAAUACUAAAAGCAUAUCCUAUUUUCUAUUUACAUGGGUAAGGGUAUUCACAUCAUGCCCUUGUCAAGGAGAGAAAAUAAGCUUUAUAACUACACAUUCAUUUAUUUAUGUUUUUUUUAAUAAUAUAGUUAAUGAAGUUUAUAAACUAUUAAUUGAUAUUAAUUUAUCAAACUCAAUGCAAUUAUAUUGAGUUUUUUUUUUUUUUCAAAAAAAACAACUUGAACAAGUCUUAACAUUUCAUUUAAAUGUAUACUUAAAUUCAAUUUUACAAAUCAAAACUUAUUAAACGGAUGCAAUUAUUUAUUUUGAUUGAAUUUAUUUAUAUAUUUAAUUAGUUAAUUAAGAUUAGUUAAAUCAAUUUAUUUAGUAUAAAAAAUUGUCUUUAAAUUACCAUAAUUAAUUAAAGCUUACUUGGGUUUAGGUUGGGUUGGAGUGAGAUGGAGUAGGUUAUUAGUGAGUGGGAGCAUGCUAUGAUAAUUAACCUUCUUCUUUCGACUACUUAUUAAGAAAAAGUAUAUAACGGUCAGAAUCACAUAAAAUUGGAUAACAAACUGAAAAAUAGCAAAUUUAAAAAAUAUUACCAUUUAUAGCAAAAUUGGGGUUGUAGACUUCUUGUUUUACUUUUUUUUUAAUCGAUUAUACCUUUUUGUAUUUGAAAAUUAUUUUAUGUCAUAUAUAGUAUAUUUGUAUAGGUAAAAAGAUGAUACGGGAUAUCACAUAUUCACAUAUACAAUGUAUUUACAAAAAUCAUCAAUUUUAGAAAAUAUUAAUAAUUUUUUCUUUUCAAACUAUAUAAGAUUACGCUGACAUCCCUAGAUUUAUGCCUACAAUUUAUUUAGAAUUUUUGUAUUUUUAGGUUUCAAAUCAAUUAAUUAACAAUUUAUUUAUAUAAUUCAUAAUAUAUAUAGUAAUGACUAUUUGAAUUCAAAUUUUUUUAUCACCUCUAAAAUAAUGGUUAAUAUAAUCUCAUCACUUUUUGUUUCAUAAGGUACCUUUUAAUAGUUAUUAAUAUUUUAUUAUAUAAUACAUAAUACACAUUUUUCAUAUUUCUAAUAACAAUUUGAAGUUAUAUUUUAUAACAUCCAAUAAAAUCGUCAAUUUGAAUUCUUUUAAACGAUCAUAUCCCUAAAAUUGACAAACAUAAACAUAAAUUCAACAUUUUUUUUAGUUAUUUAUAUUUCAAAAUAUUUAUAAAAGAAUUUUGAAUUUAAAUACUUCAAAAAUACAUAUGCUUAAUAACAAUUUGAAUUUAAAAUUUUAUCAUCCUCCAAAAUCGUGCUAAUUACGAUUAUCCACUUAUUUUAUUAAAGCAAAUUCUAAGUCGUGCUAUUUAGUUUAGUUGAUAUUUUUUAUAUUUUCAACCAAUUUUACAGGAAAAUUCUUAUCCGUUAGUUACCGUGUAUUUGUGUAUAAGGUUAAAAUGAUGGAAUAUAACCCAGAAUCACAUAUACAGUGUAUUUGCAAAUAAUUCAGUUGUGUAAAAAUAUUAAAUAAAUAUUUAUUUUCGAGAUGAAUAUGAUUGAAUCAACCUCCAUAGAUUUAUGCCUGUAAUUUAUACCAGAUUUUGGUGUUUAUAGGUUUCAAAUCAAGUAAUUAACAAUUUAUUUAGUUGUGGUUGUUAAAAUUAAAAUUGUAUAUUACCCUACAAUUAUGAUACACUUAAUGUAUAUAUGAUUAUUCUAAUAAAAUUAUGAUAUUUUCCUUAUAAUCUACUCGAUUGAUUUCCCUAAAAUUUUCAUAUUUUUAAUAACAAUUAUUUAACAUAAUAAUAAAUUAAAAUUAAAAUUGUAUCUUACCCUUAUAAUUAUGCUACAUUUAAUAGGAUUAUUGUAAGAAAAUUUUGUAAGAAAAUUUUGAUAUCCCCUAUAAUCGUGCGAUUGAUUUCCCUAAAACGAUGUCAAACAUAAUUUCAAAAUUUUAGGAUUAUCUUGUUAAUAUCCUUAUCUAUUUUUCAUAAUUUUUUUUAAAAAAAAUAGAUUUUAAAUUUGUAUUUGAAACCGUCAAAAUAUCAAAAUUGCUUUAAAAAAUUUAAAAAUUAUAAAAAUGGGUAUUGUUAAUAAUAAUUUGAAUUUAAAAUUUUAUCAUCCCUGAAAUCGUGCUAAGAUUAUCAACGGAUGUUAUUAAAAAUUUUAUCAUCCCCUAAAAUUGUGAUAUUUGCUUUAUAUCUCCAAAUAAUGACAAACACAAAUUUAACAUUUUUGAAUUAUUUAUAUUUCAAAAUUUAUAAAAAAAUUGAAUAUUUUAUUUUUGGAAGGAAUCAAUGGAGAAGAAAAGAUUUGUUUUAUUUAAAUUGGAAAAGGAAAAAGGGAAAUAUUUAAGGGAAAUUAAUAAUAUAAUAAUAUUUAUUAUUAUUUUAUUAUUACUAUUAUUUUUCAUCUUCUUCACUCUCACCCAAACCCUAGUUGCCAACGACACCUCCAUCUCCGUUCGAGUGUUCUCCAUCCAGUCGAGAUCUCUAGUUUUGUAGUCAUCCCCUCCAUUCUGUUGACUGAGAACUAAGCCGUAAGGAAAUGUCUAGUUUUGUAGUCAUCCCCUCCAUUCUGUUGACUGAGAACUAAGCCGUAAGGAAAUGUCUCCUUCGCUGCACGCCACUAGUCGUAUUUUUACUUCAUCCGAAGUUGAGCGCCUUUGCGUCGCGCUUCUUCCUUCAUGCAUCGCACGCCCAGCCGCGCCGAUCUUCUUCAUCACCAUUCGUUCACCAGUAUGUGGUUGAUGUUUGAUAUUCACAACUGUAUCUAUAUAUAAACUAUAAUUAAAAACUAAAAAGAUAUUAGAUUUUACAUUUUUUCUUUUUGACCUCGAAGGUUUUGAGGAGAAAAUCUUUUGAUUUAUGUUGAAUGUAUGAAGACUCAAUAUUUUAUGCAACUAAUGGAAGACUUUGGAAACUUGGUGAAAUCUAAGAAAGUGGAAGAUAUGAAGCUUGGUGAAAUCUAAGAAAGUGGAAGAUAUGAAGUUUGAUUCUUUUCUACUUUAAAUACCUAAAUGUAUACAAUUUCAACAAGGAUGUGUUAUUUAAUUACAUGGUAUUUGGGUGGUAUUUGAGUUUUAGGGGUUUUAGGUGAACAAUUGUAUUUAGUACUGUUUUUGAAUUGGUUGGGGGCAUUUGAGAUAUUGUUCUAUUUAUUUAUUUCUCACAUUUUUUAAUUUUGCUAUUUUAAUCAUUUAAAAAUAAAUUUACAAUUUUUUUCAAAAUAAAAAUCAUAAUUUGCUAUUUUGGUUGAGAACCCCAAAAUCAACCAACAACCUACAAAAAAAAAAAUGAAUAGUAGCAUUCCCAUAUUGAAAUAGUUCAAAAGAGUGACACACCAAACCACGUAACCAAUGUCUUUCCCCUAACCAAUAUGCUUCGGCCUGGUUACUUUUGGGCCCAGUAAUUGGGCUUGGGCUAAAAUUACGUUAUACUUUAAUCUUUAUCUUUAUAUUUAUUUAUUUAUUUAUUAUUAGAUGUGAUUGUAAAUAAGUUUUCUUUUAUCCUAGAUUUCUUAAUGAAGCAUUUUCUUUUUUUUUUUUUUAUCUUCUUUCAAUUUUUGUUUAUUUAGUUUCUCGAUUUAAAAAAAAAUGAAAUGAGAUAUUUUUUCUUUUCCUUCCAAAAAGUAGAUAGGUUUUUAAACAAAGGUUUGACUGGGGGGUUGGAAGUUAGCGGCGACGGUUGAAAGUUGAAAAUAAAAAGAACGUGGACAUCCACGUGGGCGCAUGUGUGAGGUAAUUAAUUAAAUUCACCCAAUAAUAUUAUUACUAAAAAUAAUAAAAUAACCAAUAUUUUGAGUUAGUCAUUUUUAGUGUCUUCACAAUUACCAUUCCAUUUCAUGUCUAACCAUAUAUACUUUUAUCAACUUCUUUGUGCUGUCACUUCAAUAACCAUAACCAUUUCACAAAUACAUUUUUGGUUACCUUAAUUAUGCAUUAUUAGUUAAAAUACUAGUACAAGUCACAUCCUCAUGGAUAAAAAUAGUAUUUUAAUUGCAUUAGUAACGAUGGAAAAAUACAUAAUAAAUAAAAUAAUAGUUAAAAUUCGCUUAAAUAUAUAUAUAUAUGUAUAUGUAUAUAUAAAAGAGAUACAUGCAUGCAAAUUUUAUAGAAUGAGAGUCACAUUGUACCACUCUUUGAAUAUUUAGGUUUAGUCAUAUUUGUUAUUUAAUUAUUUAUUUUAUUUUCCUCUCUUUAUAGUUUUUGUUAUUUUUUUUAAAAAAAGUUUUGUUAUUAUUUGUGGAAUUUUGUUUUAUUGGUGUUGUGGUUAAUGUGAAUGGCUCUCAGCAUUCAAACAUGAAAGAAUGAGAGAACGUGAGGGUGUCAUGGGGCAUCGGUUACUUUCUUUAAUUUUGAAUAUUUUUUCAUCUUUUUUUACCCUAAUAAUGCCAAUAUGUAUGCUUAUUUUUCAUGUUUUCAUUUGCUUUUAUUAUCAACAGUUUUGAUUCUCUAUUUCUCCAUAAAAGUAAUGAACAAGAGGGAUGAAUCUUCUCUCUCCCUUUCCCCCCACACACACUAUAUAUAUAUAUAUAUAUAUAAUUUUUUUAAUUGAUGUAAUUAGUUGAGAUAAAGAUAUUUCUAACGUAUCAAGUUUUUGGAAAAGAAUUAUUUGACGUCAAUUAUAGUUGAAUUAUACAAAUUUUAAUAAAAGUAAUAAGGAGAUAACUAUUGCUUAUGCACUUACUUCACGUUCUAUUUUUAUCACUCAAAUUAGUAUUCAAGAGAAAUUUUGUUACUCGGUGGUGUUUGGAUGAAGGGAUUGGAUCAAGAGUAGAACUUCAAAACAAGUGGAGAGCUUGUGAAUUUCACACUCUUUAUAAAAAUAUAAAUUUUAUGUCUUGUUAACUUCUCAUGCAAUGAUAAGUUUAAAGUAAAUUUAAUUAAGUGAAAAUUAACUUCAUCUUCCACACUAGCUAAACGUGUGAGAGGUGGUAGAAUGUUUGAUCUUCCAUCUAUAUGAUUUUGUAUAAAAAAAACUUCCUUCACUCUAGGUCAUAAGAGUUUACAAUUUGUCAGAUUUUAUAACUCACGUGGAAUUUGCCACUACAUGUCCCACACAUUAUUCUUUAAGGCCGACUCUAAAAAAAAAUUCAUGGAAGGUGAAGAGUUAAAUGGUCAAACCCACGGGAGAGAAGAGGCAAUCCCUAUAGGUUAGUCAUUGUAAUUAAAGAAGAAGACCGUGAAAUUAAAGUUGACUCGAAAUGAAAAGAAUUAAGUUCGAGUGUUCAAUUACACGAACUUAACUAAAUUUAUCACAACAAAGUUAUAUAUUACGAUGAUUCGUCGAUCAAGUAAUACUUCAUGAAGUGUUAAGUAACUAUAUGACAAACAAUAUUUUUUAUAACUAAGAGAGAACACGUUAUAAAAUUAGAUUUUUAUAACAAAACUAUUACUAACUUAACAUUCAAGUGUUGAUGACUAAUCACCACAUGUUAAAUUUUUUAUUAUUACAAAAUAUUGCAAUUGGUAAUUUUCAUUUAGCAUAUAUAUAUAUAUAUAGACUAAGCCAUCAAACAUUGUUAUGUUUUUCGAAUCGAUUGUUUGGAUGAAAGAAAUGUCAAGGAAAAUAAAAAAUAAAAAAUAAAGAAGUAAAGAAGACUUUUGAAGAUAGAACUUUUUGCAUUAAAAUUUGAAAGAGCCAUUAAUUAGUUAAUAUAGUCUAAUGAGAGUGGCCCAUCUAACUUAAUGGUCUCACUUUUCUAAGAUCUAAAAUAUUUAAUCAAACAUAAAAGUAGAUUUAGUAGGAACAAACAUAUCUUAGUGAAAAAAGAUUUAUUUAAUUUUUGUUCACAAAAUAUUUUUCAAAACCUAAAUUUAUCAUUAAAUUUUUUAUCAUUUCUCUUUUAUUGAAAUAUACUACCAAUUUAUAGAUUAAUUUAAAUUAUUAACGUGUAUAAUAAUAAUGGUAACAAUACUAAUACAACUUUAUUCUUAAUUAUUAAUAAUUAAAUAUAACAAAUAUGAAUGUGUUUCAAUUUCGCAUCACAAUUAAUAUUGAGUCACACUUUAAUUUAUUAAAUUGCAUCAUAUAUAUACAUAAAAUGAUUAUAAAACCUGAUCAAUAUCAAAGUAAAAUAAUGUUAUAUACCUAAUUUUAAAAAUAAAAUAAUUAUAAUACACAAUAAAAUCAUAUAAUUUAAAAUUCAUAAAAUUUUAGGUCCACAAACCCUAUUUUCCAUUAAAGAAAGUCAUUAUUAUGACUAUCAAUAUUUUUUUAAAAAAAUUUAUCUUCAUGUCCAACUUGCAAUUUUUGUCUCUUAAUUAAAAGCAUGAAAUAAAUGAAAGGAAAAUAAAGCUGCUUAACAAAUAUAAACAAAUAUAUAAUUAUUUUCAUUGAUUUAUUUAAAGAGAGUUGCUGUUCCCUAACCUAUGAACAUGCCAUAAUCUUUGGUGGUUUAUUGCCUAUUCCUUCUAUUUUAUUUUUCAUUAUUUGUUAUUAAUAAAACCUUAUGCCAAAUUAAUCAGUUUAAUUACAUUAUAUAAAAUUUCCCAAUUAAUUAAACAAAAACAAAAAGACAAAUUAAUUAUUUGUAUUUUUUCUUAUAUUGAAGUUUGUUGGUGGAAAUCAUCAUUAGUGUAUGAUUGAAUUUUGGUCUUAUUUGUUCUUAUAAUUAUUAUUAAUUUUAGUGUAAAUUAAAAUGUACAUUAAUCUUAUUAUGUUAUAUGAUCUAAUAAAACUUUAUCAAAGUUUCUAUAUAAUCUUUCCAAAUCUACUUUUCAACUUUUCGCAAUUGAAAAAUAUUAUAUGUUAUGGAAAAAGUUAAUCAAUUUGCCAUGUUAUUACGUUAGAUUGACAAAGUUGGAUUGGAAAGAUUUUUAAAUGAUUUAUAUAUAUUAUAAGAAAAAGUGUUUUAUUUUGUGUACUCCCAUCUUUUCAAAAUGUUUUGUUUUUAUCGAAAACCCUAUGGAUAUUGUUCUUCUACUAAAAUAAACCGUUACAACACACGUUAGUUUAUGAACGUUCAAGUGCAUCUCUACUUAAUGUAUGAACUUUAAGCAACGUUCAAUUAGUAUUUGAACUUUGAUUUUGUAUCCAAUAAAGUCAACUGUGUCUAAACAUAUCUUUAAAUCACCUUCAAUUUUGUGUCCAAUGAAUUUCUAAUCUAUAAAACAUUUUUUUAAAAAGUCACAAAUCUACUUGACACGAAAUUGAAAGUUUAGAGUUACGUAACACAAAAUUUCAUUUCAUAUUCAAUAGCUAGCUAUAAUUUUUAAAAGUUUCAAGUAUGUCAAGAAUUUGUCCAAUACAAAGCUAAAAUUGGUUGGUAACACGAGCGUAGUUGAAUGACAUAGAUUUCGUACUAUCAACGUCGAUGUUAAAGAUUUGAUCUUCUCAAGCAAAUUUAUUACACUUUUUUUUUAUAGAAAAGAAAUAAAAAUAAGGAUUUAUUAUUGAGUGAGAGUGGGAAAAAAGAUGAUGUGUGAUGAUAAUUAGUGAGAGAGGAAUAAUAAUUAGGAGGUGAAAUGGUAGAGAACGAGACAUAAUUUUGAUUUGCACUCAAAAUCAUCUUUGAGGAUUUUCUUGUCUCCUUUUUAUAUAUAUAUAUUUUAUUCUAUAAACUUGGAUUUCACCCUCACAAAUCUUUGUUUCCAAAUUACUUAUUUCUUUAUUUAUUACUAAGAGUUAUAUAUAUACAAUUUGCAUAUUGUCAUCUUCAAAAGGGAAAGCAACCGAAAAAAAAAUAAGUACUUUUCAACUUUUCAUCAUGUAGUCAACGUCAUCAUAAAUUUUUUUUAAAAAUGUUUGUUGAUUUACAUGAAUCUACUUUUACUACUUUAAAUUUUUUGAAAAUUAGUUUUUGUUUUUAUGUAAAAGAAAUUUGUUUUUUUUUCACAAAGUUAAAAGGGAUCCAACCAUUGAAUAGUAACAAGAAUAUGGUAAGCAAUAUAAAUAUUUAAUGUUCAUAAAUCAAACUCUUUCAAGCAAUAUACGUACUUAAGAUUUUAAAGGCGUUUGAAUGCCUAUCUAGUGUUAUACCACUUCGAGAAGUUUAUCAAUUUGUAUGAUUAAUAAAAUAAUUUUGAGAUUGAGGUCAAAUUGUUGUACCCAGGUAGUAAAAUUAGGUUAUCUGGGCCGGAUGAUAGUUGUUUGAAGUUGAAACUUAGGUAAGCAAAAGAGAAAGAGAGUGAUGAAGGGAGAAAUUGGGAUUCAUGAAUCUGAAACAAAUGAACACAAUUUGGGCAUUGGUACUUCACUUUCAGCGCCUUCAUUUCUCUGUUCAUUGAAGAAGGGCAGUGGUUCAGGAUUUGAGGUUUUAAGCAGGAAGGAAACAUGUCUUUUUGGGGGAAAGUGAAAGCUUAGAAUCCCAACCAUGGACCGACCACUGUUUUAAAUGAGAAUCAACGAUUUGGGUCACUGAACAAUUAUCAGAAUCAAUCAUUUGCGGGGGUCAAACUAAGAAAAGUAUCCUCAAGGUGUUCGAUGAAAGGCCUGUGAGACAAUCCAAGGGACAACAAUAUCUUGUGCUUGUUAGGAAACUUGUCUGGUGAGGUUAGUAGUACCAAACAACUACUUCUUUUUAAACUCUUUUUCUCUAUUUUGUUUUUUCUCAGGAUUCAGUCAUUGCUUAUAUCUAAAAUGUUUGGAGUGGAUAAUUUUUUUUUGUUUGGAGACUAAGUGCAUUUAAUCCCAGAAAACUAGCAAAUUGCACAUGUUUUGAGAUUGUAAAAUCCCCAUGGAAAUGGGAACUGUUGAGAAUCUGAAUGUAUACUUUGUUUUAGUACAUUGGUUUGCUCUGUGUUAAAGUCAUCUCACUUGCAUUCUUCCUGUUUCUUUAGGUUUAGUUUUUCAGCUCCAUGGGGUAAUGAGAAUGAAAUUUGAUGGUCUUUUAGGCUGAUUUCUUUGCUAUUUGAGAAUCUUGUGUGUUUAGACUUUGACCCAUUUGUUGUCAGUAGGAUUACUGAAAGUAGUUGAGUGGGUAAUUUUUUAGAUCAGUUUAAGGUUUAGAUUAAAUUUACAUCAACACAUGGGAUCAUGUGCUUCUGUUUUUGGGGCAGCCAGAGAGAGAAAGGUUUGACUUGACCAAAUGGGGGAAUAAAAUCCUUGUUUGUAUAAUCUGAAGUUAAAUUAACAUCCUAACAUUUUCUCAUUAAAUUUAGUGUUGUCCAUGCAUGCAUAUGCAAAAUAUACUAAUUUAGCUUAUUUUAUUCUUAUUGACAUUCAUAUAAUGUAUAAACAAAAGUGUUAGGUAUGGUUUAUAAUGUAUAAUGAACUAAGUAAUAGGCACAGAAAACGAGAUCACCUUUUUUAAAUAAAAUUAUAUAUUUUCAGAAAUUUUUUUUAGAGAAUAUUUUUUUUCUUAUUAGUUUGUUAGAUUUAAAGUAAUCUGAAAUUAUUUGAGUUUGAUACUAAUUUGGACGAGAGUCCUCUUCUAAAACAAACAAAAAAUUAUUUUAAACAGUGAUUUCUUAAAUCAUCUCAUCAAAAUAUUCUCUUGAACAGAUGAUCUUGGAAGGGUAUAUAUCUUUCAAUUAAUUAAUAAACCCAAACUUUAAUUCACUGUUCAAUGGUAAAGCAGCCAUGCCUUGAAAGAAACUUUUCAACCGCAGUAAUAAUAUGUUAAAGGGAAAAAAGAUGAAAACAAAAGGGAAUUUAAAUGCUUUUUUAUGAGCUGGUAAGCACAUCCAAGAAGAGAGAUAAACUUUCUAUUGACUUAAUUAAAAACACAUGACCUCUGUUUUGUUGUGUCCAUAAAUUAUCCCUCCAAGUUAUUCAUUCACAUGACUUUUUUAUCUUAACAUUUCAUAAGUUAAAGAAUCGUAGUUCUUUGUGUUUUGACAUCUAGAACUCAAGCCAUCUAUCUUAACUGCUAAAGAUAGACAUUUGAUCCCAACAAUCCAAAAGAUAAAUAAAGAUUUUCAACAACCGAAGGAAUCAUUAAAAGCUAAAGAGAGCAUCUUGAAUUCUAUAUACAACACAUGAACAUGACAAGAUUUGCAAUAUGAAUCAUCUGUUAUUUAAAAUGUCUGUAAUGUCUUAACCUUUCACAUAUGAAAUCCCGUAUGGAAUCAAGAUUUUUUUUUUUAUUAUUAUUAUUGGAAAGAUUACAAAAUUAAACAGAGCCAAUUAGCUCUAACCUUCAAUAACCCCCUAAUGAUUGCUCUUUCACUUCUUUAAUUAUUUAGUUGCUUUUAGCUCUUCAUGCAGAGAAUGAGCCAAAAGCAUACGGUUUUUUUUCCCACUCUUUUCCUUUCUUUCUGCUAGCAAUUUCAAGCGUUUCUAUUUGCAGCUGGAAAUGUUUCAAAUGGUUAGUCAAAGAUUCCUCGUUCAUCCAAUGAGCAAAAAAAAACGGGAACAGAAAGCAAAGAGAGAGCUACUGAUCAUUUUCAUGCUUACUUCCUUUUCUUUUAUUUUAAUCAAAUAAUCAUUUUCAUCUUUGUUUCUCUGUCAUUAUGUAAGAAAUUAAUGUCAGCCGUUGUCGUGACAUUCAUAAUCGUGUCUUAAUAUAUGAUUUCUUCAAAUUGUAAUAGUUUUCCAUUUUGUUGUCCCUUUUUGUUUUUGCUUUAAAGAGGGCAGUUGCAUGUUGAUAAAAUAGAUUUCAACUAUUUAUAAAGUCUAUUUUGAACUAUUUAAUCUGGACUUUCAUGUUACAUUUUUCUCCAUAGGCAUUUUUCAAUAUACUGUCAACACGUGAGCUAGGCCUCACAGUAAAAAAAAGAAAAAUAGGCACUCGCAUUCCUCUCCAUCAUGGCCGCAUGGACAAUGAAAGAGACUUGGCCACACAAUUCAAUACAUCCCGAUAAGCUUGGCCAUUUUCUUUUUCCAACUAUUCCCUUGAUCAAGUUCCAUAGUCUCUGAGAUAUAUCUAGUUCACACGUUUGGGAAGUUUUGAUUUGUUUAGUAUGAGAUUGAAAAGUUUGAAAUCUAUGCCUGAAUUUAUGAAGAAUUCUAGAAGUAUGAGUUCAUCAAACUUGGCUUAUAUUCAGUUUUAAAUUUAUGGUUUUGUGUGAGCUAUUGUUUGGUUGGUUAUUUGAGAUGUGAUUGCAAAACUUAUAAAAUUAGCCAGCACUAAGUUAAACUAAACAUUGCUCAACAAGAUAUACUCAACAACAAUUAGUAUCUACUCAAUAAAGGAUCAAAUCUCUCCUACCUCACUUGUUGUAUUCAAAAUAACAGCAAAAUGACAAACAAACUAAACAUGAUCAAGUAUAAGUGAGAAUUCUUAGGCAGUUCAAAAAUUGGGAAGCAAUAUAAUCCCAUAAAGAGAUGAAUUACACAACGCCUCCUUCAAAACCUUUCACUGGUCUGUACGCCUUUGAGGUCACCAUGUGCUGUGGUAACUUGGACGAAUCCCACAUGGGAACAUCUCACUGUCUCACAAUUCUCCUAUUGUACCAAUGAACUUGGAUUAUUUUCUCGAAAACUCUAGAUAGCAGUGGAUUGUUUCUAUAAUUAGAUAAUGUUUUGUAGUGAUGAAGAGGAGCCAUAUAUAGAUACAAAAGAGAUGUAAGAUGUGAAGAGGAUUUCAAACUGGAUAGGGAAAGAAGAAUGAGAAUGAGAUUUCGAAUGGGAAGAAGUUGCGUAGAGUAGACCAAAGAGACUUGACAUAUCACAUCAGGGGGGUUGUGUUUGUUGAAUAUGUGUAUAGGCAGGCAUGAUAAAGAAAAAGGAAAGAAGUGAAAAUUCAUGAUGGUGAAUCCUCAGGCUCAUACCCCUCUCGUCUUGUUCAGAAAAAAAAAAAAGCUCAAAAUGCCAAAUCUUUUGUGAUUCAUCAUUCAAACCCCUGAUAUGUCACUCUUCAUCAAUUCUCCCCCUUUACUUUUCUAAUUCUGAUUGAUCUAGCCCCCACCAUGCCUACCUGACCCCACCAAUCCCUCCCUCUUUCUUUCUCUCUUACUUACUGUCAAACACCUCUUUUCAUUUCAACUUCUCUCCUAAAAUUUUUUUUCACUUGGGAUUGCCAAAAGAUUGUGGACAUCUUUCAAAUCUCUGUGUCUGAAAAAGUAUUAUGAUACUUCUUUAGCUAAUUUGGUUCUUUGGAUUUGAGGGUGUUCCAUAAGAAUACAACAAAUUGGUUUGCUUUGUGGUGUGAAAAAAGUGGGUGUAGUGUUAUGUUAGAGACAUAAUUCCCAUCACUUGAUGUAAAAUUUUUAAUUUCCAUUUUCAAUAUAUAUAGUCAAAACUAGCGUGUAAGAUAUAAUUUGCCUUCCUAAUGAUUGAAAAUCCUUAGAAAAUAUAUUAGGAGUUAAAUGUCAUUUGGCUAAACCUUAGUUUUGAACAAACACUUCAAGAUGCUUGGUCUUUCAAGAUUCUAGUUUUCUGACAUUUACUACCAAGCAAAUGUAAAGAACUUCAACCUAAAAUCAUCCCAUUUCCAACUUCUUAAACAUCGUUAGAAGAUGAUAUCAAUAAAUGAAGCUAACAAAACAAUGAGCUUGAAAUACUGGCAAUGGAGUAAGGAAGCCAAUUUUUACAAUCCCUAGAAUUUUCUAUUUUUUUUCUUUUACAGUUACUGUCACUAAUCCCUUUUUUCUGUCUACAAUUUCAGUGGGUUAAUUAGCAGAGCUCCAUGACGUGUGCUUUGGAAACACUCCUCCAUUAAAAUAAUCCCUACUCGAAUUAGAUUCUUUAUUUUCAAAAAUAUUAUUUAUAUAUCUAUACACAUACUCAUAAUUCAUUUUUUUUAAAAAAAGAUAUUAUUAUAAUGGCGCAUCUCUGGAUAGGGAAAGGAAAGAAAACCAGGUGUGUGAUACCCACUGCCACGCCCCUUUCUUUUAACCUGUUUAAGGGCCCCUUCCCCUUAUAAAUACCGCCGGAGCCUCUCUCCCUAAACUAAAUUAAUCCACUCUUUCUCUCUCUCUAAACAGCUCUUCAGUCUUCAACUUCAUUCACUCUCUACAACCUUCCAUUUUUGUCAAAGCUCAAUCCUUUCCUUAACCCCAUUUCCCACUUCACACUUCACUCAAAAUAUGACUUCUAUUUCUUCUUCUGCCGCCGCCGCCGCAGCAGCAGCCGUUCCGUCGCCGUUUUACAUGGAGGAGAAAUGGAAGCUGCCAAAGAAAGGAGCUCCGGCUAGAACCCGAUCAUCUUCUUCCUCAUGUCCUCUGAUGAGAAAUUCUUCAGACAGGAGAUGUUCUUUUACAAGAAAAUGUGCAAAAUUGGUGAAGGAACAAAGGGCACGAUUUUACAUCAUGAGGCGAUGUGUUACCAUGCUCAUUUGUUGGCAUAACUACAACGAUUCCUAGAAUCUCACUCCUUUUUGUUCUUCCCUUUUAAGAGAAAGAUCAGAAUCAGAAUCAGAAUCAAAACCAGAAUCAGAUCAAAUCAUUUGGGUUUUCUUUUUCUCUUUCUUUUCCUUUUUGGAGAAACGUGCAAUGUUCUAUCUCCUCUGGUCCUCAAAAUGGGAGCUAUUGUGGCCAAAGCCCAGAUGGGAUUUUCCAGAAACAUUGCAAAGCCGGAUCUUUGAGCAAGCUUAGAGAGGAAAUUUUAUAUACUUGUAAAUAGUUAUAUGAUGUAGUAUUGGAAUCUCUGAUAGUUCUUGUUUGGGAUUUAAAUUUUGUUUCUUCUUCUUCUUUUUUUUUUUCUUUAGUCUGAUGGGUGAGACUGAGAUUUGUAGGGUUCUUUAUUGACAAGCAUUGAUCUCUGUAACUUCUUCCAUUGUUUUUUUUUUCUCUAAUCAAAUGAAAUUUCAUCAUCCUUAUAUCUCUCUGAAUUUUCUUGGGGAAUUUUUAUUGUUUAGCUCUGUUUUGGUUCUGAGUCGUUCUCAGAGUUCCUCCCUCUAUGAUUUUAGAUAGAGAGAGAUUCAGUUGGUUGAAUCACACCAAAACAAAGGCAACUAAGCUAGGUUGAAGCUGGAGAUGGAUCUAUCUCUGAGGUUCACUGACAUAGCAAAGAAAAUCACUAUAAAAGCUCAAAUUUAGAGAAAAAAAAGGAAGUAUUUGGAUAUUAGUUAAGAUUGAAUGAAGUUCAAAGCAAAGCAAGGAAAAAUCAGGGUCUACAGUGAUUAAAGCUAGUGUAAGAAAUUCAUUAGCCCCAAUUUAGAGAAAAAGAUGUCAUGGAUAUUAGUUAUAUUAAAUAUAUGAAGCUCAAAGGCACAGCAAGGAAGAACAGGCUUUGCAGUGAUUAAAGUUGUGCAAGAAAUUGGAACAAGUAACCUCAAAAACAUUUGGAUUAGAUCAAAGGAAAUUUUUUUUGCAGUAAAAAAAGAAAAAAGAAAAAAGGAGAAAAGGGGGAUUUAAGUAAGAUUGACCAAAUAGCUGGAGAAAUAAAUAAUAAAGCCUGGAGGAUAUGAAUACACAUUGUACCUCUCCUAAUCCACAGUUACAUUUGUUGCCUAUAGGGCUCUAAACCUUUUACUUUUUUCCAUCUUUAGAGCCAUUUUCACCCUCUUAGUUUCUGCAGUUAUUAUGGUAAAAAAGAACCACCAAAGAUGAGCAUUUCCCUUUCUUUCUAUUAAAUAGGUUAAAGUUUUAAAUUUGGUCCAAGUGAGUUGCAUCACAUUUCCAUACAAGAUCAUAACAUCUAAAUUCCUCUUUCUCCAUUCAAAUGUUGGGACCCCUGACUCGAAAUUAUUAGAGUAGCCUAUUAUCCACUCCAAGUAUAAUAACUUGAUUACAUUUAGUUUAGUUAUGACCUACAUUUCACUUGUCUAAUACUAUUUGUAAUCUCUUUUUGUUAUGUCGUUCACCGUUUUCUACCUCAUCACUCUUUUUUUUUUCGUUAUAAUGUUUACUAUUUGCUAACAUAUUAUAAUAAUCUACAAUCCAACACAUAGGGUAUCACACCCUUGGAGUUGCAAUGAAACGAGCUUAUAUUGUAAUAUAAUCCAAAAUCCAUGUUUGAUUGAGUAAUUUAUGCUCUACUUGUAAUAUCAAAUUCAUUAGGUAAACACGACCAUUUUUUCGUGUUUUUACGCUUCAUGGUCUCAUUUUUGUUUCUCCCUCAAUUCCUCACUCAUUCCAACAUCCCUCGUAUUCGUGAGUACAUUCCAUAUGCACCAAAACACAGAUUAUUAUAUAAUAAUCAAAUCAACACCUCAAACAUCUCCUUAAUGAUACAAUUAACACGUAAGAAAAUAUAGGUAAUGGCAGAGAACUUGUUCGAUAGUUUGGAGACCAAAUUUAUAAGAUAUGCCAAUUAAACCUUUGCACUGUUUUUUGUUAUAGAUAAAAUUAUGGAAGAAGUAACCAACAGUAGAUAGAUAAUAGAACUUGCAACACUUAUUCAAGUAUUGAUCAAAUUGGAAGUUUAGGGUAAAAGUUAGAUACUUAACUUAGAGAAGUUGGAGGGUAAAAAAUUGUUUUUUCAUAUAUAAUUAAAAGAGAGAAAAAGAAAAAAAAAAGUUAGUAAGCAAUGACAAUAUUUUGGUGUGUAAGUAAAUGAAGGGGCAGAGUGUGUAGGGACAUAAGGCAGCGGUAAAGAAUGAAUUAUCAUCUGAGAGUUUCUUCAGAAAAGUACAAAUUGGUAAAAAGGGUGAGAUAGGUCCCUUUCUUUUGGUCUUCCUCCCCUUUUACCCUUCUCUUAAAUCUUCUCAUACCCUAAUUUUAGCCACACAUGUUCUUAAAUUAUAAAUGAUUUUAGAUUAUGAUCUUUUAUGAUCGAAUUCUUUAUCAUCGUGAAAGGUUGAAAUAGUAGAAACUGAGGAGGGUAAUCGUAUAUGUAGAAAUUUAAUGUGUAGUUUUGUUCAAAGGUGACUUAUGAGUCAUCUUUUUCAAGAUAAUUUUGAAGAAACUAAACUCUACAAAUUAGACAUACUCACGUAUUCAAUCAAUGAUCGACUAGUAUAUUUGACGUCAAUCACGUUAGUUAUUGAUUUGGCGAAUGAUGAUAUACUAAAUUACCAUACUUAUUUGUGAACAUAGUCUUUUGUUUUAAAAAAUACUGGUAUUAUUUCAGAAGUUGCAACAUUGUUUUCAACAUUUUAAUAGAUGUUUCUAAACUAAUCUUGAAGUGGAAUAUGUUAUAACUUUGUAAAAUGAAGAAACGAACUUGUAUACAUGAUUAGAAACUAAUGAGAGUGAGGGAGAUCAUUUAAGCAGGUAAAAGUUAAUACAAUUCCACUAUCUAUAACCAUACUUUUGUUUUACUCUUUUUUUCAUUUUUUUUGUAAAUUUAGACUAGUCAAUCUCAUUCCCAAUGCCAUUAUAUUUACAACUGCCUCAAUGAAAAAUAAAAUCUUUGAUUUCCCCCCUCCUUUUAAACACUUUAAAUUUCUCCAAAGUCAAGUGAGAAAAUCUUCUUUUACUAUACACAAUCAUCUUCUUUAUCCCUCAAAUCUAACAAAAAAAAAAAAAAAAUUGACCCAAAAAAGAAAGAAAAAGAAAAAGAAAAGACAAACUUUCAAAUCUUAUAAAUAAUUACAAUUUUCCCUUGGCGUGCUUAAGUAGGACCAAACUUAAAAUCAAAAUAGUGCAUUUUUUUCUUUUGUUAUGUUUGAUUUUAGAGUGUGCUUGACUCAAUGAUUGAAGAAGAACAAAAACAAAAAAAAAGGUUUAAGAAUCACAAUAAUAAUAACCUACAAAUCCCUAAUGCAGUCUUUGUGUUUAUUCAAAAGAGCACACCACACCACACCACUUUUGUUUUCCCAUCUUUUCACAUUUAUACGAAGUGAAUCCCAAAAGGGGUUUCUUUCUUCUCCCCUCAAAGGAGAGAGCAAGAGAGGGAGUUUAGGUUGUUGUCAAUUCGGGAGAUUUUAGAAAAUUCAAAUAAUCUUCUUUUUUUCUUUUUCUUUCCUAAGUUGAUUACAAGUUACAUGUCGUGUUUAUUCAAGAAAUCUCAAGUCUAGGUUAUGUUUGAGAAAUGAGUUUUAAUAUACUUUUAUAAUUAAAAAAAGUAGGUCGAACUACUUGAUUGAAUAUUAUAAAAAAAUGAUAAAUGCAUUGAUAUAAUCGAUUUUUUUUUAAAAGUACUUUCAAUGGUUUUGUUAUUUACCAUCAUUUUUAAAUCUAAAUAAUAAUAGAGUGAAAAUAUAAAUGUAAAAUUAUGUUUUGGUCUAAAAAUUCUUAAACAUAUAGUUAUUUUGUAUGAGAAGAUGAAGUUAGAGUAAUAAUUGAUAUUAAUCGGUGAGAAUAUUGAGAAAAUGUGAUGGGUAAAUGAAAGGUAUAAUAAUAACAAUUCCCUUAGUCAUUGAUUGACAUAAUAAUCAUUUUUAUGGAUCCACCACCUAACCUAUAAUACAUAAAAGCAUUCCUUAAGGUCAAACAAAUCCUCCUUCCCACCACACUUUCUUUUAACCCCUAAACCCUUUUUAUCAUUCAAAUUCUAUGCCCUUACCCUUUUCUUUUUCAUUUCAUGAUAUAAAUCUCUUGCUUUCCUAUCUACAAUCUUUCACCUAUAUUUUUUAAAACUAAACCAAAAUUUAAAAAUUAAAUAAUUGAUGUAAAAAACUUAUUUUUGAAAUUUAGAAUUUAACUAAGAAUGCAACUUUUUAAGAAAUUUGUAAAAUGUAGUAAAAUUUCAAAUUUUAUAAUAGACGUUGAUAUGCUUCAAUAAAAUUAAUAAACAGGUAAUAAAAGUUUUUUAUUUUAUUUUAUAAAUUUUUUAUUUUAUUUUACUAUAGUUAAAAUAAAAUAAAUAGAAAGCAUCAGAGGAAAAAGGAAAGAAAAUGGUGGUUUAAUUUUGAAUGGGGUAAAGUUAAGUUAAAUCCUUCGGUCUUAAAAUCUAAUAUUUCCUAUUGAGAUGGGGCCAUUAUGGGCCCUACGAAAUCUAAUCCUAAUAAAGUCCUAUGGGCCUUUCCCCCAUAGCAGUGGCCCAUUAUGGGCCCAUCUCGGAACUUGAACCAUAAACGGCGUUUUCUCCAAUUAGGUACGGGCGUUACCAUGGGAUGGGCAUGCUACAUGCUUCCAAAUCGAAGACUUUCAAAUACAUUACGUGGCCUCAUGUGGUUGGACUGUCAGCUUUGCUGUUGAUGAACGUUUUGGUUUUUAGUCGGACACACGUCACGGGAUUUUGGCUCCCGAUGACACGUGGAGCCCAGCGUCAGUGUACACGUUACAUUCCUUGUUUUGCUUGUUUUGCCCACAUUUCUUCAUUUUACCCCUCCCAAUAAAUAAAUAAAUAAAUACUCUCUUGAAUUUAAAAUACAUUACAUUUACAAUAUUAUUUUUCGUGAAAUUUCAUUUCGUUACUUUAUGUAUUAUUAGUCUCUCCUAUAAUAUGUACAUUAAAUUUCUAACGUCUUUAUACUUAUAAUGUCUAAUUAAUACCAAGAUGUUUUUCAUAUUUUUGUUUACCUAUUAAAAUUACCAAAUUUAAACCUUACAUUUACAUUAUUGGAAUCAGCUUAGACUCUCCUUACAGCUAUUAAUAUAAUGAUUUUCAAGAAUUUAAUAGUAUUACAUAUUGAUUUUCAAAGAAUGCAAUGACAGCUUUUAAAUGUUAUAUGUUUUCAUGGUAUUGUUUUUUCAUUCUUCCUUACUGAUUCACAUAAUUAUUUUCUCCAAGGUAGAACAAUGCUCUGAUACCAUUAAAGAUCCGAUGCAAUAGAACUAUAAGUUAAUUAGAAUUUAUUAGUUACUUUAUCAAUUAAUAAAUCAUGAUUAUAUACCUUCAUCAAAAUAAACUAUCAAAUUACCCAUUUUACAAUAUUUAAUUAAUAUUAUUACUUAAUUGUUAAAUAAUUUGUUUUUCUCAAAAUUUUCAACUAUUUUAAUUGUUUAUCAAUUAAUAUAUUAAAACUUUAUGAUAGAGGUAGAUUUAAAAAAAGAAACCUCUUCCCAUGAAACUCGAAACAUAAUUCCCAAAAAUCUCAUUCUCAGUCUUCAUCUUCGAUUCAAAUGACCCCUUGAUGCCAUAACACUCCUAUUAUUCAAUUCAUACCAAGUUCUAGACACAGACUCGUGUGCUUUGUUCAAUCUUUAAUUACUUCAAAUAUAAAAUCCCACAAAAUUUCAGACUAACCCCAUGGAAUUGCCAGAUAAGAAAAUGAUAGAUCAAAAGAAAUAUCAUCUUUGAUCGUUGAAAAACCUUUCGAACUGACCGAAAAAGAACAGAAAAUUGAAGAGGAGAAGAAAUGGGAGAGGAAUGGAAUGAGUGUUCACAAACAAUUUUCAUCCCUUAGGUAAGGUAUAUUUGAACUUUUUAUUAAAGGUUAUCAUCGCCAGAUUUCAAUAAGCUACAAAUGAUAAGGUAUAUCUAAAAAUUGUCAAGACAUAAGGGUCAAAACAAUUUUUUCUUUUUAAUAUCAGAGACCAAUUCAAAAACCACCAACAAAAAACAUGUCUUAUACAAGUAUCAAAAUAAUAUAUUAUUAUAGAAGUUAGCUUUCUUUUUUUUAUUUGAACAAUACCAACCCAGCAAGAAAGAAUACUUCUCUUCCUCAAGACAACUCUUACACACCUACCAAACUGUUGUUUGAGGAUGCUGCCUUAGUAACUCUCAAAACACCAACUCUUUACCUAUACUUUCCUCAACUAAAAGUUAGGUUCCAAUAUAGCAGUUGUCUUCUCAAAGGACCCCUACACCAGAAAACUGCCAAACUCAUCAAUCCACCAAACAAAUCGAAACUGAUGAAGCCGUAAGAAUUGAAAUCAAACCCACAGACUAAUCUUCUGUUUUAUAUCUCAUCAAACCAGACCAACAAGAUUCCCUCACUUCCAUUGGUUCCAUGGUUCCUUCUGAAUCUCUGAUUCCAAUGAAAGAGUCUUUUCUGUAAUCCUCCAUCUAAAUCAUUACCAAAAAUCUCAGUGACAAAGAAAUACAACUACUUCAUGUCUCUUUUGAAAAAGAAAUCUACAAGUUACUCUAUAAACUUUUAAAAAGCGUAUAGCUAUAUCUCAUAUAACCGAAGGCAUCCAGAGAAUGUGCACUUGCGAAAGUGACAGUAGAAACAUGCUAAAAAUUCCCCUACUUGGACCAAAUAAAUCUAGCGCUAUUACUAAUAUUUAUAACUAGUAACCAGGAGUAGGAACUUCGCCCCCUACGCCCUAUAGCAUCCACACCUGUCCCAGGACUCGAACACGGGAGACAUCAAGGGCUUUUGGUAUUAAGCUCAAUUGAGAACUUGGAUUUGAGACCUCAAAAUCAGGAUGGAGUUAUACGUAACACACAUAAAAACUACGAUUUGUUGAUUGAACAAAAAUGGAAUAGCCUGAACUAGUCCACAACAUUAACCAUGUAUCCUGUAGUCUUCGGUAUUGGAUAGUUUUCUAUUAUAAUUUAGCUCCUAAUUGCAGUCUACCAACACAACUGUUAGAAAACAGUAGCAUAGCCUGAGAAGAAUAUUUCAAAAUUCCAGUUUCUACCACGUGUUGCAUGGUCUUUUAUCUUACAGAUUGAUGUUCGGCAACAUAAUUUCAAAAUCAAUCCAAUCAAAAUUUUGAUGCCAAACCUUUUCGAGAAAAGUUCCUCUUAUCUCAUCAAGGGUGGAAAUAAUCAAGAGUUACUGUUUGUCUCAUUAAGAACAGUUUGCUUCUUGCUAAACACGAGAUAAAAGGUACAAAACCAAUGAUUCAGCAAAUAGAAGAACAAGCUAAGAAUAUAACUCAGAUCAUCAAUCUCCCUAACAUUACAAUAGACACUACUAAUAGGAAUCUAAAUCUAUUAUCAAUCUGAACCCCUCUACAAUGAUUAAGCAAAUAGAAGAAUAAGCCAAGAUCUCAGCCCAAUAAGUAGGAAUCUAAAUCUAAUCACACCGACUCUAAUAUAAAGGCACAUAACAGGUUAACCAAGUAUGGACUAUGGAGAGCUCUUGAAUUUAAAUAUGAACACUGGUUAGCAGCCAGUUGAAUACAAACGCCAAUAAAGCAAUUUAUUUCUAGCAAUAUACAUCAUCAUUACAAGCAUAAGAUGUGAAAAACAAUAGUCAAGCAAGUAAUUAACUUGAUGCAGUAUUCAUCAUGUGCAUCACAAGAGCUCACAUAUUCUUUAAAAUAACCGAAUCAUAUUAAGAAGGAAAAAAAAAAAAAAACUGAGCCUAACAACAUAUUUAAGUAGUAAAUACUUGAUAGCAGAUAUUGUAAAGAUACGAAGUUGCAAGUGCUCUAGCUCCAUCUCUGAGACUGGUUUCUAAAAGACUAUAUUAAUGGGAUUAUGCACCUUGCUCUACUAAAGAACCUUCAAGCAUUUAAAUGUAAACCUUGUGUUUUCCAUCAUUUUCUAAUGCAGUAGGAGGUACCUCUCUUCUUUUCUUCCGCUUAAGGAUGACUGCAUUUAUUUUCCACAUUUCUAUUGCAAUAUCUCUUAUCAAAUAACCCAAAAAGGAGAAAAAAAAUCUUCUUCACCCGAGAAACUCUGAUUUUGAUCAAUAUAAAGCUGGGAGAACUGCAUCCAUUCCCACCCAAGUUCAAAUUUUGCUAUUUACAGCAAUAAAUAAGCCUAUCCCUCAAAGUCCCAAUCCCAGCUAGAACUUCUUCAAGUAAUUAACUUUCCUAACCAACCAAAUUCCCAAAUCACCAGCUGAUUGUUCCGCUGUUAACCUCCAUAGACCAUGUACGCCGUCGCCUUGGCUCGCUAUUGAAAUGCGGAAGUGGUCUACUACUCCUUGAAGGACCAGAAUCACUUGUGGAGUUUGAAGUAGAUGCAAUUGACCUCAUUGAUCCGCCAAAGCAAGCAAACAUAUUGCGAAUCAUUUGGCCCCACCUGCCUCUCUCCCUACCCCUGCCUCUAGAAGCAAAUGAUACUCUUCUAGGAAGACCACCAUUAGUAAAACCGCCAUCCACUUCAGUGUAAACAACCGGGAGCUCUCUCUCCCCCCCUCUCCUGCCACCAUGAAACCGCCCUACCGCAAACCCCCCACCCGGUAACCUCCAAAUGGUUAAGCCAACAUUCUCCUCCCCAUUCGAGGUCACAGAUCCCCCAUUUUCGCCACUUUCAGCAGCAUCCAGAGAGUUCUGAUUAUCAGAUGGUAAUUCGUGACGACAAACUGGACAAGAAUUUCGAAUGGAAAGCCACGGUAAAAUACAAUCACAAUGAUAAAUAUGCUUACAGGGCAUCUCCCGUGCUUCGGUUCCCAAUUCGAAUGCUUCUUUACAAACAGCACAGUGUGACUCAGUUGCCAAAUAAUUUUCACAGAUUUGAAUAGUGGGCAUUGAUUCAAUAGCAGCCUUCGACGCCGGCGGAUUCUCAAACCGCCCAAUACCGUUCAUUUCAAUCUGAGAAAGUUGUUCCAGAAGCCUAUCAAACCCGGACCCCAACAAAAACUCGGACAUACUCGGUGGGAGAGGUCUCAGGCCAGAACCACCACCAUCAUCAUAAUAAAGCUCAAACCGACGACUUUCUCCAGCUUCACUCCCAUCAGACGGCCCACGAAGAACAAUCACAGGAUUAAAAGGCGAGCGAUCCCCUCCAUUCCUCCGAGAUCUUCUCAGCCCAGAUCCCAAAUUCUGCCCCGAAUUCGAGCGGUUGCCGAUCAUAUACAUCGCCGCAGCCGGAAAUCUCCUCCGCGGCGCAGCUUCCACGUUCACCAACCUCGAGGGAUGUUCGAUCUGUUCAACGAAUCCACUAUUACAAUCAGGGCACACAACUGAAUCCUGAUUAGAAACCCUAACAAAGUGACUGCAACGGUGACACCAGUAGGAAGACGCCGCCGCCAUCGACGACAUCAACAAAACUCAAUCAAACCAAUCACCAACCCCACAAAUCAAAGAUCCCACAAACUUUCAAUCCUACCAGGACCAGAAAACAACAGAAACGAACAACCCCAGAAACAAAAACAAAACGCAACGCCCCCCCCACGAUCAAAAUGUCGGCCACGAACCCCAAAAAGAAAAAUGAAGUCAAAUUAAAAACAAAACAAAAAAAAAAGGAGAAAAAGAAGAAGAAGAAGAAGAAGAAGAAGAAGAAGAAGAAGAAGGUUGAAUUGAAUUAGGAGAGUGUGAAUUGGGAAAUGGGGGAUUCGAUUAAAGAACCCUAGAAACAGUGGGGCCAACGAAAUUGGGGGUGGAAAAGGUUUGAAAGGGCAGAGGAUUUGAUUUUGGGAAUUUUGUAAAGAAAACAGAAAAUGGAACGAAGAGAAAAAUUGGCUUUAAACGGUAAAACCGCGUCGUCUUCGUUACUGUUAGCGUCUUAGCAACGCCUUUUUCAGUUUGGGGACACGUGGUCCCAAUCUUCUUCGUUCAAUUUAACGGCGUUACGAGAUCUCCAAGAUGCUGUGUACUUCCCCCGACUGACUACCCGUUUGCCGCUUCAUAGUUUAACUUUUCAACGCUUCCACCACCAACUCUUUUAUUCCCUUCCUUUUUAUCCAUCUCUUUUUUUUAAAAAAAUAAAAUUCAAUUAACAUUUUUCUGUUUUUUAUAAUAUGAUCUAAAAUCAUUUUGGAUGUUGUUUAUAUUUAUAAUUAUUAUACUUUAUACUCUUCACUAUUAAUUUUAUAAACUUUGUUCUUCCUAAAUAUGUUUUUCAAAGUUUGUUUAACCAUAAUUUUUUCAUAGUUUUUUAAAGCUAUAAUUAUGCUUAUAUCAAACAUUUGAUUGCAGCUCUGUUUUUUAAUAUAAAAAUUAGUGUCGACGAAUUCUCUAAAAAUAAAGUUGAUGUUAAUUAAUUAUCAUUAGCAUACUCUUGUGUUUUUUUUAGUAUAUGUGUUUAAUCUAUCAUGUAAUUCUUAAACAACAUGAUGCUUAGUUGAUUUAGUUAGCGAUUAAAUUUUACAAUGAGAGUUAAAAUUAAACUCUUAUUCAGCCAAUACUCUUUCAAAAAAAAUAUAAAUCAAAUAAAUAUUUUUAUUUGAGUGAGUUUCAAUUAGCAGGUACCCAUUUGUUAUAGUUAAGUUUUAUUGUUGAUUUUAAUUAAAAUGUUUAGAAAUUUAUUAUAAUUUUUUAAAAGUAUAUGUGAACUGCCACGUGAAUAUAGUUCAAAAGUAUGAAACAAUAUUAUAACUUCAAACCAAUAAUUAUAAAGUUUGAAUUAUAUUUGAAGUCCAAAAAUAACAUUCAAACGUUAAUUGUGUUUGUUCUCCAACUUUCUGAAAUCAAUGAGUUUAGUUUUUAUAAUUAUUUUGUAUAUAUAUAAUAUACAUGCAUGUUUUGUUCAUUAAGUAGUUAAAUAAUUUAAUGUAGCAUCAAUUAAAUCUUGGAUCUCAAUAUGGAUCCAUUUUUAUGUUAAAAAAUUAAAUACAUUUUUUUUUAUGAAAAUAAUAUAUUUAAAUGUUGGAUAUAUGUAGAUUUUAUUUAAAAAAGUUAAAAUUUUUUAACUAUUUUUUUAAGUCAAUCCAAACGAAAUGUGAGAGACUCAAACUACAGUGCAGUUCCAUUUGUUCUUUUAGUUAAAAGGCAUGAAUUUCUCUUUCUAAAAUUUUAAAUAACCCAUGAACUCAUACACAUGAAUUUCACUAUUUAACUCUUGUCUAUAUGUGGUAGCACAAUCUUCAAUCACAAGCCCUAAUAAUCUCUCCUCCCUUCAUCGCUCAAUCGCCCUACUUCCAGGUUUGUCCAUUCUAGGUUUUCUUCAGUUACGCUUGCUAGAGUCUCAAUUGUGUAUAUAUAUAUGGUUCAAUAUAUACCUUUCAUAGUUUCGAAAUAAACCUUAUGCCAUUUUAUCUGAUUUCAUAAGCAUGAUUUACUUCUUCUUGUGAAAUAUGAUCAUGAUUUUGAUAAAGUUUUUCUAUUAACGAUUUUAGGAGUAUUUACUGUGUUUGUUCAUAUCCUAAUUUUAUUAUGGACAUCUAUGUGGAAAUUAUUUGUUUUAAUUUUGAAAUUAGUUACUUGAAAUGUUUGGAAUGAAUGUAUGAUCUUGUGUUAGAUUUGGAUACAAAGACAUUGUGAGGAAUUGAAAGUGUUAAUUGUUUUAGCUUUCUUUCUUGGCUAACCUACUAUCACUUGACUUGAUUAGGUGGGAUUCAAGUACGAAUGUUAGCGAGUUUGAUGGUCAUUCUAGGCGGGUUUUAAAGUUGUGCAUUUAACCAACAAGACUCUUUCGCAUUUUCACCUGCAGAGAGGAUUUCCUAGUGAAUUUUUAUGAAGGACCAUCAUUUGGAUUUAAGCUAUCUCUCAUGUUUGUUGAUUGUUAUUCUUUCUAAAGGUAGGUUGUCUCUACUUUCCUGCCACAUCGAUUGAUGACAUUAUAACGAACUUCAAUUGCAUUGAGUUAUUGGAGUCUGUUACUUUCGAAACUUAGUGCUAAUUCUUCAAACUUUAUACAAAUCUUAUUGCUAUUAAGGUAUUAUACAAAUCUUUAUCUUUGUCUCAUACUUUGAAGAACAUAAAUGAAUAAUUAAUCUCUCUUUAUACUUCCAAGCUUAUUUUCUUGUAAUUAGAGAUAUUAUAGUAGUGGAUAUAUUAAUGCUUUAAGCUUUUCAUUUUUAUUUUCUAUGCAUUGUCUCUUUGGACUAGCAAAUAAGUACAGUAAUGUAUGAUAAAAUGAUGCUUCCAAUUGCAAUGAGAUAAAAAUAUUCUUCUUACAAUUAAGAGUUGUCAUGUCAACUUUGUGUUUCUCAACUAUCUCAUGGGACAAUAACAUAACCCUUACUACAUUUAGUUGCCAACAAAACUUAUAUCAACUUUCUUGAGAUUGCACUCAUUUAGCUUUUCAACUUUUCAACUAUCCUUGUAUUUUGAGCACUAGUCUCAUUCAUUUUAUCAAUGAAAAUUUUGUGUCAUCAUAUAUGAAAUUAACAAGCCUGCAUCCAACUGUCCAACAAUAAAGGGAGCUCAUUUGUUUCAAACUUGAUUGGAAAUGUUCUAAUUUAAGCUAUGGUUGUUAUUCUCUUCUGUUGUGUGGAUUUUUCAUUGUGCAUCAUUCAUUGGUUGAGUAUACCCAUUAGUGCUUUCUUGUAUUACACCAUUUUUUAUGGAGCUUGGCUAAUAAUAUAGCAUGCCAUGUUAGAAUAAAUAUGGGGAGCUGCUUGUGCAUGAGUUCUUCAAACUUUCAUUAAUUUUGUUAUUUUAACAUGUUUGACAUAAUCACAUUAACAAUAAAUAUCCAACUUAAAAGAAUUGGAUGUCAAUUUUGUGUUGUCAAACUACUUCUUAGGUUUGCAUAAGUGUAAUGAAUCCUGGAUAAAGAUAUAUUUUGUUCUUUGUUUGUAGCUCAAACCUUAUGUAUCUCAAUGCCUCAUAGAACUUAAGACAAAUGACAACAAUGAAUCAACUAAAUCAUAAACGAAGAGGUAUAACAUCUUGUAAUGCUCUUUGUUUUUUUCCCCUCAAAUUAAUUGAUUUAGCACAAUUGAUGUAUAGUGGUAUUCGAUUCAAAUCCUAAGUUUUCUUUUACUUCAGUUUUGAGUAAUUAUUAAGUCAAGUGGGCCUUAAUUAGCUUUAAUUAGAAUAGCAGUGAAGUCAACUUAGAGCAAUUGAUUGAUAUAAGACUUUUUGUAUGGUUGGUAGUAAAAUCUUGAUUCCAAUGUACUUAUUUUAGGCUUAUUGGUAGCUAAAGAUGUCAAUGUUUAUUCUUUUUGUAUGUAAACUACUCUUUAACAAAAAAAAAAAAAAAAAGGUUAUAAGUUAAUUCUAGUGUAUGAAUAUUACAAAGUGUAUCAUAACAUAUAUAUAUUAGAACAACUUGUGUAAUGUAUAUAUAAAGUGUUGACUUGUUUUCAUACGAGUGUAAUGUAUUAGAACAACUUAUAUAACAUAUAUAUAAAGUGUUGACUCUCUGUUUUCAUAUGGGUGUGAUGUAUUAGAACAACUUUGUGAUUGAAUUGGUUAGUGUAAUGACAGAGCGGCAAGAAGAAAAAAACAUGUAUUUUAUUGUAAAAAAAAUGUAGUAAUUGAGAAAGAUAUGACAUAAAAAAAUGUCAUAGUAAAAAAUGUCAUAAUAUAUGAAUUCGUGACACUUUGUAACUGUCAUCAAUAUCGAAAUAAUGACAUUUUAAUUUUAUAAAAACUGUUACGAAUGACAUAUCCUCAACAGAAAAAAAAGUCAUAAUAUACGAAUUUGUGACAUUUUGUAACUAUCGUUAAUAUUGAAAAAAAAUGACAUUUAAUUUUAUAAAAAUGGUCACCAUUGACAUAUCCUUGACAGAAAAAAAAAAAUGUCAUAAUAUACGAAUUCGUGACAUUUUAUAACUGUCGUCAAUAUGCAAAAGAUGACAGUCAUUCGUUGUCAUGAAAAUAAAUAAUAGUAGUUAUUUGUUGUCAUAAAAUAUUAAAUAAUGACGUUUAUUUUCUGUUAUGAAAACACUUAUUGUGACAAAUUUUUAAAACUGUCUUCGAUGGUUUGUCCACAACAGGUGAUUCUAUGACUGUAAAUAAUUGUCACGAAAUUUUAUUUACGACAGAAAAUAACUGACGUCAUAGACCAUUUUUCUUGUAGUGCUGAUUCUUAACACGUGACAUUUGUGUUUCAUUUUUAUUUUAUUGCCUAACUUGAUAUUUUCUUUGUAAAAACAUUUUAUUUUUGUUUGUUAAGUAUCUUCAUUUUCAAUUGAUUAAUUUUCCUCCCGAUUGUUGUUUAAGAUUAAACUUAUAAAUAGUUCUUAAAAUGUAAUAUUAUAAUGAUUGUUAGACAAUUCUACUUUGCAAUCACUUGAAAAUUAAAUUAAAUAUACUACAUUGGUUUACCAUGCUAAAUUCUAGAAACUUUGAAGGAAGAGAGUUGAUGAAUGAAUUAAAAAACACAAAUUAAGAUAAUGUGGCAAACCCAAAGCUUUCUUCUUAUAUACAUAUGCAUAGAUAUUCUUAAAAAUGUCAAUUGAUGAGAUAAUUCAUCUAGAAAAGUAUAAAAAAGAAAAGAAAAAAAAAAGAAAUAAACAACCCACGAUCGGAAACAUGCAAUGAAACAGAGAUAUUCCUUCUUAUUUGGAAGACUAUCCCAACUGUGCGCAAAUUGGAGAUAGAAAAUGGAGUUUUAUAGUCAUCAAUAUUUAAGAAUCUCUAAAGACUCAUUCAUUGUAUUUUGUGUAAAAAUCAAUAACUAAAUGUAUUGUUAAUUUUUUUCAUUUAGAAGAUUAACUUUUUGAUUUCAUUAGCUAUAAAAUUGUUCAUUAGUUACCAUUAACAUAAUUAGUUGAGUAAGACAAAUAAAUUAUUCAUUAUUUACAUUUUAGAAGUUUGAAAGACUUUUCAUUUGAUUGAGUUAUUAGAAGUUGGAAAGACUUUCAGUUUUGUUAAGCUAUUAGUUAUUCAGAAGUUACGAUUAGCCUAAUUAAUUCAUAACAUUAUCUCAUUUCUUCCUCAAUUAACAAAAAUUAAAAUAAGAGAUAGUAUGUAAAGAGUAUACUAAACCUAUAUUAAAUUUGAUGCUAAUCUUACAUAUUCUAAUAAAACUUUUGUUACAAUCUUAAUCCAUAUUGUAAAAUGGCUUAUAAUUAAUCAAAAAACAUAUGAAAAGUACAGUUUACGAAUUUUUCAAAAAAAGUGGAAACACUUCUCUAAGCUAAAAAAAUCAAAAUUGAUACAACUGCUUAAGUUUCAAAAUUGUUUCUUAUUCUCUAUUUCAUUUAUUAGCAACACAAAUAAAUUAUCCUUCCAAUCUCUGUCUCUCAUUUUAUUUUAGACUAAAAUACCAUUUUAAUUUUCAUAUUUGGAAAGUAAUUUUCUAUUGACAUACUUGAAUAAAUACCUAUCACACUUUAAUAAUAUCUCAUAGAUGUUUACUUAGUCCAUCAGAAUCUACCCGUAAAACUUUAUUAUAUUUUAAAAUAUUUUAUGCAAUUUUGAUAUAUUUAAAAACUAAAAUUUUUACGAAAUUAAAAAUGAGUAAAAGUAUAUGGAGAGAAAAGAAGCAAAGUUGAAUAUACAAAAGCAACGUAAUAUUUCAAUAUUGUGAUGGAUUUUAGGCUUAUUAUUGGAUAUUAAUAGAAAGAGUGUAUUUGAAUAACAUUUUCUAUUUCUAAUUUAUGUCCUAAAUAAUUGUCCCUUUUUAGUUUAUCAUCAUUUAUAACCCUAAACCCUAAGAAUGGUACAUUAAUUAAUAUGUAAAUAUUGAAGAAUGUGGUACUAAAAAAGCAAUAAUUCUCAAAGUUAUCACUUUCAAGCUUAAAUAAUUUAUUACAUUCAAAGGCUACAAUUAUGGCUUUGACUAACAAAGUAGUUCUCAUAAGAAUAUAUCUUCUUCUUUUUUUUUCUUCUUAUUCUAAUUUCCAAAGUUAGGUCACUUCUUUCUAUUUUCUCUCUUUCUAUGUUCAAUAUUCCUUCAAUUAAAAAGAAGAAAAAGGAAAAUCACUUUGGAACCUUGCAAAAGUAAAUUACUUGAUUCUUAUUAAAGAUGGUUGAAUAUUCCUUUGUUUUAAGAUAUAUGUUUGAAAAUCUCAAUUAAUGGUGACUCUAUUUAUAGUAAAUUGUACAAGAUAUUAUUCUCUUUAAUUUUGUAGUUGCUUUUAAUUCCUCACUACUCACUACUUUAAUGGAGAAUUUGUGCACAUUUUCAUGACAACACACCUUUUCAAUUCUCUUCAAUAUUCAGAUUUCAAUUUCCCAACUUUCAUUUAACAAUUUCAUAUUUGCUUUAUUAAAGAAAAAUCUCUUCAAAUCCUCUUUUUCCUUUUUAGUAUUUUAAUUUUUGUUUCAUACAUUUUGAAAAGACAAGCUCAAAAGUUAAAUUGUUAUAAAAUUAUGAACCAAAUUACUUCAACCACUAAAUUGUUACUUAUAAGUAAAAAACUUAAGAUACUAAGACUGAUUUUUAACAAUAAAUAUAUAAUAUAUACAGACGUAUCUAUAAUUUCAAAAGUUUUAAUUUAUAUAAUAUCCAAUUUCAUAUUAUUUCGUGGAUUGGGUGGAUAUAAUUCUAAACAUUCUAAUUAGGUGCUCUUAUUAAUUGUUCAACCUUAGUAUUAAUUUAGGUCCUUUUGGUUUAAUUAAGCUUCACAAGUUAUACCCUAAAUUGUAAUGUUUUCAACUAAAAAAAUCAAAUUUACUUUCCUUUUUAUCUUUGUUCAUUUAUAAACUCUAAUAUAUAUAUUUAACCAACACUAUUAUCCAUAAAUAAAAACUGCCCCAAUACCAUUAAAAUGGUAAUAUAAAAGUUUUGUUAAAUUUUAGACACCAAACAAAUGUAUUUUUUAGAGAAAAAAACUUAAUACAACUAAAAAUAAAUAACCCUAGACCAUAAGUAUAUGAAAUAAUAAAUUUAAAACAUAAGCAUCAUAUAUUUAAAUUUGCCAAAAUUUGAAGGGACUAAAUCCAUAGUUUCAAAUUUGUUUUUUAAUUUUAAUUUUUGUGAAUUUUACCCCUCAAUUUAAAUGAAGCAACAGCUAUCCUGACUAAACCAUAUGGUAAAUUAGGUAUUUGAUUCUUCUCUCAACAUUCCACAUAUAAUUGUGAUAGACUUGAAGAUCAUGACUUUUUUAUUGCACAUUUAACAAUUUUCUUCUUGAAUCAUACAAAGAAGUAUGCUCAAACUUUCCAUUAAAUUAAAACAUUAGUUUCUUUUGCAUUUCAUUAGAUUUAUCCAACCAAAUAUUUAUGCUUUCUAUCGUAGUCUCAUAACUUAACAAUAAUAAAUAAUGUAGAAUCUUUUUAUAUACAUCAAUGUAAGUAUAAUUCCAUUUAAUUAUCAAUACAUUAUAAAUUUAAAAUCAAAACAUAUGAUUAUUUAAAUUCUACAUUUCCACAAAAUUUAUUAUACAUUUCCACAAAAUUCAAAACAAAAGAAUCUAAAUUCCAAUUAAGAAAAACAACAAAUUUGCAAAAAAUAAGUAAUGAACAAACGAAACAAAACCAAACCUAAGAAAAGCAAAUAGAUAUGAUCUAAAUAAGGUGAAUAAAGGGUUUUAAUUUGGCAACCACCUUCUUGAGUUGAUCAACCAACGAAACAUACGACACCGUUCCGUCGUUCCCCGCCAGAACCCUAUACUUAUCUUUUCUAGUAAAAUUCGUACAUUCAAAUCCCAAACUUGCCGCCAACAUCCUCUGCACGUGAUUCGCCACCUCAUGCGGGUUUUUCCCGGCCGAGCAUGUUGCCUCCACCGGCAACUGGUUCAAGAACGUCACCUCAUACACCGGUCGUGGGUUCAUGAAGAAGAAAACCGGGUCCAACCCCUUCCAUCCUCGUGCCGUAGUUGCAUGGAAAAACCCAACUCGGUAAUUCAUAGCCACCGGUACAAUUCUAUCCGUUAGUUCCGCAAAUAGCGCGCUGAAUCUCAAGAGGAACGGUUCCCGACAUGUCGUUCCCUCGGGGCAAACGACUAGGUCUCCUUUGGAUAACUCUCUUUUGAUCUUCUCCGCGUCGACAUGUCGGAUUCGGGUUAAUCGCACGGUGGGGAUUGGGGAAAGGAUUUCGGUUAGGCGGGAGAUGGAGUAGGUGACGGCGGGGACUUUGCGGCGGAGUACGGUGGCGAGGACGACGGGAUCCAUUAAGGUGCGGUGGGUGCAGACGAAGAGUACACCAGAGGUGGAGUUGCCUGAGAGGGGCGGCGGGGGGUGGCCUCUGACGAUGACUUUUCCGCCGAAAAGGCGAGUGACGUAAGGGAUGGCCCACAUUGGUAGAAUUAUGCCGAUGGUGAUUCGGAGGAUGGCGAGGAUUAUGCCGAGUGGGACCCAUAGGAUGAUUAGCAAGGCGGUGGCCGGAGUUGGGCGGUUGACGAGGCGACCGUCGUGGAAAAUGACCGGUGACGGUCGGAGAUCUUGGUGACGUGGAGUGUGGUCACGAACUUGGGCGAUUGUUAAUGGUGAGUGCAUCUGUUCCUGCGAUUUUAAAAGGAGUAAAGUAGCCAAAGAAAAGUGUUAACUUUUAGUACUAUCUAAGUAUAUAUAGCUACCAAUUUGCAAUAUCUUUUGUCUAAACCUUACAGUUAAUUAAAACAAAGCUUAGUUGGAAAUCCUAUUUACUCAAAAAAAAAAAAAAAAAAACAUGUAACAUUUAGUCUUGUUAGAGCAUGCAAAAAAUCGUCAAACUAACCUCACAAAGAUCCAAAAUGGAAGAACAUGAUGAAGGUCUUCCUAAACCCAUAGUAGGCUGUCUUCCACCAUUACCCAAGUCAAAAACCUCACAAAUCUCAUCAACAGCAGAACCAAAUCCUCCCUCCAUAAGCCCCGUCGCAAACCCGAAUCGAUUAAACCCGAGCUCGCACCCAAUGACCUCGUCAGCAAGUAAAUGCUCCUUUACAAACAUCUCUACCAUAACCCUUGGCAACUUGGUCACCACCACUCGUUUGUUAAACCCGCUUGUCACUUUCCAAACAUUUAUAUUCAAAUCAUCCAUAAAAAACUUCGGUAAAACUGCUCUCGAAACCGACUCGAUCUCUGCCUUUCGAACACCAAACACUGCCACGAACGUUGCCAAUCUCAGCCCUAACUCUUCCAUCCCCGCUGCCUCAAGAAGACGUAUGAGUGGCCACGAGAAGAGCAAUAACGCAAAACGGAUGAGACCGGAGGCCUCGAAAGCCAUCAACAUGAAGUAGGAGAAUACAUCAGAGCUCUUCAACAAAGUGCCUUCUAGCUCUGCAAUUACAGACUCCAUUUUUCCUUUGUUUUCUUGUUUUCCUUAAUUUGGGUUUGUGAAAGAUUAUUAUAUCUAAUUUUUUGGAUUAUAAAUUGUAAUUGGGUUUUGGUUUCUUGCUUUGGAUUGGAAAUGAAAGAAGGGUUUAUAAAAUGGGAUUGGUGUCUUCUUUUGACUGUUUUAUGAUUUUAAUACUUAUUUUAAUUUUAAUUUAUUUGCAAGUGGGAAUUUUGGCAGUUUAUCAGUUUACAACUACCAACUCUCCUUUUAUGCUAUUUCUUCCAAAUCUCACCCAUAUUUCUUUCUCUCUAACUUUGUAAACAAAAAUUAAUCUAACUCAAUAAAUAGAUUUACAUAAUUUGUCUAAAAAAUAAAUUAAAUUACCAAACGUAUUUUUAGAUUUGUGUUUAUUUUGUUCUUUAUUACGACAUCUUUGAAAAUUCAUAAACUUCUAUAAACCAAAUUUAGAGUUUAGAGUUAUUACAAAAACAUAAAAUUUAAUUAUUAAAACAUAAAAUGAUGUAAAAUGUGUAAUUAUGUUUUUUUAAAAAAGAAAAUAAAAAAUAGUAAUGUCAUUGGAAUAUUUAGAAGAAAGAAAAAGAAAAUACGGCACGGAAAAUACAAAAAUAACGUUGGAUGACUAAACCCCAACAACCUGGGGGGAAAUCAGAAUUGGAAUUGUUGUAUGUACACGUGUCAUCAUGUAAAUGGAUGAGCUGGCGUGAGACUUUAGGUUUACUUAACAUGGAAUUAUCCACAUCACCCACAUAUACGUACGUAGGUUAUCUACGUGGAAUUCAUUUAUAUAUUCAAAACCCACCACCUUUUCUUUUCUUUUUUGUUAAAUUUGAUUGUUUCAAAUUUUAUUAGAAAUUUCCAUUCUCAUUCCAUGAAAGUUGUUCAUCUAGCUACAAUAUAUAUAUAUAUAUAUAGUAUUUAUUAUUUAUUUGCUUUUUUUUUUGGGGUUCUUUUGACCUUUUAUAUUACUUUGACUAUUUCAUAAUGAAAUUAGAGAAUUAUUGUAGCUAUUUUCUUAUACUUUCUUAUAGAUGUUAAUACCAAAAUUUGACCAAAAAAGUGUACUUCAUCACUAGAACACUUCUAUGCUAUUUGAGUUAUGCUUGGUUUGAAAAAUAAUUCUUAUUUUUAAGUUGCAUUAUUAAAGUUUAAGAGGUGUGGUAUUAUUAAACUUUUGAUUUUAAAAGACAACUAAUAUUAAAAAUGUAAUGAAAUAAAAUUUACAAAAAAAAAAGAAAAAGAAAAGUACUUUAAAUUAAAAAAGAUUAGUGAUCUCUAAUACUCAUGCAUGUUUGCUCUAUUAUUUGGGAGCAAACUUGAUGGUUUUAUUGUUUAACAAGAAAUCAAACUACUAUAUUAAAAGGUCAAGUUUUCAAUGAAUAAUAAAGCAAACAAUAAGAUCUCAUGAUGAAUUUAAUGUAAUUGCAAUAAUUGAAAAAUGACACAACCAAAGUCAAAACAUUAGUUUUAUUUUACAUUUCAUUAAUUGUUGUCUCUCUAAUAUAUGUUACUUUUAGUCCAAUGUUUUGCCAUUGUUUCAAAGCUGUAUCCAACUUUCAUAUGAUUAUUUCUAGUCAAACUUUUCAGAAAAGAAAAAAAGAAGAAGAGUAAGUUCUACUCCUAAGUGUGAUAUUUGUUCAUUAGAUUUUGAAAGUGUUGCAAUCUUUGUACCAAAUUAACAAAAAUUAAACUAAUUAAAACACUUGGUUUUACGUCUAAAGUUUGAUGUAUUGGACAAAGUCUAUGAUAGGAUACUUCGGAUUUUUUUUUCAUAAUCUCUAUAGUGUAACUAAUGUUUGAUAAAUUAUAGACUAAAACACGAAUUUAGUUUCAAACUUGGAAAAUUGUAUAUCAACUUUUACUCAAGAUAUGAAAUAUGAUCCUUUUUAUGGUUUAUUUACUUUUUUAAUUGUAAAAUUUGUAUGUUUUUUACCACUUAAUCUUUUUAAAAUAUUUUAAAAAUUAGCUAAUUUGAAAACUGAGGUUGUUCAAGAUUGUAUUAAAAUCUAGAUCCAAUUUUGAAAUUUUAAUUUUAAUUAAAAAAUGUAUUUGAUCGUAAAAUUUGAAAAUAUAAUAGUGUAUGGCAAGUUCACAAUUUCUUAAAACAAAGAAUACAACAAAUUAUUGCUUUUGAAAUUAGACUUAAUGGUUAAUUUUUUCAAAAUUUGUUUAAAAUUUAAGUAUAUCAAACACGUUUUUAGACGUUUUCUUUGUAUUUUUUGUUUUCUAAAAUAUAAAAACAAAAAAUAAAUCCCGAACCAAAUUAAACAUAAAAGAAAAGAUAGUUUUUGUUUAAGUAAAAAAAUGGUUAUCUUAUCCAACUUAAUUAUUGCUUUUAAUUUUUCUUAGUAUGUUAGUUCUAGAGUUUUUUCACAAUUUCUACCAUUAUCUAUUAGCUUAAGCUUUUAGAUUAGUCCUAUUUUUUUACUUGUUUAGUUUUUGAAGAAUAUAAUAUCCACCGAUCUUGUUCAACAUUCCUACAUUAGUUUCGUGUAUGUCUUGCAAUCUCCCACAUUCAUACUAUAUUCAACUUUUAUUUCUUUACUAUAUUUCCUUUUAACCAACCUUGUGUAUUUUAAUUUAAUAUAGGAUAUGCCACCUUUUCUCGGGACAAAGUAGUGUGCUGUUUUAGUUGAAAUUUGAGUUAUAACAUUGUUUGUUCAUAGUAAAAACUAUUUUAGUUUGAGAGAAGAUAAUAAUAAACAUUGUACUAAAAAAACGAUAGAUAUAAAAUAGUAAAAUUGGUAACAAAUAGUAGAUACUGUAACAAAUUAUUGAGUUUUGAAAUAGUGUUUACUAUACCUAUAAUUUGAAACUUUUAAAAAGUAUUUACCCUAACAAUAAAUGGUUAUUAUUAUAAAAUUACAUAGUCUUUGCUCUAAAUGCUCCUUGAAUAUUCAAAUUUCUAAAGUCCAAAAACCAUCCAACUAGAACUUUUUGACCUAGUAAAAAGAUUACAUAUGCUCGAAAGUAAAAUCUAACCGCUUAAUUUUGAUGGGUAUGAUUAAAAUACCAUGUUCGUAAAAGAGAGUUGUUUUCCUAUAUAAUUUAAAAACAAAACUUGAUUCUAAAAAGAAAAAGUAGCUAGUUCAUUUAGACUUAAGUUUUAAGAUGUUACAAUUUUACAACUCAAUCUUGUUAGUUCCUCAAUUUUAAUAGAAGUUUUGAGAAGAAUUUUAAACACAUAAGUGAGAAAAAAUUAAAAAAAUUUCCUCAAGGUUUUGGAAAGCUAUUUUUUCUUAAAAUGGGAUUCUUUGGAAAAAUAUAAUUAUUUCUCCAAAUUUUUAUGACUUUCUACGGUAUCACAAUCAAUUAAUUUUUAAUAUGUUUGAAAAAUAUAAAGACAAUAAGAUACAAAUACUAAAUAUAUAUUUUUUAAAAAAAAAUCCUUAACAUUAGGAAUUAAAAAGUAUAUUUAGACAAUAAAAAUAAACAUUUGGAGCCAUGAUGGUAUAUGAGUCAAGUUUUAGAUUUUUAGAUCAUGGUUAAUUGUUGUAUAAAAACUAUUAAAGAUAAUCAAUAAAUAAGAUAUUUAGAUUUUUCACUCAAAACCAAUUAAUAGAAAAUAAAAUUUAUUAAAAUAAAUACAUUUAAGUAGAACUUAAAAUUUAAAUAAAACAAACUCAAAAGUUGAAAAUGUUAAAAUAAAAAUUUAAAAAAUCAUUUAAUAAUUUAAAUUGUAAUAUAAGACAUUAAUAUUGACUUCUAAGAUGGACAUAUAAUAUCUCAAUCAAACAAACUAUAGUUAGGUAGAUACACCAAAAAUAAAAAGAAAUCAACUAUCAAUUUAUACUUUUUAAACUUUCCUAAUUUUAUUAAUUUAAAGUUUAACUAAUAACCAAGUCUAUUUAAAUUCUCAAACUUUUAUAAAUUUAUCGAUCUAUACUAUACUCAAUUUUGUUUCAUUUGAAACAAUAUCGUCUAAACUUAUUAUUUUUAUCGACUAAACCCUUAAAUUUUUAUACGUAAAAUCAAUUUAGAGUCUCAGUUAUUAAUAUAUGAUUUGGUUUUAUAAUUGUCUACAUGUUCAUCGUAGUCAUUCAUUUUGUUGAUGCACAUGAAUAAUUUGCAUACAUAUAUACAAUGUUAACGAUGCUCUAAAUUGAUUCAUCUAUAAAAUUUUACGAAUUUAAUUGAAACAACUAUACAAGUGUAAAUAAAAUUUAGGAGGUAUAUUGGUUAACCCUUAACUAUGGUUGAUUGAGAUGGGCCAAGAACCGAUUUGAGAGAUUUGAGAAACUUGCAAGAAACCCACACCAUAAAAGGUUUGAAUAAGUUUUGGUAAUCUUUUUUGGUAAAACUAUCAAUUGUGUCUAUGUAUGUAUGUAUGUGUAUAUAUAUUUAUAAUUUAUAAUUAUAUGAAAGGUUGGAAGGUUGUUUUGCGUAGGAAGAAAGGUAGGGUUUCCCAAAAUUAGGUGAAGUUGUUAAGAGAAAACGAAGCCUUUCUACCAUUUUCUUACCUUAACACAAAUUCCAAUGAUCUUAUCUUCAUUUUCCUAACAACUUUUUGUCUUUGCUUUCUUCUUUUUCUCAUCAAUUAUCUUAUAGACCAACAUCACAAAUAUUAUUGUGCUAACUCCAAUGUUCAUCCAACCAUAACCUCUAUACAUAUCAACCAUGGAGAAGUUGCUAGAAGAACAAACUUUUUUUUAUCUCAUUUCUUGUUGAACCAAAAAAGAAAAAAAUGAAGAAAAAAUAUUCUUUAGAUUUGGAUGAAUACGUGCGUUUAGUUCUUGAGUUUAUUUUUAAAAUAGAUAUUUUUAGUUCUGAAUUUAUAAGUAUAGACUCAUUUGGUUCUCGAGUAUUCAAAAUGUAUCUUUUUAGUGUAUGAGUUUUUAAAAGUAAGUUUAAAAUGUUCCUAAAAUAACUUUAUAUUUUUAUUUAAAAUAAUUAUGUGGCAUCUUAAAAUUAGAAGAAUAACUUCUAAAAACUAUCUCUUUUCUACACCACUUUUUCUAAAAAUUUAAAUAUUAUAUAAUUAUUUUCAAAAAAUCAAAUAUAAAAUACUUUUAGGACCUUAUAAACCCAUUUUAAAAAAUUCAUAGUCUAAAAAAGUACAUUUUGAAAACUCUAAUACCAAAUGGGUCUAUUAUAUUGUUGUAAACCUAGGAACUAAAAGUGUUCAAUGAUAUCCCUUUGAAACGAGAAUGGAUGAAAAUAAUAUGCAUAAUUAUUUUGAGAAUAAAAUUGCAUUGCCAAUAAUCUUGUUUUAGAUGAAAAAUGGGUGUUGAUGCUAUAGGAACAUGCACCCUCAUUGUGGCAAAAAAUAGUAGCUGGAAGCAUAGUCUUAAUUUGAAAAUCAACUAACAAUUGUUGAAUUCAAACCCAAUUGUUGAAUUCAAACCAACUUAGAUAGUAACAACAACUCAUGCUUUAAUCUACCUUUCGAUCCCAACUAUAUGUAUCAAAUUGUUAUCAUUUUAUUCAACUCACAAAAGAUGGCAUGCAUCAUUUACUCCAACUAGUAUCACACCAAGUUAUAUGGAUUAUAUUAUUGUAAGUGACAUCAUGUAUGCAUUAUUUCAAUUUUACACAAAUUAUUGUGCCUAUUAAAUUUCCAAUCAUCAUUUUAGUGGGGAAAAAAAGCUUUCCAAACACCAUUUUCUUCACUAUUUCAAAGUUUUAAGGAUUAAGAUGAAAAUUUACAAAAGUAUGUUUAUUGUUGAAGGUUUUAAACUAAACAAAUUACAGAUAUAAACAUACAUAUUGGUACUCACUAAAACUAAAAAAUCAAUAAAUAUUUUUUUUGCAAUUUGUAUUUUUUUUUUUAAUCUAUAAAAACUUGCACCCACGAUAAGAAUGAUAAAAUAGAAGCUUCACUUUGAAUAAAUUGUAAAAAUAUUUUUAAAUUUACAAAAUAGAAAAUUUUGGAGAGAAAAAAAAAGUUGGAGCAUUAUCUUGAAUACCUCAACCUAACUAAAAAACUUGAGUCGUAAAUACACUAAUGGAAUAAACUUCAAAUACAUUUGUAACUAAAAAAAACUCCCCUAGCCAAUCAAACCCUGUGAAAAUUAUAAUUCCCGCUCCAAAAAAAAAAACCACCACCCUCAAAUCUCCACCCAAUUUCACAUCACAUUCUAAUGAUGCAGGCAUUACAAAUAGCAUUAAAGACAUCAAAUCUCGAUCCACUUUGAAACCCUAGCAAUUUUUUAAUUUACGUUCCUUUGCUUCACCGAAAAGCAUUUUUUCGCUCCACACAAAAUUACGUUUGUUAACUGAAAAGCAUCCCUUCAUCGUUUUCCUCCACCGAAAAGCAUUCUUUCAAAAAGUAUCCCUAUCAUCCCUUCACCGAAAAACAUUCUUUGGGUUGUUUCGACGAACAUUGAACUUUUUACAUUCAACCACUCCAAAAUCUCCAACCGGUUGAACAAAGUUCGAAAAUCUCCAAGGUAAGUUCUUCAAGGUCUUCAUACAUAUCAAAUUCAAGUAAGGACUUAAUUGGUGACUCAUUUGUUGUGGCGUGAUUGUAGAAAGCUUCUUUAUGAUUGAAAUAAACAUAAAUUAAACACAAUGUGAAAAAUAAUUAUUUGAUACAAGAGGCACAAAUAAAAUAAUUUUUUUAAAAAAUCAACUAAAAUAAGUGGAUAAUCAUAAUCAUGAUUAUAGGGAUGAUAAAACUUUACUUUUAAAUUAUUAUUAACCGUACGUACUACGUAUUAUAUAAUAUAUAUUUUAAAUAACUUCAAAUAUAAAUAAUACGAAAAUGUUGAAUUUAUGUUUGCCAUUAUUUUAGGGAUAUGAUGUAAUAUUUGAAUUGAAAAUAUUAUGAAAUAUAAUAACUCAGGAACAGUUGAAAUUCUCUUAACCAUUUUUAUUAUUAAUACGUACUAUGAAUUAUUUGAUAUAUUUUUUUAAAUAGUUUGAAAUAUAUUUUGUCAUUAUUUUAAGAAUAUAUGUUGUAAUAUUUGAAUUCAAAAUAUUAUGAAAUAUAAUAAAUCGAGAAAGUUGAAAUUCUCUUAGCCAUUUUUUCUUAGAGAAAAUUGUUAUUAAACAUAAGUCUUAUAAAUAAAAGAAAUAAAUGUUAAUUAAUUUGAUUUAAAUACUAAAAAUCUAAAAAUCUAUUAAUGAAUUAUAGACAUAUAUUUAAGGGAUACUACAGAAAUUUGUCAAACCCAAAAAUAUCUAGUUAAGAUUUUUCAAACUUAUGACUGCGUGGUGUUCCGUCUCAUUCUUUGCAUCAUGUAAGUAAGUUGUAUCUCCACAAAAUAUAUUAUCCUACAUAAAGGGUAUAAACGGGUAAAAAAGUAGAAAAAAAAUUAAAAGGGUCGUGUUGCCAAAAACUUAAUAUUUUUUUAAUUUAUUAUACUCAAAUUUGUCAUUCUCACAAAUUUCUCUUAAAUAAAUAGAGAGGUAGUGAGAGUUGAUUUUCUUAAUUUUGUGACCCAAAUGGAGAAGGGCUACUCAAUGGGCCAUUAAGGCCCAUAAAGUUCUUAUAUUUGGUUUGAAAACCAUUUUGGAUAUUUCUUCAAUAAUUUGUUAAUAGUGUAUUUAUAAGAAACUGUAGAAAUGCACACAUUGAAGUUGUGGUGCCACCAAGACAUCUACCAAAUAAAUAUCUAUUAAUACCUAUAAAAGCCUAAACCCAAUCAAUUGUGUAGGAUGGUAAUAAAUUAUUAGUACCUUAUUUGCUUAAUUUAUGCUAUAUAAAAAAUUGUCAAUUUAUGGUGAUUAAACCUUCCAUUUUAGGAAAUAUAAUGAGUUCGUUUGAAUUGACGAAAAGAUUUUAACAACUAAAUUAAAGUUAUUGUUGCCAGUUGUAGUGGUAUUUAUAUUCUUUUAAAAGGUAUAAUAUUAGUAAUAUACAGUGAUCUCAUAAACAAUGAUUACGUGUAGCCUAGGUUUUACUUAAUUAAUCUCAUACACUCUCCUAUCUCCUUUGCACAUAAAGAACUUUUUUUUUUCUUUUUUUAAAAAAUAUCACAUGGCGCAUUUCAGUUAGAUGCUAAUUCGAAGGAGAAAUAUGUUGGAAAGUUUGAAGAAAAUUGGAGGUGUAAUUAAUCGGAAAUAAAAAUUGAGAGGUAAACAAUGUCUCACCAUUUAGGUCACUGCAAAACAAGUUGGAAGUUUCAAUUUUCAUUCGAACUUAUAAUCUUACGAAUCUCUACUACAAAAGUUAAUUUAAAAAUAUUUAGGCAAAGGCAUAAGAUUACAAACUUUAAAAGGUAAUAGCCAACGUGGUGAAGUUAUUGUAUAGUAAAUCAAUUUUAGAAGUUGAGUACCGUCUUAGAGGUCAAAUUUAAAAGUUGAGUUUAUCUUUUUUAAAAGUGAAUCAAUUUUAGCUAAGAAAACAAAAUUGAUGUUUUAAGUGAUUUUAAAAUCAAAGUAAAACUUGACAAACUAAGUGUAAAUUUCAAACGUGAUGUUAGAUAUUAAUUUCAUUACAAAUUUCAGUAGGUAAUAUUUAGAUUAAUCAUACGAUUUUGGAGGAACAAUAUACUUAAAGUCUAAAUUCAAAUUAUGUUUCCAAUUUUUUUGGGUGACACUAUUAUGGUUUGAGCUAGAGAAUCCUUGAUUUUUCUUCACUCUUUGAAUUUAGUUUUGUACAUCAAAUUCAUCCAAUACAAAGAAGGCACAUUUCAAGUGCAUUUCAAAUGGAUGGAGAUAUUUUUGAAGGGCAACGUUAUUAGUAUUUUAAAUUCAUCCAAUUUUGGAUUGUUAAUAUUGAAGAGGAACCCCAAAGUCAAAGUCAGAAGUAGUUUGGACAUUGAAGCUACUAAUUAUUAUAAUUAUUACUAAGGCAGUAAGAAGUUUAAACUAAUUUUUUUACAAUAAAAAAAUCAAAUACCUAAAUAUUCAUCACUUAUUUAAUGCACACCUACCUAUCCCUCCAAUGCUACGUAUGAUAUAUAUAUAUAUAUAUAUAUAUAUAUAUAUAUAUAUUGUAUGCAUUGAAGCAUACAAUUCAAACAUAGGCUUGUUUCUUCAUAUCUCUCUAUAUCAUGAUAUUUACAUCAUUCACUUCACCCAUAUACUGCCUACAUAUAUUUAGUGGGUAUAUAUAAUUUCGUGUAAAGUAUGCUAUUCUACCAUCAAAUUCGUCUCUACAAUUGAUGUCCUUCAAUGCAUGCUUCCUUGAGUGUGUCUCUUACUUUAUGGUAGUUGAUUUAUAUAAUUGGUACUGUGUUGAGAUUGGUGAUUUUGGUUCGUUUAUUAUUUCUCCAUUACUUCAUUUUUAUGCUCUCAAACUCCCAAUUGUUCUUCCAUGUUUGUUGUGUGUUAGUAUGAUGUGUCUCAACAUCCUGCAAUUUGUGAUUUGUUGGAGAAGUUCUUAAUUUUACUUCUACAACAUUGCUUCUCAACUACAUAUUGUUUCAAGGGAGUCAUAUCUCUAACAUCACUCUUAUUCCCAUUAGACUUUCUCGUGUUGAUAACCUGCCUCUUCUGGAUGAUCUUCGUACCUUUGAUGGUGGGUUACUUUAUUCCUCCUUUAUUGAGAAAUAGAAUUUUCCAUAUUCUAGCUAUCAACUAAAUCUUGCACUUUGAGUGAAAUUAUCCAAGAGCUCACUGAUAGUCGUCGUACCAUUGAUUCUCUUGUGCACUCUCUUAGCUUGAUCUUAGCUAGUUCUGGUGAUGCUUCUACAUCCAUCGUUGAUCCGUCCAAUUCCACUUGAUUUCCUUUUUUGGCCGUUAAGGGGGAGAUGUGUUCGAAGUUGUUGGGUAUAUGUUUUGUUGUUGAUGGUGUUCGUAUGUGCUUGACCAUAAAAUAAAUUUUGUAUAAGCUAAGGGGGAGUUUUUUUUGUUGGUUGUAAAAGUUUUCUUUUGUCGUUUUAUGGUUAUUUUGUUGCCUUGUUAAUAACUUUCCUUUUUUCUUUGGUCAUAAGUUGUGGGUGUCUUAAUGUUGAGUUGAUUAUCUUUCCUUCUUGUGAGAUGGUCUCUAUUAUUGAUUAUCUUUCCUUCUUGUGAGAUGGUCUCUAGAUUUUGACCUAGCAAGUGCGUGUUGUGGUUGAAUGUUUUUGUGUUCGUGAAAGAAGCUUUUGUGCUGUGAAGAAAGAUUGUAGCUUGUGUUCAUAAUGAAUGUUGACUACUGACAUGUUAUUCAAUAUUGAUUGAGAAGUUUGAAUAAUAUAACAUUUAGGAGAGUCUCUAAUCAGACUAUAUUACUAGAGUUAUUAAAUUCAGGGGAGCCUGAUUUUUGCAAAGACAAUCAAUCAAAGUAUCAACAACUUAGGAGAUCCUAAGUGAUCUUCUAGAGUAAUCUUGUUGCAUCUCAUGAUAGCCUAUUAUAAAAGAUUGACUAUCAUACUCUAGUAAACAUAUAUUUUCUCAAUUUGGGCGUAGUCCCAACAUUAGGUAUAAAUCCAACCUUGUUCUCUUAUUCAAUACAUUUUAUUGUUUCUUGAGAACAUUCAUUUCAUAUAUAAUAAUGUUUUUGUUAUAGAUGAAUACAUGGUUUUAUCUUCAAUUUGUUUUUGAAUUAACGAUCGUGCAUGAAAUCAAACUAUCAACUUUUGUAACGGUAAGUUGACACAUUAUUUAAAUCUUUAAUGAAAGUUGAACUAUUUUGUAUAUUCUGUCCAGAAACGUUAAAUUUAAAGGUUUCUUCUCCAACAGACAAAUUUUACUAUAUAAAUAAAACUCCAAUCCAAGUAAAGAAAAUGAAAGCAUUUGACCGAAUAAAUCUUAAGUAAAUAAUUGUUUUUUUUUUACUAGAAGUGCUUAUCAUAAAUGUUUCUGGUGAAAUGGCAAAGUGGUGGUGAUUCUUGGUGAUUAGAGGAGACCUUCUUCUUGAGCAACUCUUGUAGGGUUAUAUCCUUUGCUCAAUUAAUCUCCAUGAAAACUAUAACAAAGUGACUCAUAAUAUGACACCUAAUUAGGCAAUAAUUACUUAGCCUCUUUUAAUUUUGUUGUUUGGACUCAUUUUUCUCCUAAUUAGUUCGCCCUCUUACUUAUUAUUAUUGUUAAUGAUGUGAAUAAGAGCUUUUGCUUUCUCCUCUAUAAAACAAAUAAAAAGAAAUUAUUUUAAAUCAUAAAACUACUACAAAUAUUUAUAAAUACAACAAAAUUUUACGAUCUAUCAUUUAUAAACGCGAUAGUCAGAAAAAUUGCCAUAUUUAUAAAUAUUUUGGUUUAUUUUAUUAUAUUAUUUUAUUUAAAAUUUGGCUAAAAAUUCAACAAAUAUUUGUAUAAAAUAAAAAUAAAAUAGGUUAAAAAUUUUAAAAAUAAAAAAUCAAAAUAAAAAUAAUUACCGAACAUUACUUCAAUUAAUAAUUAUUUAUAUUCAACACAAUAACUUAAUAAUGAGAAACUUAACUAGUUUUAUAACUUAUAAAUAUAUUCAACAAAUCUAUUUUCAAUUAAUCAUUUGUAUUUGAAAAUUUUAAAUUCUCUGCUAAACGUUUUAAGUAAUUACAUGAUCCAGCUAACCUAAGUAAGAACUUGUUUAAGAUAUAUAUUGUCAUUAGGAGGUGAAUUUGUAAGUUAGAGAAUCUGAAGAACAUAAAUUUAAAAAUAAGAGAUUAAUUGAAAUAGGUUGUGAAUUAGUCGUACUAGUUAUCAGUACACAACAAACUAAGAAAUUUGUUUGUGAACAUGGUUUUGUGUUAAAUUUUCUUUUUGUAGAAUUAUUAUUUGUAAUAUAAUGUAUUGAAUAAAUUAAAAUGUUUGUUCCUAUAGUUUGGAAGAAGAUAACUUUAGGUUUAGGGUUUAUAAUUUACUUUUAUGUUUUUGAUAACAAAUUCAUAAAUAGCCUAAAUAUAAACAUUAUACAUGAAGUAUGAAACCAUAUUAACUAAAUUUAAAAUUUUAAAAUAAACCACAUGGACCAAUAUAUUUCUAUCAUUUUAAAAUUUAAAAUUUAAAUUCUAGAUACAAUAAAACAUGAAAAUUUAAUUUUUAGAAUUUGUAUUAUUUAGAUUACAAAAUUCGAAAACAGUUUUUAAAAAUACAAUUGAGAUUGUCUAGACAAGAUAUGUUCUCGAAAUUUAGUGAAUCUGAAAAGACAAAAUAGAAUUUAAAUGGCAAACCAAACGAGUCCUACAAGUUUCGAUAUUUUGGAUACACGAGUAUAUGUUAUUGAAUUAAAAACAAUAAUUUUUUAAAAUAAAAGAAAAAAAGAGUUAAAAUAGAGGAGAGACAAGUCACGUGAGGGGAAAAGCAGAAGUUCACAUGGCUAAAUAAUGGGUGUCAUCCUAAAUGGCAUUAAAAUAAAAAGUCAAGACUUGUAAUCAUAAAUGAAGAUUGCAGCUAUGUGUGUUCGUGUGCACCAAAUAAACUAUCACUGCCAAUUAUAUAAUAAACAAACUAAUGUUUAUAUGUUUUGUGUGUUGAACAUUCAACAAUACGUUGGAUCGAUUUAGCCUCAUCAUCGCAGGAACAUCAUAUAUGGUCUCAUAGAUAGUGUUACGAUGAUAUUGUUUCUGACGAAUUUAGACUCUUCGAAUCAAAUCAUGUUUAUCAGAUACAGUAAUUCAUUAACUUUUAAAUAACUAAGAUACAAAUACAUGCAAGAAUACGCCACUUUUUAAAAUAUGUAUGUAUGUAUACUAAAUGUAAUCCACAAAGUAAUAUACGAAAUUAAGUGAAUAUGGUUUUAUGGUAUAUAUAUUUUCCUUUAAGUAAACCAUGGGUUAAGGUUAAAAUUCAUUUUGUGUAUAUAUAUAUAAUUGAUUGGUGUAUCCUCUUCACGUAUUUGAAAGAGAGGGUUACACGUAUUUGAAAUUUAAAUGAAAAAGUCAGAUUCUCCAUUUAACAUAUCCUUAUGUAUCAAUAUCAAAUACAUAUCCAAUACUGAUUUCUACACACUUUUAAGUAUAUGCAUGUGCUUUCAUAAGUGAGAUCAAAAGUGUGCAACUAGCAGAGAGAAGAAUGAUCGGGACCUCCCCAAAUGGUUGCCUCCUCCUUUUGCCUAUCUUUGUCAUGUGGUGUGGGAUGGAGACGAGGGACAUGGGCAUGGAGGAGGUUUGGAUUGGGUUCUAAAGAAUUAUGAAAAGACUGUCACUGAUCUUGAGAAGUUUGAUACGUUCAUGUCGGAGGUUUAGGCUCAUGCUCUAUAUGGUGUUGAUGAACUGAAGGGCCAUGAUCUAUUGGAGUAUUUGCUCAAUCAUUAUGGAGUCUAUAAUGCCCUUAUUGACGGGGCCUAGAGGUCAAUAUAUCUAAAUAUCUCCAGUGAAAGAGAUUUUGAAGGUGUGCUAAAGUGGCAAUGUGUACCAAUUCAAAUACACAUAUUCAUAUGGUAGAUGGGUCACUUUAUUUAGAUGAAUAAUUAUGUUUCUAGUGUAACACUUCAGCCUCUAACUCUAGUUUGAAUAAUUUAUUCUCUAUUUCUUAUUUAUUUCUAAUGAUCUAGUAUUCCUACGUGAUCAUAACCAUCAAUAAAAUAAGAUUAAAUGUCAAUUUUUUGUUACAUGUCAAUUAAUUUUUAUAAUUUAUAACAAAAUAAUUUAAUCCACGUCUAUCAAUUUAUAAUCGUAAAAAAUUUCAUUAAAUCUUAAUAUAUUAUUUAUCUGGUUAAGGAUCAAAUUGUUACAAUUUUUAAAGUAUAGAGGUUAAGUUGUUACUUUCGAAAAGAGAUUAAAUUUUGAAGUUUUUAAUCUCUUUUCGAACAAUAGUUUGAUUUCGAUUUCUUAGCGUACUUAAGAAAGAAAGAAGACUGAAGACAACAAAUAGAAACGAAGAGUGGCCACAAGUAUAAAAACAAGUCAUUUAAAUACUAAAAACAAGACCUAAAUCUAUACCUUUUCCUAAAAAAAGAAUAGUUUUGGAAAUAUUACUUCAUAUUAGAGUUUCACUGUUGGUUGUAUACAGAAGUUGUCGCACAAGAUCAUAUCUCACUCAAGUUGUCAUUUCUGCAGUUUAAUAAUUUUCUUAUUUGGUUGGUUGUAAUUAUUUUUCCUGCAUAAUUUUCUUUUCUUUGAUGUGCAUAAUUUGAAUGGGAUUGGUUUCCUUUUCCACGGCGACUAUUUAUUUGCAUGAUAUAUAGUGCAUUUGUUAGGGUUAUGGAUCUUUUUGUAGGUAGCCCCAAUGUUCUUCCAUUCAAACUAUGCAUGUAUUGGCUUGUGUUUUGGCAUCGCCAUGUGAGAUCAUCAUUGAAGCUUUUUGUUCAAGAAAUUAUUUCUUUUUUUCUUUUGGCAUAUAUACAAGAAAUUCUUAUUUACGAUUUCAAUACUCGAGAGUAGAGUCUCUCAAUCUUAGGUAGAGUCCAAGACUUUUACAGUUUGGAAAGGAGUUAUCCAAUAACGUAAGAGAGCCUAAGUUCUAUAAGUGAAAAUCAUUCACGAGAAAAUGAAAAGAUAACAACUUUUGAGAGAGAGUCUCACAUACUUAGGACAACUAAGUGUAUCGUCUCUAAUAUUUAACGCUACUUAGCUUAGAGACGGAGCCUAAGUGAUAAUCAAGUUAAUUAGGUUCUACAUGUGUAUCAUUGUGAUCAUUAUUUUACAAAUAUGUAUGUAUAAUAUUGUAAAUACUUGACUUUUGUAUAUUAUAGAACAUAUUUUUGGGUUUUGUCCCAAGACAUAGUAUAGGUUAUCACCGAAUUAGAUUAUCAAUCUAAGUGUUCUGAUCCUUUAAUUUCUUGUUUUGUUGUGUGUUUAUUAUCUAUUGCCUCUGAGUUAGCUUGAUUAUCUUGUGUUUAAUAUCCCUAGUAGGUGGGACAAAUCACUUAUUAAUUUUUACUUCUAUUUCGAAGUGUCAAAGAAGGUUUAUAAAUUUUCAAUUUUAUGUCUAAAAUGUUCUCGAGAUCUUGAAAAUUAAUUAUUAGAAUUGUUUAUCUAAUAUUUUUAUUGAGUUUUUUUUAAAAAAAUUCAAACAUUCUUAGAUUAAAUUUAUAAUUAGCUAGACUCAAUCGUUUGAUAAUGAUUACAUUUUUUGUUUUCUAUUUAUGAAAUUUAUAUGCUUAUUUCCUCGUAAAUUCUCAAAUUAUAAUUUUCACAUUGAACACUUGCUAAUAUUACAAUCAAUUGAGCGACAAUAAAAUUUUGAUUAAACAAAAUUUAAUAAAUUAGAGAAUAAGGUAUAAUAUUAUAAUUUCUUUUUUUAAAAAAAGUAUGAAUAUUAACCCCAAAAAUUUGUGUUUAGUCACUAAAAAAAAGAGUUGAAACCCAUCUCUCACAAUUAGUUGUCACAGCUUAGUUAGGCAGUAUUAUAUUUUCAUAAUUAAAUUUAAACUUAUGAUUACAUUUAUGGUUAUAAAGAUCUAUAUAUAGUUCCAUUGUUUGGAUUAUUCGAAUAUAUAUUGUACCAAUUAUAAUUAAUAAAAUCAAUAGUUAAAUUCUAUAAUUUGUUUGAGAAAUUAAUGAAUAUGUUUUUUUUACGUAUUUUAUGAAUUAUUUAAAUUUAUUGUUAUUAUUUCCUAAAACAAAUAUAUGGUAUAAAUGUUACUAGGUGUUUCUUUCUUUGUAGAAUUAAUCGAGAAUAGGAGUCGAAGUGUCUCUUCCUCUCGUAUUUUUUCUUUAUAUAGUUAAAAUAAUGUAUCAAAACAUUGUGUGUUGCUCGCAAAUCUUUGAAAGAUUAAGAGUUUUCAAUUCUUUCUACUUCUUGUUUGUCGUUGUUUUACAUUGUAUGUAGUUUGUACGUAUUUUGAGUUGUUAUUUUGAUACUCAAUCUAAUUUCUAAGAAGAUAGAGAGAAAUUAACAUAGCACAAGAGAUCAUCGAUAAUGUUUAACAUGUAAUUACGUAACUUUUUAUUUCACAAAAAUAAAAUUAAUAAAUUGGAAUGAUCAAAAUAGUCGUAGAUCAUCAACUUAAAGUUGUUAAUUAAAUCAAAUACAAACACAGUUUGAAAUUCUUGAGCAUAAAUUGCUUCAUUUUUCAAAAAAGAAAAUAUUAUUAAAUUCAAUAAGUUAAUUAUGCAUGGUUAAAUUAUAUAAAUGAUUUAUUAAAUAAUUUAAUUUAACUUUUUUCAAGAUAAACAAAAAAAAAAUGGUCAGGCAGGAUAUUUAUAUCAAAUUCAUUAUUGAUUAGGACAGAGUUUAUACAAAAUUAAUAGGGCGGCCUAAGGGGACUUUACUCUUUUGUUUUUAUUUAUGUGGUAAGGUUCUCUAUUAUUCCAAUUAUAAUUUUAAAUAAACCAUUUCUCAUGUAUUUUAAUUAACAAAAUUUUUAAUUUUUAAUUAAUUAUUUGCUUUAAAUCUUAUUUAGUAUGAUAAUGUUUAUAUAUAUAUUUUUUUUUUCAUAAAUUAAAAAUCAAAAUUUAUUAACGAUUAUUUACCCAAACUUAGUCAUUUAUUUUUAAAUCUGAGUUGUAGAAAUUAAAAAUUAUGUUUUUUUUUAAGUGGUUAUUGUAAAUGGUAGUUGAGUGGUAGCUUUAUGAAAACUUUUUAUAACUCUUUCUUCGUAAUGUAAUAUUGUAUAUUUAUUACUAACCAUUUACCAACAUACUAAAAUUAGUGUAACAAUAAACACAAAAAAAGAGAUGUUGAAAUAAAUAUAUUUCUAAAACAUAUUAGAUGUAUCAUAUAGUAAUUAAAUCUAACAUUAUUGCUAGACUCAUGACACUAAUAGUAAGUUGAUUAUGACACUUCAUCAGACAUUCUUGUGACCAUAUACAUGGUUUCAAUAUACAUAUAUACCAAAUCUAACUUUUUUAAGAAAAUAUUGAAAAAAAAAACUAUCCUACCUUAUGCAUGCAAUUGUUAUUAUUAUAAUAAUAAUAAUCAUUAUUAUUAUUGUUAGUUUGGUGCUCGAGCUUUGAAGUGUCUACCACGUCUUUACACUUUUUAGUUUUGUGUCUAAUUGGUUCUUCGACGUUAAGAUUUAUACACGACUAUUAGAUUUUUGACUAAUUGAUAUAUUCAAUAUUUUUUUAAUUAUAAAUAUAGUCUUUAUAAAUUUGAAUUUUACAAGUUCUUUAUAAAUCAUCAAACUUUAACUUUAUAUAUAAUUAAAUUAUUAUUAUUAUUAUUAAAUAUAACACGAUAAACUAAAAUAUUUAUAAACAUGAUAAAAUAUCAUAGCCUAUCUAAUUAACUUUAAUUCGUAUAUAGUACAACGUCCAUUUUUUAUAAGUUAAGCAAGUAUAAAUGCGACCAUAUAUACAUGCAUUUACAUUACUCAAUAAUAAAUAUUAAAAGAAUACAUGGUUUUGAUGGUAAAAGUAAUUUUUUUAAAAAUGAAUGAAACUGAGAGAAGUGAAAUAUGAGAUAUGCAUGGGAAGAAAUGAGAAAGAAGAAGAAGAAAAGAAAAAUAAUAAAUACAAUAAAGUAUGGAAAUAAUAAUGAUAAUAAAUUAGAAUAAAGAAAAACGGCAACGAGCAAUGGCCAUAUGAGAUUGGGAUGAAGAGAAGGUCGGCGGAAGAGGAAGGAGAAAGGUAAAAGAGGGAAGAAAAAUUCCAAACCUAAACUCUUUUUUCAUUUUUCAUUUUUCUUUUUUUUGGCAUUUUAAUUGUGUUAACAUAUGGUCAUAUUAAUUAUCGCUGUAAGAGUAACCCUUCUAAGCAUCAACACUAGUCUUGGAUAUACUUGAUUCUUUCUCGUUUCAACAUUCACAUUUUUUCAUCGUUCUUGAUAAGUUGACACUCUUCUUGCUUUCUCUUUCGUUACUUGUUAUUGAUUUUCAAUCACUUGAUUAUAGAGAGUUGAGUCAAAGAUUAUGAAACGUUGUUUGUCUAUUGAAUGAAAUUAUAUUAAGUGAGAAUUGAGAAUGUGUAGCAAGUGUAAAGUGGAAAUAAGGGCAAGUAUCAAGUCGGUGAGUAGUGAGCAAUGAGCAUUGUCACUUAACUUUGGAAGGUUGUUAAUUAUGAUAACUUCACGAUAGAAUGAUGCAAGCAAAAUGUUAAAAUAAAUAUUCAAUUUUUUUAGAAAAUAAACUCUUUUUUUAUUUGACCGAUGAAAAGAUGACAUCUAUAUGUACAAAAAUCUUGAAAAUAUAUACAUAGAUGAGAAGAAGGGAAAUGAAAAUUACCUUCACUUUUAUUUUAAAAUAAAAAAAUAUAUUUUUUUUACAUCAACAACUUAAAAACAAAUUUUUAAAAUAACUAGUCCAUACUCGUAUAAUACAUGAAUUAACAAAGGAUAGAUUAGGACUUAAACAUCAAUAACUAAAAUGUUGAGUUUUGGACGCAACUUAGAGAUGUAGAUUUUGAUGACAAAAAAAAUGUAUAUUUUUUUUUCUUAUUUCAAUAGUGGAGUUUUUAAUAUAUACACAUGUAUAUGUGUGUAUAUAUUUUGAAUAAUAAAAAAUUAAAAGGGGGAAGAAUGGUGCAAUAAAAAGUCAUGCAGCCAUGAUUACUUACCUUAUGCAUUCCUAACCCACUUUGUUUUUUUAUGCAUGAUAAAGUGAUAUUUUGUUUGGGAAAAAACAAAUUAUGACCAACAUUCUCGUUUUGUUAUUAUUUUAACUUGUUUAGUAAAACCAAUUUGGAGCAAAAUCAUUCCUUGGUUUUGUUUUCAACUCAUCUUUUAGGUUGAAUUUUAGUUUUUAUUUAUAUUAUAAUUUAUUUUUAAAUAUUAAAAAAAAAACAUAUUAUACAUACAAUUUGGAUGUUGUUACACGACUGAAAGUAGGUGCAAGCCAUUGCAAUGCAAAAUUCUUGGUCCACUACUAUGCAGAGCCAAACCGGUAUUUUCUUAAGUUGUAUAUACGAUAUUCCUGCUUACGUAAAUGAAAAAGUGGAAAGAUUAUGCCUAGGAGAUGUUUGUAGUUGAGAAAACAUUGAAGUCGAGAGAAGUUCCAUGAGAAGAUAGUCAAAUUAUUUAUUUGCCAUUCGAUGAGGGUUUACGUGACAACACUACAAACAUGAUAUAUAUUUAAGAGAUGCACUAAAGAUCGAUCUAAUUUAUAUAUGUAUUUGUAUGUAUAGUUAAACAACAAUAUAUAAAGCUAAGUUGAACGAGUGAUAAUACAAAAUGUAUUUAAAAUAUUCACGUUCACAAACACUUUUGAAGAGCAAAGAUAAAUGCGAUUAUGAUAUGAAAGAAGGACAAAUGAAUUGAUUUAUAUAUUCCAAAUUUAAAACAUACACUUUUUGUGAAUUCAUAAUGAACAUGUAGAUCUUAAAAUCGAAAAAGAAAAAGUAAAUUUUCAUCAAAUUGAUUAUUGAACUAACCGAGUAGUUAUAGUAAAAAAAAAAAAUUAGGGGAAGUGAUUUUUGUGUUUAAUUAACAAAGGAAUCCAGGUAAUGAAACUAAUUUGAAAUAGUACUCCAUUAUUGUUAUAGCACUAAACUAAAUGUUUGACUUGUAAGAAGGAUAAUAUAUACAUAUCUAUGAAAAUAAAAAAGAACCCAUGUGACUUAAAAUCUUUCAAAAUUAAUUCAUGCAGUAAAGAAAGUCAUUUUUUUAUAAUUAAUAAAAAAAAACAAUCCGUUACAAGUACAACCAAUAGAUUAAUCUUGAUAAUUAGUCAUAUAAUAUUGCAAUUGAACAUAUAAAUAAAGUUAUUUAAAAUUAGAUUAUUUAUAUAUAUAUUAGGAUAAAAGGCAAUAAUUAUAGAGAAAAAUGUUUAGGUUAGAGUUAUGGGUAUUAUGGAGAUUUCACAUAGGUUUCAGUUAGAAAAACAAAAAGAAAAGAAAGGGGUAAUUGGAGUCCACGCGCGGUCCAAAAAGCGUGAGGAAGGGGCCCACUCCAGUUUUUUCAGUUUUAGUAAAUAGAAAUUUGGUACAGUUUUCCGCACCUGAUCCCUCCCCCGUUUUACACACAACACUUGUCCUUGUUGCAUUGGUCAUCGCCUCAAACUCGGAUCUGCUUUUGUUUCUUUGCUUACGUGUCACCAUUUACUUCUUUUUCUUUUUUCCCUUUUUCUAACAUUCACCUCUAAAUCAAUCUUAAUUAUAAAUCCUAUCAAAUUUAUCUUAUAUAUAUUUCUUUUCCUUUCAAUCUAUUUUAUUCUUUUUAGAACUUUUAUAGGAUUAAAUUCCAAACUGUUAUUAUUAUUAUUAUUGUUGAAGAGUUUUUUUUUUUUUUUUUUUUUGACAUAUUCAAAAGGGUUCGUAAGUGUAGGCACUAUUUUAUCAUUAUAGAUAAAUAAACUGAGAAGAAAAUUAUGGAAUUUAUUACGAAAGCACUAAAAUUAGAAAUAAAGAUGAGAGGAAAAAUUUGUAUUAUGUAAUAUUUUUCUCCAAGAUUUUUGAAAGGAAAACAAAAUUCCAAGUUUAGAAAAUGGAAAAACCCUCUAUUCUCUCAAAUGUAAAAGAAAAAGAAAACAUAAACAAAUUCUAACAAAUUAGACAUAAUCGGCAAUUUUCUCUCCUUCCAUCUAAUUCAUAUAUUUAAUGUUUAAUUACAAAUUUCCAUUUUCUUUUCAACUAAAAUAUAUAUAUAUAAAAUUAGAAUUCCAAAAUGGGCAAAAUCUUUUGCAUUAAUCACUGAAAUAAAACCCUAAAAGGAUAUCUUGUAAGAAUAUAUCCACUACAAUUGAUCCUCACCGUCCGUUAUUUUGUUCAACGGUUGAGAUGUUUCCGCCACUCGUGCUUAUCAUUCCUCUUCCUCACUCCACUGUCUCCUUUCUUCGCAUUCUUCUCCUCUGUGUUAAGAGAGAACAAAAAAAUGGCUAACUUCUUCUUCUUCUUCGAUCAUCUUUUCGUUCUUGACCCAAUCUGAUGCUUAUAUUACUGUAAUCUAAACAUUAAUCAAUAAAUAAAAAAAACCCCAAGUUUUGACGAACAGAGCUAUUUUCUAUUUUUUUUUUUUUUUGUGCCCCUUUUGUUUGGAUUCUUGUUUUGAAGUCAUGGGGUUGUAAUUUUUUUUGUUGGGAAUUGGUUUUUUGAGACAUUCAAGCGAAACUCACUUGUACUUUUCGAUUUUGAGCUCGUUUUUAGCUCAAAGUUGGGAGCUUUUUUUUUCUUCGUUACCCAGUUCUGUUUUUGGGAAUUUUUGUGUUAGUAAUGGUUACCGAUACUUAUUCGAAAUUGGGUACUGAUAUUUCACUGCGAUCGGCGCUGAAAAGUGGCGAUUAUGGUGAAGAUUUAGGGAUGUUGAGAAGACAACAAAGGCAACAACAGCAGCUCGAGGCUGUGAGUGACAGAGAGAAGGAACUCAACCUUUGCCGGAGUGGUUCUGCGCCGCCGACUGUUGAAGGCUCUUUAACCGCCGUUGGGGAUAUGUUUAAUGCCUCUGACUUAUUGGGAUUCAACAAAGCCGCCGGAAAAGGUUUCAUUUCUGAUGAAGAGCUUCGUUCUGAUCCUGCUUAUGUUAACUAUUACUAUUCCAAUGUGAAUCUGAACCCUCGCCUUCCGCCGCCGCUGCUCUCUAAAGAGGAUUGGCGGUUUGCACAGCGGUUACACGGCGGAGGCGGCGCCGGGGGGUUGGGUGGGAUUGGAGAUAGAAGGGAAGGUAGUAGAGGAGGUGAUGAAGGGGUUAAUCGGAAUGGGUCACUUUUCAUGUUGCAGCCUGGAGUUGGAACCAAAGAGGAUCCCGGUAUCGAUUCAAGGCGGGUUGCUCGUGAUUGGACCGGCGAUGGCCUUAUCGGGCUGCCGGGGUUAGGACUUGGGAGUAGGAAGAAAAGCAUUGCUGAGAUCCUUCAGGUGAUGAUGCUUUUGAUUGUAAUAUUUAUAUGGGUCUUGUUUUCUUUAGAUUCUAUUGUUUUGCUUCAUAUAUAUUUUUUGGAAGAAUCAUUUUCCCUUUAAAUCGUUGUGAACUCGAUAAAGUUAUCAUUUUUUUGCCUACAGCUCUUAUGAUCCUAACAUUCCCAAUUGUAGAUUGUUUUUUGACGGAAUUACAAUCUUAUAUUUACUGUUCUUAUCGUGUAUAUUGCAGUGAUGCCUUAUAAAAUGAUCUAUGUUGUGGUCAGCAUUUAAAAAAUGCCAGCUUAGAUGUGCCAGUUUCUCAACUUGUAAGGAAGAAACACAUGAAUAUUCUGAAAAGAUGUUCAUUUUUCCCUUACAAUCUCAAAUAAAACCUAUAUUUUUGUAAAUUUUUUCUUAUUAUUCCUCAUACUAUAAGUAGGCAAUCUAUUUACAUUUUUUCUAUUGUGUGCAUUAUAAAAAGAGAGCCAUGCUUAACCUUGUAAGCUUAUUGUGCAUUGGGUGUAUUUCGAGCUUUAACAAACACUAACUAUAGCAAGUGAGAUUGGUUGUGUUUCAUUUUUUCUUCUGGUAGAAAAUUUCUGCAGUUAAGUUACAGUUACUUAGUUUGGUUUUAUUUGAUGACAGGAUGAUAUAAGCAAUGGAAUGAAUAUCUCCCGACAUCCUUCUCGUCCGACUAGCCGCAAUGCAUUUGAGGAUACUUUGGAAGCUUCAGAAAGUCAAUUUGCUUACUUACAUCAAGAUAUGGCAACAAUCGGUGGGAACAAACAGGGCUUAUCUGCAGUUCAAGGAGUUGGUGCCUCUGCACCUCAUACUUAUGCAUCAGCUGUAGGAGCCUCCUUGUCUAGAAGUGCGACUCCUGAUCCUCAACUUGUAGCCAGAGCUCCAAGUCCUCGUAUUCCUCCAGUUGGUGGGAGGAUAUCUAGCACUAUGGAUAAAAGAAACGCUUCUGGGCCAAAUUCUUUCAAUGGGGUUUCGCUGAAGGCGAGUGACCCUUCAGACCUGGUGUCUUCUUUUUCGGGCAUGAAUUUGUCAAAUGGUAUUCUUGAUGAUGAGAGCCACUUGCGGUCAGAUAUUCAGCAGGAGAUUGAUGAUCGUCAUAACUUCUUCAAUCUGCAAACUGAUCAAAAUGAUAUGAAAAGGUAUCUAGGUUUGAAGAACACAGACUCGGGGAAGUUUCAUCUGCAUUCAUCUUCUCAUUCAGCUAGAGGAUCUCAUCAAAAUAAUUCUCUUGCGUCAGGUGUUGAUCAAUCAGAAUUCAACAAGCAAGCUGUUUCUUCCCCUACUUCAUAUAUGAAGGGGCCGUAUAAACAAACACUUAAUAAUGCAAGAGGUUCACCAUCUCGCAAUCAAAAUAUCGACAAUGGAAAUUCUUCUUUCUUGAAUUAUGGAUUCAGUGGUUAUACUACUAAUCCUCCAGUUUCCUCAAUUGUUGGGACCCAUCUUGGCAGUGGUAAUUUACCUCCACUGUAUGAGAAUGCUGCUGCUGCAUCAGCAAUGGGAAUGAGUGCCUUGAAUAAUAGAGCAUUCAAUGGAUUGGCUUUAGGAUCAAGUAUGUUGGAAACAGCCAGCGAAUUUCAAAAUAACAACAGGUUGGAAAAUCAUAAUGCGAUGAACGGUAUGCAGUUAUCUGGAUUGGAUCCAUCCUACAUUCAAUAUUUGGGAUCAAAUGAAUACGCUGCUGCACAGGUGGGCGGGAUUAGUGACCCUCCAUUGGAUAGUGAUAGUUUGAUGGGUAAUGGAUAUAUGGAUUUAUUGGGAGUCCAAAAAGCUUACCUGGGAGCAUUGCUUUCACCUCAAAAUUCACAAUUUGUUCUUCCUUAUUUUGGUAAAUCCGGCAGUCUAAAUCAUAACUACUAUGGCAACCCAGGCUAUGGUCUUGGCAUGUCGUAUCCCGGAAGUCCAUUAGCUGGAUCCCUUCUUCCUGGCUCUCCUGCUGGAUCUGGUAAUGCCCUCAACCACAUCAGUAAGGCCUUGCGCUUCUCUUCGGGAAUGAGAAAUUUUGCUGGAGGUGGCCUUGGAGGUUGGCAUUCUGAAGGUGGUGGCAAUAUGAAUGGAGGUUUUGUGUCUUCUUUGCUAGAUGAAUUCAAAAGCAAUAAAAGCAAAUGUUUUGAACUUUCAGAAAUUGCUGGCCAUGUUUUUGAGUUCAGGUACUCGGCUCUUGGCACUUUAUACUUCUAUGCUGUUGCUAAAGGCAGCCUAACCUGAAUGAAAAUGUUUCUUUCAUUGUCUUUUUAAACAGUUCUGAUCAAUAUGGAAGUCGUUUCAUUCAGCAGAAGCUUGAAACUGCUUCUGUAGAAGAGAAAGAUAUGGUUUUCCAUGAAAUUAUGCCACAAGCUCUUUCCUUAAUGACUGAUGUGUUUGGUAAUUAUGUUGUUCAAAAGGUAUUGUUUUACAUUUAACAUUUGUUUGAACUGGCUUGUCUAUAAUUUUAUUAAGCAGAUGAGAUCAUGGAAUGACAUGAUUGAUGAUUGAAUAACUAAUAAUUUGUUUUGGACUUAAUUAUGAGCAUCUGUGGCAUCCAGUUUUUUGAGCAUGGAACUGCAUCCCAAAUAAGGGAACUAGCUGAUCAACUCAACGGACACGUGCUAGCGCUCAGUCUUCAAAUGUAUGGUUGCCGAGUGAUUCAGAAGGUCUGUGUUGCCUUUGCUUUUUAAGGAAAAUCUCCAGAUUCCUUUAAUAUUAAAUUAUCUUUCCUUCUUUGACGUUUCACUGUUCUCUCAUACAAAAUUUGUGUUGAAGCUGAAAAUGUCAUCCAUUUUUUUUCCCUGUAACCAAAAUAUUGUGAUGCAAAUAUCAUUUCAGGCAAUUGAAGUGGUUGAUGUUGACCAGCAGACUAAAAUGGUUACAGAAUUAGAUGGUCAGAUCAUGCGUUGUGUACGUGAUCAAAAUGGGAACCAUGUUGUACAGAAGUGCAUCGAAUGCAUUCCUGAGGAAGCAAUUCAGUUUAUUGUUUCAACAUUUUAUGAUCAAGUUGUUACAUUAUCGACUCAUCCAUAUGGUUGUCGUGUUAUACAGGUAAGGGAAUUUAUUCUUCUAUUUUUGCAUUUUGUACCAUCUCUGAUUCUUGCAAACUAAAUUGUGAUAUUAUGUGGAACUUACAACACUAAUGAUUAUAUUUAUUGGUUGUAAUGAUUAAAUCAUACAACAAUUCUCUCUCAGAGAGUUCUCGAGCACUGCCACAACCCGAAAACACAGCAUAUAAUGAUGGACGAGAUUUUGCAGUCUGUCUGCACGCUGGCUCAAGAUCAGUAUGGAAAUUAUGUUGUGCAGGUUUGACAUUAAAUCAAGACACUCCUUUAAUUACCUUUUGCCACUGAAGCACUUUAAUAUACUAAUUUUGGUCUUGUUCUUACAGCAUGUAUUGGAGCAUGGGAAGCCACACGAACGUUCUGCUAUUAUAAAGAAACUGACUGGGCAGAUAGUUCAAAUGAGUCAGCAGAAGUUUGCCUCCAAUGUCAUUGAGAAAUGUCUAACUUUUGGAACUUCUGCUGAACGCCAGGCCUUGGUCAAUGAGAUGCUCGGUACCACAGAUGAAAAUGAGCCCCUUCAGGUGUUUGUCUGCAUUCCACCUGCACUUUUUUCCCUUCCAUAUGAUCAAGAAAUUUCCCCACCCUCAACCGUCCUGAAAAUGGAAGUUAACAAUAGGAAAAUAUGUCUAAUGCUUUUGUAUGACAAUUUUUUGGAGUGGGAACUCACUGUCUGCUUUGAAAGGAGAAAUAUAACAAAGAUAUUCUUUUCUCUACUGCAUGCCUUUGUUCAGAUCAUGACAUUUUAUUGUCUUGGUACCAAAUGGAUAUUCUCAACUUCAGAGCAUUCUUUAGAAGAAACAUCUUAAUUCUACGGAUAACUGAUUCAUACAAACGUAUCUCCAUUUUCUUUUCCUACAAUUCGGAUGGUCGAAUGGAGUGACAAAUGUUGUAACUUUCUUCUUCUCUGUUGUUGAAUCCAGGUUAUGAUGAAAGAUCAGUUUGCAAACUACGUUGUACAGAAAGUGCUGGAAACUUGUGAUGACCAGCAACUUGAACUAAUUCUUAAUAGGAUAAAAGUUCAUCUCAAUGCUCUGAAGAAGUAUACCUAUGGUAAGCACAUAGUUGCUCGGGUGGAGAAACUUGUUGCUGCUGGAGGUACGAUCUCUCCAUCUACCAGUGCUUUUUGCUCUUUUGUUCAUAUUUACUUUUGGACAAGUCAGAACAUGCUAAACUGCCAAAGAGGAAUAGAAUCACAAUUAAAAAUAAAAGAGGAUAGCUAGUAGCUGAACUGUUCUCAAGUUUGUUUGCAUUUUCGAUACUGAUUGAUCUUGAUUGAUACUGUACUACUUUUUGAUGUCGAGGUAUCUAAAACGAACUUACACUGUAUGACAGAGAGGAGGAUUAGCAUUCUGACUCCAAAGCCAGCACAGGUGGUUGGUUAGGAAAACAAGGAAGAAAGUUGUACAGCUAACCGAGGAUAGCACAAAGCACGCGGUGUCUCUUUCCGCUUCCGUUUUAUAUCUCUGUCUAGUAAGUAAUAGCUGCUGUAUCUAUAUGAUUCAGAUAGAAGCUGACAUGAAAUAAGGAAAAAAAACGAGUACAAAAAGUAAAAAAAAAAUUGUUAAAAAAAGGAACUGUUGGCUGUACAUUUUAUAAUCUUGAGAGUAUAGAGAAAAUGAAGGUUAGAUGAAGAGAGAAUUGAGGGACAGAUGAACAAAAGCUGAUGGCUCUGUCCCUAAAGAAAAGAGAUAAGAGGUUUUAGUAUUUGAGUUUUUGUUUUUAAGGGUGUAAAAAGGGAGAGGAGGAAGAGGGAAGUAGAAAUGUUUAAUGGGAUGACGACGACGACGAUCUACGAUGAUAUGAUCGAAUCAUGGGUUGUACAAAUAUUAGCUGGUGGAGUUAUGUUUUUCUCUCUUUUUUUUUUGUUAGGAUUUGUUUUCUUUUGAUUAUGUAUGAGAUUUUGAUUCUUCAUCUUUGUUAUUUCAUCAACUUUUUUUCUUUCUUAAAGUUGAGUUUUUACUCUUUUUCUUUUUUGCUUGUAAAAUGUUCAUUUAGUUGUCCUUUUUGUUGAAUUAUGUAUUCAAUUGAUGCUUGCUGAGAUGAGAAAUCUAUUAUGGUUUUAACAAUUUUGUUUUUAUUUUAUGUUGGAUUUGUUUUAAUUAGGUGUAAAUUUCAAAAUGUUUAGUUUUUUUUUUUUUGAAAAAAUAGAAGGUUAUCAAAAUUGCAUUUUCUAAAUUUAUUUUUUGUUUAAAAAUGAACUUCUAAUCUUUUUUUCUUACAGGUCUUUUGUCAAAUUAAAUUUUUUGAAAAAUCAAUAUUUGUUAUGUUUAUACAUAAAUUUGAAUGUUAGGUUUAUUUUGGAACUUUAAUUUUCUAAGUUAUUGUUUCAUAGAUCCUAAAUUUAUUAUGAGCUUUAUAAUUUAGUGCACAUUAUGACAAUGUGUUAUAUUUAUAAAUAUUCUUAUAUGUUUUGUGAUUUAAAAUAACUUUUCUUUUUAAAAAAUUGAUAAAAAAAACAGUUGUGAUUUCUUAUGGAAAUAGAUUACAAAAUUUAAAAAAAUAGAGAAUGAGUGUAAUUUUCAACAACUUAUUUUUAAAAAAAACUAACACUAAAUUAAGACUUCGCAGAAUUGUCUAAUUUUAUCUAUAUUUGUUUCUUACAUUGAAAAUGUGUUUAUUUAUUAUUAUUAUUUUUAAUUUUUCAUUCUAUAACAAAAUCUUUAUUUAGUUCUUUUAAAAAAAUCUGUUUUACUUUAUUGGUAUAAACACCUUAAUGUAUAUUGAACUUCAUGAAUCUUUGUAUAUGCAAUAAUUUUAGAAUGUGACUUCCAAACCUCAAACUUAUUUGUUGAAGGUUCGUUUGUUUUAUUAAAACCUUUCGUUUUCUUUUUAUUUCGAUCUUGCAACCUGGAUAAUAAGCAAUGAUUUUUAUCUUUUCAUUUUCAUUUGUAAAGAAUAAAAAAUGGUUGAUCUUUUCGGAAGUAAAGAGACCAAGGUGAAUCAUAGCUGAGCAAUGAAAAGAAAUACAAGUGUGAAGAGUGAAGAGUGAAGACUGUGAACACAAACUUCAGAAGCAAAACAUAACAUUUUGCACAUAUGAUUGAGUGAAAAAAAGAAGAAAUACAACAAUGGUUUGAAACACAAAAGUCACAAAAUGAGAAACAAAAGUAAGAAAUAACUUUUAUUUUGAUAUGUGAUUUUGGUUCCACAAAAGAAGAAGAUGAAAGAACAAAAAGGCCUGAAGAAUAUAUAGAUGAGAGGAAUCUCACAUAAUGAGAGCACUCAUUUCCUUUCCCCACAAAGACACAACUUGAUGAUUAGUGUCAUGAAAUGAGUUAAACACAACACACAAGCUUUUUAAUUUAGAAAGCUCCUCUGGUAAUUGCGUCUUCAUUGGCAUUGCCAAGAGCAGCCUCAUUCAAGUAAGUCUCAGCCAAUUGCACCCUCUUCACAUUCUCUUGUUCUUGAACCAACAUGCCACCAUACUCCAACAGCUUUUCAAGUGACAUCGUUGGCUGCUCGAACUUUGGUGGUGGCUCUUUCGAGUUCACAAGCUUCUUCCCUAUACUCUGGACUCCAACUCCGGUGACCCACUUCCUUACUUCGUCAUCGUACACUCUCGCCCUUAGAGCACCGAAGAAAUCUGUCCAACAAAAACAGGCAUACAAGAGAGUUAAGUCUCUAGCGACCAAAAAUGGAUUGUUAUGUUAUGUAAUGUAAUGCAAUGUCAUGUCAUGAGACAUGAGUAGUAACUGACCGAUGGAUUGGCCUGGGAAGGUGUCGACCAACUUGACGAUGUCAUCAUCAGCGACAUUGUCGGUACGGAAGAUACCUUUGCAGACACCGAUACGGUCUUCCCUAGUGGGUGCCCAGUAGAAUUUCUCCAUACGACCGUCACGGAUGAGAGGAGCGUAGAGAGUGGAGAAAUCGUUACCAGUGACGAUGAUUGGAACUCGAGGGUUCUCCUCCUUGUUGUACAUUCCAGGGAGUUGGACAUUGGUGGGGUUAUCAGCGAUGUUCAUGAGUGUGGCGUUAACCAUUUGGUUGUUGACUGUGUAUUGAGUGGUACCACCAAGACGACCAGCACCCGCAUCCAGAUCAUUGAUGAAGAGGCAGGACAUUUUUCCCUUCUUGAUUAUGUCAGCGGCCUCACGGUACCGUUGUCGGAUCAACUUGGCUGGCUCUCCUGCGUUCCCGCUUUCCAAUUCUCCUGCACUCAUCAUGAUUGGGCUGUCCAAACGGUCAAAGUGUUAGAAGAGCAAUCCAUUUUUUUGUAUAAAGUAUGAGUUUUAAAAAAGUAGGAUUAUGGACUGACUCACGUGAUUCCCAUCUUGGCAAAUACAAGCUCACAUUGGAAGGAUUUUCCUUGUCCUUUGCCUCCCCACAGACCCAAAAUCAGAGGAACCUGAACACGCAAAAUUUAUAUCUAUUGACAUUGAAUUUCAUUACCUUACUAUGUAAAUAUAAUGACUUUUAUCACUUUUAACAAGAUAGACGAGUUACUUCGUCAAUUUGUUUAGAUCCUGUCCAAAAUGAGUGAUAGCGCUACAAUGUUUAUAAAAAACCAACAGUUUUGACUCAAAAGCAUCACAGAACUCUGUUUAGACCAAUGUAAAGGGUUAGAAACCUUGAUGUUUGGGAGGGACAGGAAGUUCUUGGUGAUGUGAACAACCAAUUUGUCCAUGAAAGCAGGAGCAAUGUACAAACCACCCAAUACAUUGUCCAUGCCAUCAUACCUACAACACAUACAUAAACAAGAUGUAUCAUCUCUCAUAAAACAACCAACAAAUUAUGAAUAUAUAUAUAUAUAUUUUUUUCUUUUUCUUGUUGUGUGUCUUACGAUUUACGUCCUUGACUAAGAUACUCAUAAGAGCUCAUAACAGCAUAAUGAGUUCCAGCUUGCAUGGGAGCUUGAAACACAGAAUCCACCAUUCCCUUUCCUCUUGUGAUGUCCUGUUGGUCAUCUGAUAUAUCGGUUCCAAGUCCGGCCCAUCUGUCUAUUUUUUUGGUCUUCUUCUCGAGAUUCUCGUCUGAGGUUGAUUCCACUGCCAUCACCUUGAAGCUACCCGAGGAAGGCUUCGGGUUGACAACUCUGGAGUUGACCACUUUCUUCAAACUGUUCCCAAAGAAGACUGAACUUGGAACCGAAGUUGUGGAUCCAGAGCCUUUCAAGCUUAGCUGAAAUUUAGAGUAACAAACUUGAAGAUGGUAUGGGAGGCCUUAGAAAUAAAAAUACAAGUGAGGAAGAAGAACUUACCGGUGCAUGGUUAACGACUCCGACAGAGGCAGCGGAGGCGGCCAUGAGGACUUGGGAGUGUGUAAGUAUUUGGCAGAGGGAAGGUAGAUUUGGAGAAGGAUGAAGAGGAAUGAGGAGUGAAGAGUGAAGAAGGACUUUAUAGAAGUAAAGGGAUGGAGGUUUUGAGUCCAGUUGGAAAAAACGAUAUCCUAACCAUGAGUUUCAGAAUUUCCCAACAACCACACAGUUGAGAUUAGCUGAGAUGACACGUGGCGGAAGGAGAAAGGGGUUGUGAGUUCAUCCUAAAACACUCCUUUAGUGGUUGAUUUUAAAGGGAACUUCUUCUCCAUUAAAAUUUUGCCCAUUUAUUUCAUUAUCAUCCAACCACAGGAACCCUAACUUAAACAAACCUCACCCAUUGCUCCAUCUUCUCAUUCCAACCUAAACAACCAUAUAAAUUCUUACCUAUACUUUAGAUUUGAUUUAGAAUGAAAACUUUUGACAAUAAAAGUAAGACUCUACUUACGUUAAUCUUAGUUAACUAAAUAACAAAUAUGUUAAGAAAGUCAAAAUGAGUAUAGUUCAACUAACAUACAUAAUAGUGUUAUCAACAUCAAAGUUAGAUAAUCGAUUUUUUUACUUGCAUAUUAUAAAACAACUUCAAAAGUCUUAGAAUGCUAGACAUCAAAACAAUCAAUCAUCUAAUAAUAAUAUAAGAUAAAAUUGUUAAAAAAAAAAAAAAAGAAGAGGAAAAGUGUUGAUUUCAACUCAGCUUCCAAAAAGAAUUAAUUUGGAUCACAAGUUCAUGAGAGGCCCAUAUGUGCAUACCUAAUUUGGAUGUACACUCAAAAUAAUUGAAAAUCAAGUCAUUGUAAUUUCAACCAAAACGAGAGGUGAAGAAGGAAAGAUAAGGAUAGGUUCAUUUUCAAUUUCAGCCUUUCCCUCUUCAUAACCAAUAAACCAUAACCCAUAACCCAUACUAUAUUCCAUUUCGUUUUCCUUUCUACUCUCUACUAUUCUGUAUUCUUUGCCCUUUCACCCAUUGGCUUCAUUUAGUCCUUGGGCCCCAGAGCACGAGACACACACUCGACCUCAUCUACUAUAUACAUAAAUUGACACUUCAAAAAAUAUUAAUAUAUAUCACAUAAAGUCUUUUAAUCUCAUAAGUAACGUAUAUUGUUAUCUAAAUUUCUAAAAUCAAAUUAUUAUUUAGUGCAAGGAAAAAGAAGUUCAUGAAAAUAUGACGUUCAUUUAAAGGGUUUGGGUAUAUGAAUGAGUUAUAAAAGGUCUAAAAUUGAGUAUUAAAUUUGUAUGAGAAAGCUAAAUGUUGAGGCCAAGUUUGAUUGCAUGAGUGACACACAUACACAUGGGUCCAAGAAAAACCCCUUGACAUGGAAGACUAUUGGGCUUUCAAAACUGAGAAAAGCCCAAGAUUAUAAUUAUUGGCAUUGCUAAGGUUUAUGUCUAUCUAAAAAAGAAAUAAUAUUAUAAAUCGAAAAUAAUAUUUUAGUUUAAAAUGAGAAAACUAGAAAUUAGAAUUAAUUACAUCUUUACAAAGAAUUUCUCUCUUUCUCCUUCAAAUCUAAAUUAAAAAGAUUUUUUGUAAAGAAUAUCAUGAAAUUGGAAACAUUAAUUACAAUUAAGGGGAAUUGUUGUCAAUAUAUAUAAAAUAUAGCAAAAUAAAAAUUAAAUAAUUUAUAUAGAGGUGGAUUAAUUUUGCUAUAUUUUGAAAAGAAAAUAAAUUUAAAAACCACAUUUAUAACUUAGUCUAAUAUAUCAUAUAAGUUUAAUAACUGUUUUCUUUUAUUUUGUUUUAUAAAAAUCGAAUUUAUUAUUUAAUUUUCUUUUUUCAUUUUUAGUUGAAUUCUUAGUAAUAAAAAAUGAUGAUUAAUAAAUACAUGAACUUUCAAUUUCAACUUUAAUAAGCCUACCUAAAAAAAUUGUAAUAGAUAAAUAAAUUUUCAAUUUUGCAUCUAAAAGUCUCACAAAAUAUAAAAAAUGCUUAAUUCUAUUAGAGAAAUUUUAUUUCUUUUCUAACUAAACCUUAAGUUUUUAAUUUUGAUAUAUUUAGGUUUAAAUUAAAUUUUGAAAAAAUUAAUAGGUUUUCAUAUAUACACAUGGGAACAAAUUGUUUUUAAAAACAAUAGAUUAAAUUUUAAAAACCAUUUCAUUUUUAUAAAUUUACAUAGGAUCAAAAGAUUUAAAAAAAAUGGAUAGAUUUGAUAUAUUCAUGUUUAAAUAAAAGGAAAUAUUUUUUUAAAAAAAGAUAGAUUUUAUUUAACCAUUUCGGGAACAAUUUUUUAAAAAGAAAAUUAAUAUAUAUUUAAAUAUUCACCUUUAGAUAAAUGGCAAUUUUUUUAAAAAAAUUAGAGAACAAUUUUUUUGUAAAAAUAAAAAAUAAAAACAGAUUUUGUAGGGAAAAUACUUUUCUAAAAAAAACAAUAGAUUUUUAAAAGUUUCUAAAUAAAUUUAUCUAUAUUUAAACUAUGUAGAAGACAUUAUGAAGAGAAAUAUUUGAUUUCCUCUCUUUUAGAUGUGAUAGGAUUAUGUUAUGUAAUUUGACAUUUAAUUAAUGAAACACCAUAGUUUUCUUUUUAGAAUAUCACAUCAAACAGUAACACAUGCCUCUUUUUAAUUCUUAUCUUUUAACAUCAUACGUUAAUGAAGAGAUUUUAAAGAAAUCAAUUUAUAUUAUUGACUAAUAUAUCUAGAAUAAAGAAAAAAAUAUCACAUUUAUCUCCAACUAAUAAAAUUAUUUUAAAAAACAAUCUUAUUUUAUCUCUAACUAAAAUCUCUUUGCUAAAUUUUAUUAAAAUCCAUAUAUCUAUUUUUUCUUUUUCUUUUUUUGUAAAAUAAAACAUUAGGUUAAAGUCGUAUAUCCUCCCUCUUUUUUCUCUGUGAAAAUCAGCCAGUUAAAUAAUUAUAUGGGUUUUUUAAUGUAAAAUCAUAAUCAGAAAAUUAGAACUUAAUUACACAAAAUAGUCUUUAAUGAAUAUAGUCAUAUAUUCAAUUAAUGUAUAUAUAUAUAGAUCAAAUAGUCAUAUCCAACUAAUGACCGGCCUUAUUAAAUUAUAGUAGUAGUAAUAAUUAAAAAAAGUAAUAAUGUCACACCUCUAAAAGUAUCAUAUUUUAAUUUUAAAAAAAAUGUAGUUCAUGAAAGAAGAAAAAAUUAAAAUAAAAUGCAGUUCAACAAUUAAAAUAAUAUCAUUAACAUUGUUGAUAAUUAAUGGUUGAAGGUACAAUUCUUUUUCACCCUCAUGGGAUUAAUAAUGCUAUAUUAUUCCCCACCCCCCCAAAAAAAAAAAUGUAAUUAACUUUAUGCUAAAAGCCAAACUCUUUAUUUGGUCAUAAAUCACUUCCGCAAUUUCUUUUCUAAAUGUUUGAUUACCCUAAUAUAGCCAACUAUAGUCCAAUCUAAUUCAACUGCAUACUUUCAAUUGUUUGUCUAUUUUAACGUGACUAGAGAAAUUUGUUUAAUUAAAUUUUAGCCAAACAAUUGAGUUCAAAAUAAAAAUAUUUUAAAACGAAAAUGAUUCAACCUUAGUUGACAAGUAGUAAUAUUUAUUCAGCGUGUAUUAUAAUGAAAAUAUCAAUCGUAAACAUAAAAGAUAUUGAUUUUCUCAAAACAAGCUUAAUCUCAAUAACAAUUGAUAUGAACUAAAUUGUUCAAUUUUUCAUCUAUACAACUUUUGUAUUCUAAUUUUAAGUUUGGUUUUCAUAAUUUUCUGGUCCGAAUGUUUUACAUUUUAUUUUGAAUUUCAAAAUAUUUUGUUUUUUUUUUUAAAUUUCAGCCCUGUUUUAAUUUAUUUACUAGGUUUGAAAAUUUACACCUUAAUUGCCAUUUUUUUUUUCAAAUACUAACUUCCAGUCAUUAAUGCCUUUUUAAAAAGAUUUUUUUCGAAGACGUUAACGUCUAUCAAUUAAAUUAAAAGAGAUUUUUAAAAAAAAUUAUAAUUUAAUAUUUAUGAUUUGCAUUUAGAACUUAGUUUUGAUGGUUGGAUAAAAUAUGAAACUUUUAUCAAACCAAAUAGACUAUAUAACAAAUUUAGUUCAAAUUUUUCCUUCAUAAUUAUCUUAAAUAAAAUUAUUACCACUAAUAUUAAAUCCAAUAAAGUAAGGUUCCAAGGUUAUCUUGUGUAAGCUUAAACUUUAGGUAGAGACACAAACGUGUGACUCAAAUUCGAGUAUAUACCUAAACGAUCUAUAGUAUAUGAAUAGGGCUAGGUGUCUUAUUUUAGAAACACUAUGAAUGUGAUUUGCUUUUGUAGUUAUAGUAUAUACCUAAACGGUUUAUAGUAUAUGUGAUAUAGUAUUAUAUUAUUAGUUUAGAAAUAGAGCUUAAUAUUUUAAUAUUUAAGAGUGAUUUAAAUAUAAAAAUAUGAAUGCGGAUUCAUAUUUGAAAGCUCGAAAUGAUGAAAUGUGAUUUAAAUUUACAGAAAAUGAAUUUAGAUUCAUGCUCAUGAUGCAUGUUGAAAUUAGUCAAGACAGACAAAAUAGUAAAAACUUAAAAUAUUAACUUUUGAUUUGACUAUUUUAGAAUAAUAUCAAAAUCAAUAAGGCUAUGUAAACUAGAUGGUUGAUCAUGAUAACGCUCACUAUUCUAGUAAAAGUGUUGGGUUUUCUUGAUGCAUGAACAUGGAACUUUGCAUGUUGGUUUUCUAUAAAUUCUUUUGUUCAAGAAAAAAAAACAUAUGAAAAUUUUUCGAACCCUAAUUCAAUUGUCAUCCCUUUCUCUCCUCCAAUUCCUUCAUUCAUCAAAUCCUACAACUCAACUCAAUUUCUUCGUUGAUCAGAUUCUACAACUCAAUUAUGUGGAGAGAAAGUAGUAUUUAUAAAUUUAAUUUUUAAAUAAAAACAAUCGGGACCAAAAUAUGUAAUAUUUUAAAACUAAAACACCAACUUAAAGCUAAAUAAAAAAUUUAGAGAUGAUAAAGUAUUUUUAGAAAAAUAUAUAUAUAAUUGGAAUGUGGACAUAGAAAUGAAGAUGAAAUGCAAAAUAAAAAAAAAUAACGGUACUGUCAUUUCAAAGACGUAAUAGUUGAAAAAGGAUAGAAUUAAGGGAAGUUCAAAUGGGAAAGAGACAAAAAUUGAAAAAGUAACAUAUUGUUUCAAUCAAAUCAAGAGUCGUUUUGUCUAUGCUUUUCAUUUAUUUUAUUUCAUUUUUGUUACCAUUACACUAUAUUAUAAAAGUUGUAUGUUGAUUGACAGCUUAACAUUAUUAUACAAAUAGAAAUUAAUUUAAAGCACCAUGGACCCAAUUGCUAAAACCAGCCCCCCUUUAAUCUUAAUAUCUUAUCAUACAUAUAUUCAUCAACAAUUAAACAAUUAUAAAGUAAAGCCAUGCAAAUUUACAAAUGCAUUACUUUUCAUCGUUUUGCUCAAAAUCCCAUUACCACUCUCCAGUCUCCUCUAAAUAUUUCAUUUCUCAUGCAAUCAAAAUCUUUAUUACCCUUUUCAUCAAUUUGUUUCAAAUAAAAUAUAUAUUACUUAACAGUUUGGUUAUCUAUUCAUCAACUCAAUUGACUCACUCUCUUAGUCUCCCAAAUCUAGAUUUGAGCAAACAUAAAUCAAACACAAUUUCAAAUACAUAACCAAAAAAGAAAUUAAAGCUCUUAAAAUAUAUACUAAAUUGUUAAUUAACAACAAACAUACUCUAUUUUAUACCAACAUGGUAGAAUAUUGUCACCUCCUAAAUAAACACUUCUUCCUACGACUUCAUUAAGGAGCUUUAAAUCCUACUCUUCUUUCAACUUCAUUAAAUAUAACACAUUCAUAUUAAUUAAUGGACUAAACACUUCAUACUAAUGUGGAAAUUUAUAACUAAACUUUGUAUACUGCAUCUUUUAGGAUAUAGGGAGAAAAUUGAUGAUUUUAAUUAUAUAUAUAUAUAAUCUAGAAGAAUAAAAGUAAAUAUGGAUUGAACUGUUGAUUAUGCUGCUUGAAGAGGGUUGGUAUGUUGGCAUUGGGAAGACAAAAAAGAAGGGUUGUGUUCUUUUCCCACUAAAAUGAAACCCCAUAAUAAUUAAUUAAGUGGCCAACAGCCAAACUCCAUUAGUUAAUUUUUAUUUUAAAGAUGAAUUAAAAAUAUGAAACCAUGUUAUUAAUUAAUUAAUUAAUAAUAUGUAAGUGUAAUAAUUAAUAUAGGAUAAUUAUUAUAGGGAAAAUUGAAGUAAAAAUGAAAGAUGGAGACAAAUAACUACCAAUGAGUCAUGCAAAUCUAUGACCAACCCCUAUGCAUUUUGUGUUCUUUCUUUUUACUUUUUAUGCACAUAAAACGAUUCUAUUGUUUUUUUUUUUCUUUCUUUCUUAAAAUACACCAACCCAUCUCUCCUUUUCUCUUUCUCUCUUGAUUUUGACUCAAAAGGGCUUGCCAAAUUGUAUUUUGCUUAAAAUGGCUCUUUUUCCGAUGACAACAAAAACUUAUAUUCUUGUGCGGGUGCAAUGAAUUUUGAAAGCUUUUACCUAUAUAUGAUUCCAUCAAACACAAUCAACAUUAUCGUCUCCCUCCUACAAAAUCUGAAAACCAAAAUUUUAAAAUUAAAACUUCAAUAAUAAUAUGUUUUCAAAUACGUGUUUAAUUGGUAAGAGAUUUAGGAUUUUACCUUUAAUUUUGAUUGACUAAAAAAUAGUGUUUUUAAUCGUCUUAAACCCUGUAUUUACGGUUGUUUACGAAUAUUCUCACAUUCACUUAUUAUUAAAUUUAAAAAUGUUACACAAUUUAAUUACAUUCUUUUAAAAUCAUAUUUUCUUUAUUCAAAUUUGUUACUUAAGAGUUUUUAGUAUAAAAAAAAAUUAAAAUGAAUGACACCAGACAAAAGAAAUGAUUUAAACCUUAAAUCUUAUAUAUUCGUUCAAUUUUUUUUAAAAAAAUGUUGUUCGGAUUUUUUUUUAAGGCUUAAUAGUUGGUCUAUAUAUAUUUAGUUUAAAGUUACGUAUGAUGUUGAAUUGGAAAAUCAUAAUUAUUGGAUCAAAGUGAGAUGGGAUGAGAAUAUUUGUCCCUAUAUCCUUUACUUCAACCACAACUCCAACCACUGACCUAAUCUCUAUUUUUUUACAUUGUACCCUUAAAUUUUUAAUAACAAUAAUUUUGGACCCUUUGAAUUUAUAGAAAUGUUAAAAUUGACGGAACUCUAAACUUACUGUAAUUGUAAAAAUGGAAUAAUUAUCAAUAAAAUAUAUACAAUUAUGUAAUGAUUGAGGUUCAAUUAUAAAAUUUGAAUGAGAUUAAGGGUUUAAUUUUUAAUUUUGAAAUUUUAAGGGUAUAGUUGCAACUAUAGAUGGUUUUUGUAAUUUUUUCAAAGAUAUAUGUAUAUAAUAUGUAUCUUUUGAGUUUUUAAAAUGUAAUGGUUCAUAUGCAGGUGUUAUAAGGAAAAAUAAUAGGGUUUUCUAUAGACAACUUUAUACUCCUUUUCCCUUUUAUGUAAUGUACAUAUUUUUACUCAUCAAAUGUUAAAUUGUUAGAGUUUAUUGUGGUUGAGAUGUCUGAUAAAGAAAACACAAAUGAAAUAGUUAACUUAAUUAAUGAAAAGGUUAAAAUUUUAGCUCUUCUAGAGUCUUUAUCUCAAUAAUGGCUUGGCCCCCAAAGGGGGAUUUGAGUUUCUUAAUGCAUUAGGUAGGUUCAUGUUGUGAAGCCAAAGUGAGUGCAACUAAAAAUGGUAUAUUGUACCUAUGUUAACAUCUAUAAAGUAUAUGGUUUGAAUCUCUGUGAUUUCUAGUUUUCUAUUACAUUAAAAUAACUAAUUUUGGUAUAUUGUAUUUAGUUUUGUUACGUUGAAAUUAUUUCACAAUAUCAAACAUACAAUUGAUUUCUAUAAAAAUAAUUAAACUCAUGUUUAGGAGUAAAUUCCAACCCGAAACUAUUUUAGUCAUUUCAAAACUAAGAAACAUGUCUUUUAACCUAAAAACAAACAACACUUCAUGAAGUUAGGGUUAUGAAGAUAAGAAUGAUGUCCAAGUAGGUUUUUGAGAGACUCAUAAUAAUUCCCAUGAAGAAUCUUUCGAAAAAUAGGCUCUUUUAAGGCACAAAUUGUGAAAAAAAAAGAACCCUUACCCCAAUGUGAGACUGACCUUGUAGCCCAUAAAGGAGACCCCAAAAAAUAAAGCACAUACACAUACACACAACUUUUUGCUAAAAAAGUUAUUAUGCCUUUGGAAUAGAACAAAAAAAAAAAAAAAAACCCUACCAAAAAAAAUAAAUAAAAACAUACAUACAAAAUGCAAAUGAUGGGUUAUAUAAAGACCAACAUCUCUUCUUCUUAAUUUUAUCAAACUUGUUCCUUUUUUUCUUGUACUUUAAAGUCUACCAUAAUAAUUGAGACAAUGACAGGCCUUAACUCUUCUAAUUCUUCUACUUCUUGUGGUGCUUGCAAGUUUCUUAGAAGAAAAUGUAGUGAUCAAUGUGUUUUUGCUCCUUUCUUUAGCUAUGAUGAAGCUACUUCUCAUUUUGCAGCUGUUCAUAAAGUGUUUGGUGCUAGUAAUGUCUCUAAACUUCUCUUACACCUCCCCACCCAUAUCCGAAGCCAUGCUGCCAUUACCGUUGCCUACGAAGCUCUUGAACGCAUGCGUGAUCCUACUUAUGGUUGUGUUGCGCAUAUCUUUGCAUUGCAACAAGAGGUUGUUUUAAAACCCUAAAUAACUUAAGCUGAUGGGUUAUAGUAAACUUACGUGACAGUAACAUUUUUAUUCAUAUAGGACCACUUCAAAACUCUAAAAAUUUAAAUAGAUGGUUACAUUUUAUUCAUAUAUAUUCUUUAACACUUUUAUAAUUACUUGACCAAUAUACUGUAUUCUAAAUUGUCAUCAUUUAACUCAUAAGCUUAAGUUAUACUCUUUCUUAAUUCUAUCAUCCUCUUGUAGGUUGCUAGCUUGCAGGAGGAGAUAGAAAUUCUGGGGAGCCAAAUUGCGAAUUUUGCCACAACCGGUGGGAGCAUUGCAGCGGUCGAUAAUCCAUUUAUAGAUCAGGUUCAAGUGCCACAGCAGAUGGAUGGUUUCGGGAUGAUGAACACAAAUUAUUAUCAAAAUGAGCUAGUUUCUGAGUUGCCCUACCAAAGUUUUGAUAAUGUCCAAAACGAUAAUACUACUGCUCAAAUGAUAUCUCCAUUGUUUUGUUUAGGGGAAGAAGAUGGGGUUUUUGAGUUUUCCAACUCAAAUAAUGUUGUUGAGAGUUCAGCCUUUGAUGUUUCAGUUGAGGAGAAUUGUAUUGGUUACCCAUGGAUAGUUGGAUGAUGAUGGACAAAUUUUUUUGAAGUUUUAUAGUUGGCCUUUGGCUUUAAAUGGAUGAAUAAUAUUAGUCUCUUUGUGUUAGAAAAUAAUUUUGUUAUAUUUCUUAUAUAUUAUCUAUCGGUUGUUUACCGAUUAAGGCUUAAUGUUUAAAAAAAUGUGUUAUAUAAACUUUUUAAUUUUAGAGGUGGUGUUGUUUCACAAUCGAAGAUGUAACAAAACCAUACAUGGUUAGCCAAGUACGUAAAUUUCUGUAUAUUUGUUUUUCAAUUACUUUAUAUUUCAUGUUCAUUCCUUGAAUUUAAUUACCUAAAUGGGGAGAUCAAACGUCAACAAAAGACUAAAUGAGAAAUUGGGUAACUUAAUAAUUAAAUGAAAAAAAAAAAUAUUAUAAGCUCACUUUUUCAUAUAUUCUAAAAGAUUGUUUGAUUUUAUAGUAUUUUACAAAAUGAUUAGUAUUUGUGGUUAAAUUAGUGUAUCUCUAGAAAUCAUAAAGUAAUAAUAUAAUAAAAUUAAAGCUACAGUACAAAACAAGUGAAGAAAAGUGUUUAUUAGAAAGAUAUAGUGUAUAGUGAAGGGAGAUAGGGUAUUUAAUAUAGUGAGAAAGUUGAAUAUAAGUAUAUGAAAUCUAGAUAUAAAAAGGUACUCAAUAAAAUACUAGUAAAUUAGCUUUUAUAAAAGUAUAUACUCUUUUUGUUCUAAAUUACUUCUAAAUCAAGAUCAAACAUAAGCAGAAAUAAAACUAUUCAAAGCAUUAAAUUAUUAAAAAAUUUGAUCAUCAACAACUUUAAUUCAACUAUUAGUUCAAUCACGAUAGAUUAAAGAAUCAAAACUAUCAACCUUUAAAAUAGCAAUAAGUGUUGUAUCUAAAGCUAUAAGCUAAGGAUAGAAUCUUAUAUUGUUUUAGUACUUUUAAAGUGACAUAUGAUUGUAAAGCUCAACGGCUAUUCGUUAGGAGAAAACUUGUAAUAAUCUCACACCGACUAUUCUUAUCCAAAAGAAGAUUGACAUAAAGAUGAAAUCAUUUGGAAAUGUAGCUUUUUCUUUAAGCAAAUUGGAAAGAUUGAAAUAACCCUUUUCACUUUAGAAGUUUGAAUUUGCACUAUACUACUCUCCCAUUUGAAUUAUUAUGAGUACUUUUGAUAAAAUUAAAAUUAAAAGUUGUAACAUGUUAUAUUAUAAUUAAAGACAUACCCAUCCUUUGAUAGGUAGCUUUAGGAUGGGCUUAUUAGCAUCAUGAUCACCACACUAUGAAAGGCCCACCUCCCAUUCUAAGGGGAUAAGAAAGACCAUGCACCCAUUUUUCUUUCCCAUAAACCCACCAUGUGUCAAUCACUCCCUCUCCCCUCUUAUUUAUUGCUCUAAAGGGGCUCCACUAUAUAUUAUUUUACUUCUUAAACCCCCUUCCUCUCUUUCCCUUUCCACCCUCAUUCUCUUUUUAUAGCUUCUACUUAUCAGGAUCUUAUUCAAUAGGGUACCCCUCCUAUACUAUAAUAGCUCUAUUUUUCUCGAGGAUCUUAUUCAAUAGUGGAGGUUCUGUUUCAUGUAACUUAACAAUGAACAUGGAGCUCUUACCAUCAAUUUGGUAACUCUGAUGAAUUUUAUUCGGAUGAGUCAUCGAAUUUGAUUCAUCCUACGAAUGAGUUUUCAUCAGUCCUUUCUUUUGUUAGGUGUGAUCACUCUUGCUCAAACUGUGUAUAAUUGUUUUGGCACCCUCCAUUCUUCUUCUAUAUAAGAGAUGCUAUAGGUUUGGCAUUUCCAACUAGGUGCCGUCGAUAUGAGAAUGAUGUCCGAUUUAGAACAUUAAAACAUUACUUGUUUUGGCUUUGACUCAUAAGUGACUUUAAAAGUCAUCUUCAAUUCAUCGUAUUUUAGAUAUGUUGUAUUUUGCUCAAGAUCAUAAAGGGCAUGUUUGAUAAAGAAAACAUAAAAUGAGAAAUAAUAUCUAACAUGACGUUUUUUUUAAUCAAUUUGAAUCAUCAUAACAUAUAUGGUGAGUCCUCAAGAUUCAACAAGUCAUUAAACAGGACUUCUUUUGUGAUAUUUCCUUGAUUGCUUGAAGUGAAUUUAGUUUUUCUAAAAACAUUCGAAAGAGAAACCAUUAGCAACUCAAAACAAAGAAUAUGCCAAUUGGUUUGUAUUGAGAUCAAAAGAACUGUCCCAAAACAUUUGAAGCUUUCAUAUACAAUGUUCCAUGGUAGCUCCACACCACAGCCUCACCUGCCCGUCUAACGACCUCAAUAAUUCAAGCCCUUUUACUUCGGGUACAAAGCUCAACCCUUGCAAAAAUUUUGUUCCCAGUUUAUUGACAAAACAAACACCUUACUAAGAAAUUUUUUCAAAACCAUCUGCACAAAGGUAAGAUUUUGGAAGUCUUGUCAUUGGUAACAAAAGUAGAUUGUGGUUGUCAUGUUUCUCAAAAGCAUAUUCCCAACAGAAAUUGGUCAAAUCAACUAAAAAUGAAGUACAGUCAUAGGUGACCCUAAAACAAAUCUAGUUUAAUUAAGGUAAGUGUAAAAGUUAAAAUCAGUCAUUUCGACUGGAUUCUGAAUGUUCCAAAAUCAUAAUUCAAUACAAUUGAUGAUUUCAGGUUCAAAUUCAUCAAUAUAAGAGCAAGAGACCUUUCUUAUAUACACCAUUCAAACUCAAGAAACCUCAAACUUCAAUUCAUCCCAGUUUUCACAUUUGGCAAUGUUGCCCACAUAGAAACUACAUCCAAUAGCCAACAAAAAAAAAAAAUGUAAGCAUCACUUGUUGAAAAUUCAACUGCUUGGAAACUAAACAAUUUGGAAUAGGAUGAAUGAACUAUAACGUGUGUUAUCCAUAUGUGUACAAAGCAACUAUUGUGAUGUAAAUCAAUCAGUAUAGGUUGGUUGAAAUCAAAUUUCAUCUUUUAGAAAACAACUAGAAUUACAAGUCCAAGGAUAACUUGCAAAUAAAACCAAUUUGAAAGCCAUCUAUGGGCAUACUUUUCAACCCUAAAAAAACAACCAUCUUGGAACAUUUCCUAAUCGACACCAAUUUAUAUUGACUAAGAGCAAUUUAACAAAGAAAAGUUAACCUUGACAAAUAUGAAAGUUUAUGAUGGUAAAAUAUGAAUUUCAACAAAAACGAAUUUACUGUAAUAAACGGCUAAAAGUCAUUUGAUUAUUGACAGCCACGUCUAUGAAACAAACAGCAAAGCAAUAGAAAAUGUAAAAAGUUCACCAAAGAGAAAACCUAGCCAAUUAUGCAUAUUUAGCUUCCGUGUUUGAUCAAAUCAGCUUGAAAUAUACGGGCGUUGUACAUAAACUAUUGUUUGAGAAGUUAAGAGUAUCUACCUUCCAUUUUAAUCAUUUAACACAAUGCUAAUGAUCCUCACUAAUUAUGUUUUGUUAAAAGCAUUCAUCAAAAGCCAAAUUAAACAAUCACAAGAAAUGUUAGUCUCCUGGUGUUCUAUUAAUUUUUGUUUAGUAAUACAAUUAAGACGACGGCCUCCACCGGUUCUAUUAUUACAUGUUUGUUGACAAGUCUGGCCAUAUAUUAAACAGUAAUUGAACAUUAGGGUAAUGUUUAACUAUCAAUGUAAUGAGAUAUACACCAAUUCAAAGAUAGCAGCACAAAGAACUAUAUUCAAACAACACUUUAUAGAAAGUGGGUGGGAGUAGUUGAAAAAGAAAAAUUCAACACUCAAUUGGAUAACUCCUUAUAGAUAACCAAAUCAAACCAAUCAAUUUUGUCACUUCCUAGACAUUAUUUACCUAAAAAUCUUAUUAACUUUACCAAUAAAACCAAAAGAUAACAUGAAGGUGAACUAGGCCUAACGCAACCAUUUACAAAUCCUUAAAAGGAUUUAUUUCAAAGGUUGCAAUAGUUUGAGAGUUCAAUAGUCUAGAAUCAAAAGUCCAAAAUACUUAGAAGUGCAAGAUAUAUCCUAUGGUCAGAAGGGCAAUGAGACUUGGAUGUGUCUAUGCAAAAAAAGAUAUCGGAACCAUCCACCAUAUUUCAAUGGUAGUAAAAACACAGAUGCCCUAAAUUGUUAUAACUCUAGUUCCAACUCUCCCUAAUAGAUUUUAUAAAUGUUCCUCAAAACCAUAAAACUACGCAUAGUAAGAAGAAAUGAGCAUAGAAAUAAAGUGAAAGAGAAAGAGAAUAUGCAAGUAUUGUAAAAGGGAAAGAAGCACGUACCUGAUCAAAGAAUAUUGUGGCUCCAAACUCAUACAUCCACUUGUUCCACCUACACCACUAGAGAUUCAUUGAUUCUGACCAAAGAUUAGAAUUAGAAAUUAUACAUAUAGAAAGAAAAAUCCCCAUAUGAUCAUAGUUAUUCUCAUAUGACACAACACAACAUUACAAAAGAGAAAUGAGUUUCAACAAGAAAAAAGAAAGGAAAACCAAAGUAUAAACAAACAAAAUCCUACCAGCUCAACUUGAUAUAUAUAUAUAUAUAUGUGAUAAUUAGACAAGAUGUUUAGCAGAAAAAGAAAUUUGAUCGGUUCUCAAAGUUCAAACAAAACUAGCACCUACUUAUCCCUCUUCUUUCUCUCUUACUCUCCCUCUAAUCUCUUAAAAUGGAGGUGGGGCUCUCGGAAGACUCCAAAUCAUCUCAUGUGAAGAAACCUGACCAUUUGUCACCAAAUUUGGGGUCAUAUUGUAAACUCCCAUAGAUGGCUGCUGUUGCUGUUGCUGUUGCUCCCCCAUGCUCUGAGAUGUUGAAUUGUUCUGGCUAGUUCCAGACUUGUCUCCGGCGGCAACCUCCUCGUCCUCUAGCGGUAGGCGCUCGAAUGUCGCAUUGGUGAAAGUGGCAGCGAUUACAAUAACUGGACCGGUUGCCACGAGUGCACCGACGACAAUGCCACCAACCACCUGCCCCUGCCCGCCAGCUAAGUAGACAGUUAAUCCAGUAGCACCCGGUGGAGCUGGGGCAGGCAAAAAAGCACCAGAGAGCGACAAUAUAUCAAAUCGACCCUGUAGCGUAAUAACACCGCCAGAGGCACCCGGAUGCCGGAGAGUAACAUUGGCAACAACCCCAUUUCCACCGAGAACCGAAACUCCUCGCUGCCGGCGCUGGGCAAAGUUCGAGAUGCUUUCAACGAUGUCGCUGCCGCUACCAAUUUCCAAAACGUGGCUCCGAAGGGCAUCGGGGCUCUCCUUAGUGACCACCACCGGUGGCUUCGGCUUGUUCUUAGAUCCCGGCGGCCGGCCACGAGGGCGGCGCGUGCUUGAACUAGUGCCUGGUUCGGCUCUUUCAUGACUACCGGAGUUGUUCUCUUCAUCAGCAACUUCUAAGCUUUGCUUUAAUGGAGUCGAAUAAGGGUUGCUGGUGCUGCUAUCUGUGGUGGUGGGUAUGUUUUCAGCCCACCAUCGAUUCGCCAUUUCUUCUUCUAUAUUUCUUUCUCUUCUUCAAGAUUAUUGAAACCCCAAAAAGAAAACCCAAAACAAAUAUAUAAACAAAACCAAAGUGGGAAUCCAAUGGGGGCAAGCAAAAGAAGUUUCUAUCUUAUUUUCCCUUUAUUCCCCUUUCCCACACACUUUCUCUCUCUAAAAUGAAUAACGACAAAGAGAGAAAAAAACGACCCAGCAAGUUAAAAAUAAAAAAUAAAACAAAAAUCUAGCUAACCCCUUGACACUGCUGCAGCUUCUUCCUUCUUUCCAUCUCCGAAAAAACAAAACCCAGAUCGAUAACUGCAAUAAAUCCACCUAAAAUCACAACCCCGUCACUCCAAAAAUCAAAACCCUAAUCAGAUCCAACAGUCACAAAAAUAACAGUUUUUUUUUUUAAAAAAAAAGGACAAAAACAGAGAGAACCCCAAAAAGACGAGGUAUAAAAUCAGAGCAUCAAAUGGAGAAAUCAAAACCGUGUUGGAAAAGCAAACCCUCAAUGAAGAAUAAGAAGAAGAAAGAAAAAACCCAUAAUUUCCUCGAUUAAAAUAGGGUGCAGACAAAAGGAAACAAUGUGGGGGGUGGUUCGAUUCAGGAUAUAAAUACACACAGAAGGGUUGGCCCAGAAAACUGUACCUAUCUUUAACGUACUCAAAAGGGUCAGAAAAGAAAAGAAAAGAAAAAACAGUACAAAGAUCCCGAGAGGACGGCUCUACUUCUUCUCUGCUCCUGCUGAAGAAGAGGGCGAUGAUGGAGAGACGGGAAGAAGAAGGGGGUGGGGGGCCGGUUUGUUUAUCUCUUUUUUAACUUUGUACGAUAAGAUUUUUGACAGUAGUCACUGUAGAAUCACAGUCUAUGAAAGCGGUUUAGGCAGAGAAAGUUUUUUCUUGUCCCCCACUUGCAACUCUGCUCUGUUUUGCUCAGUUCAAGUUGAAUUGAUGAAGGGCAGGCUGUACAUUCGGUUUGUGGUUAAGUUCUUGGGCGGCAAGUUUUUAUGGGGAUUGAUCUUGAAGAAAAGGGUACGUGUAGGGCUAUGAUUUGGAGGAGAAUGGGGGAAGUGUGGGGUUCGAGGUCACAGUCUGAGAGUACCGACAAAGGUAUUGAAAGGGGGCCAAAGCCAAAGAGGGGUUAAAGUUUUUUGGAUUGGGGAUUAUUGUGAGGAUGAAGAAGAAGAAGAAGAUCACCGCCAAAAAGCAAAGGAGGGGUUUAAAAGCAAAUAGCCCCCCACCACAACACCAUAAUCCCCCAUUCCUCACUUUGCUCAUUUUGGGCCAUUUGCCUCUUUCUGGUAUGUUUUCAGGUUCCACAUCAUCAUAUCUUGUGAGAGAGAUGGGGUCUAGGGAAUACUUCUCUUUAAUUGCAAUUAUGACCCUUUUUGGAACUUUGUUUCCCUUUUCGUCCCUAAUUGUAAUUAUUGUUUUGUGGAAGUCCUCUCUGUGUUUGUUCACUACAAUCUCAUUCAACUAAUUUGAGUUUGUUAAGAAGAGUUUAGCCACACUUCUAAUAUGCCUAUACACCAUUUUAGUUUAAAUCUUCCACUCUUAUUUUGUAUCCAGGCAAAGUUCUCAUAAUACCUCUAUUUAUACCUCUAUUUAUUGUGUGUCCCAUCAAUGUAGUUAAAUCUAUUCAUAUCAUUAUGACAUCCAUCAUCAACACUCUUUUAAAGAUACAAUAAUACCUACUAACAUUAUUGCAACCUCCAUAAAUAUUAAUAAAAAUUAAUUUAUAUUGUGAACACAAAUAAAUUUUCUAAUAGAUCUCUUUUACCUUACUUGUCAUUGUGCGCUUUUCAUGGACUUGAUGGUUAACAUGUUUCAUCCAUAAGAGAUCAUCACAUCAAUUCGGUGCUCACAUUUUGAUAUCUCACAAAGUUUUAGUUUAGUAAACAUACAAGGAGAAAGAUCAAGACUCUUCUUUUGAGAUUACUUAUUCUUCUCGUUUGAGUGAUUGAAUAAGACUAUUUGUAGGUUCUUCCUCUUAUAUAAAGAUGACAAUUUCAAGAAUACUUUCAAUGAUCAAGGUUACAAAGCGGUAAACUGUGUUUGAUUCUAUUAUUUUUCAUUUGAUAUAUAUUUAUUUGGUCAACCGAUCGGGCCAAACCCUAAGGCGUUGAUUUUUUCCUUUACGGGAUGCACACUUCCCUAGACCCUCCUCUUGACGAUACCCUAUAGUUUUACACAUGCUGGUGUAUUUUGAGUCUUUUCUUGAGUAAAUCACAAUAAUGUACUUAGCUGAUAGUUUGAAUUCUAUUUUCAAAAAUUGUUUGUAGAUUUCCUAACCCAAACAUCACAUAUUUUGAAAUCACAUUUUUAUAUUUUCAAUUUAUCAAAUUUUUUUUAUUAUUUUUAAAUUUAAAAUGGAGAAUUAUGCUAAAUGAAGAUAGAAAUCAAAGUCUUCCAUUUAAAAUUAUAAUAUGUAAUAUAUAAGGUAUUAUAUAUAAUAUUAUAAAAUUAAUAAAGAAAAUUUACAUAAAUGGAAGAAAAUGUAAAUUAUUUACAUCUUAUAGCAAAAAUAAAAAUAAAUACUUUGGACUUGUGUUAAAAUUUUGGUUAUCCAUUUUGGACUUAGAUUAAAAUUUAGGGUAGUAAACAGUUUGUUAAUUCUUAUAUUUUUUUAAAAAAUAGAAAAUUGUAAAAGAAAAUAGCAAAAUAGACAAAAAAAAAAAAAAAAAAAAACUAUAAUUCAUAAAAAAAUGAAAGAUAAUUAAUUUUUGUUUUUAAUGAUUUUUUCUAUAAAUUAUAAAUAGAUUUUUCUUUUUAACAUAAAACACAAUUUAUAUUUGAACAUAAUAGUUCGGGUAAUUAUGACUAAUUAUAUAGUUUACAAAAACUAUAUCAAACACAAUUAAACACACACAGUUUAAAUUAUAAUCCAAUUUCCAAACUCUAUUACCAAACUCAUGUUUGAAAACAUGAAAUACAACUCUUUUUAAUUUACCAUUUCCAAAUUAUAUUUAUUUUAGUCUUCUAUUUUUAAAAUUUAUGUUUAUUUUCGGAUGGAUUUCAUAUUUGUGAUAAAGUGAGAGGAAUUUCAUUUGAGUUUUUAAUCCAAUUCUAAAAAUAAAAGUACUGUUUUGCAACACAAGUUAAAAAUCAUAGUUUGGUUUUUGAAGAUAUUUAUUGAAAUUCAAUAGGUUUUAUAAAGAUUCUAUAGGUCCCUAUAAAAGUAGUAUAUAAGGUUAACUUUUCUUUUUUUAAUAAACUCUCCACCUAUUUGAACACUUUUUUAUUUAAAAAAAUCACAAAACUAUUGUGUCGACACAAAAUUAAAAAUUUAGAAAUCUGUUAAUAUAUUUUAGAGUUCGAGAAUAUAAAUAAAAUUUUUAGUUUAAUCUGAGUUAUAACGAUAAAUCACUACGUAAUCUUUAUGGUCCAUUAGGAAAGAAAAUGGACGAGUUGUUCACGUGCAUAAACAAAAAGUUGAGUAAAUUUAUAAGAUUUUAAUAUAAAUGAUGGAGAGCAAAUUAGAGUGAAUUUUGAAUUUUAAAUUCCAAAAUUGAAAGAAACGCUUUUAAAAAAAACCAUAAUGAAAUGAUGUGCCAAAAAUAAUUUACAUUUUUAAAAAAGGAAUAAAAUGAAUUGGUAAUUUAAUUAAAAGAUUUAGGAGUUUGUGUGUUUUGAAAUUAAUAUAUAAUUAGUCUAAUCAUGGUUAGUAAUUAUUUUGUGCUUCUUCUAGAAACUUUAAUGCUUUUUUAUAUUAUUUACUUUCACAAAGUUAUUUAAUUGUUUGAUAAUAUUUGAGUUUUAAGAUGUUAUAUUAUAAUGUUGAGAGUUUGAUAUUUGCCUUUUCCUUUUAUAGAAAAAUAAAAUGUAAUAAAUUUGAAAUUAAUUUGUCACUUUUUUCUAUUUUUGAAAAAAAUAUUUUAUUUAUCUUGAAAUAUCUAUUGUUAUUUUAGAGUACGAUAAAUAUUUUGUUUUACGUAUCGAUAUUUUUUUGUUGCAUGAGUUUGACAUCAACGUGGUGAAUUAAUAUUUUAUUAACAAUUUCUUUUUUAUUAAUUACUAUUGUAAAAAUAUCCAUAAAAUAUAUUAAAAUGAUUGAAACAACCAACUUGUAUUGUUUAAAAAUCAUAAAAAUAUUUAUUUACUAAUUUAUAUAUAUAUAUAUAUAUAUAUAUAUAUAUAUAUAUAUAUAAAAUUAUUUAUUGAAAUCAACAUUUUACCGAUAAUCUCGUAAAAAAAUUUAAAAUUAAGAAUUAAAUAUUUUCUUGAGUAAUUUACAUAAAUGUAACAAAAAUUCAAAAUGUUUACUGCUUUCAUACCAAAAUAAGAAAAAAUCAUAAAGCGGAUUUUUUUUUAGAAAUCUAUAUAUGUGCUUGCAAUUUAUAUCUUCUUCGUUAUUUAUUAAUCUUAUGUCAUCUAAGUGCAAUUAAGGUCUGAGAUUGAAUAACUAAGGACAUCUUGGGACAAUAUAUGUCCAAUAUUAAAUAAAAUAAAGGUAGAAUUCUUUCAUCAUGAACCACAUGAAUAACACUAAGGCGCGAGAUACAAUAACUAAAGGAAUAAUUAUUUCAUCUCGAUGCAUGAUAUGUCCAUGAUCAUAUAUCAAAUCUACAUGAUCGUGUAUCACACUCACAUAUGGCUUAUAGCUUAUAUAUUGUGUGUUGACCGGGUAAUUUUGGUAUUUUAUAUUGUAGGCCUAAAAACUAUCUUCGUUCUCAAAAUUAUUCUAUAUAGUAUAAAUGUUUUGCCGAUUUGUUAUAUAUUUGUAAAAACCUCUAUUUUCAUCUGGUUUAUAUACAAUGGAGUUUAUAAAUGACUUUUCAUAGUUAGACUAACUAUUCAUAGUUAAUUUAUAAAUAUUAAAACAAUAUUAAACUCUAAAACUAUUCAUAGUUUAUAAAUGGAGUUGUUGGAGUUUAUAAAUAAACUAGUCAAUUCUUCUGUCUUCUAUCUCUACCGUUGUUGGUGGAGAUCUUUUUGUGUCUAAUCAACUCUCCUCUACAUAUGAGAAGGGUUGUUUGUUGGACUUUUUGCAAGAAAUGAGUUAGAAAAUUGUGGUCACACUACACGUGGUCAUAAGAAACAUUCUCCAUGUUAAAACCAAAGAAUUAAUGUCCUUUUAACGAAUAAAUAAAUUGAGUUUAAGCUUAACAGUAAUUGACAUGAUAUGGAUGUCGAUUUCCAUUUCUAAAAGAAUUCUCCUUGGUAAAAAAGGAGACAUCGAAGAGACCAAAAGAGACUCUUCAUUUGGAAGAUCAAUAGCUUCUAGACAACCAAAUUCAACCAUCAUAUAUAUAUAUGUAAUAUAUUGGUUGAUGUAAUAAAGGAAUACAUAAGUGUAGCUUUUGUAGGUCGUGGAGAAAAUAAGAGAGAUUGGUAAAGAUAUAAAGUAAUUAUUGAAAAGUUGACGAGUCCCAUGAAAUAAGAAAGAAACGUGAAUACAAAGGAAUGAAAUAACUUUAUUUCUUUUUUCUUUUACGUAGAGAUUCUUAAAUUGAUAACGAGUCCCACCAUUUGAUUCUAUUUUUGCAUUUUUAGUAAACAUCAUCAAUUACAUAAAACAUAACUAAUUAGUAUCAAUUUUUCUUAUAUUUUUUUUUAAUUUGUUAGAUUUUUCUUAUAAAUUUUUGAAUGAAUCAAAUUAGACCGUAAACUCAAAUGGUUAAAUCAAUUUUAGCUGACUAGCUGAUUUUUUUUUUUUUUUUGCUAAUCCACUAAUUAAUUUUAACCUAAAAUAAUUAUAAAGAAAACAUCCAUAAGCUCACUCAUUUUAACAAAAUUAAAUGGAUGAACACAUAAAUUGAUGGCUUGAUAAUAUUUGUUAAACUUCUCAAAAUUCAAUAAACAUUUGCCCUAUUAUCAUUAUUUUAUAUGUGUGUUUUGUGAUUUAUUACUUAUUAAAUUAAAAAGAAUUUAAAGUGCAAAACUUAAAAAUUUUAGCUUCUAAAACUUAUGUAAGUUUGAAUUAGAUAGUAAUAAUAAAAUUGAAAUUCUAAAGUCUAGAACAAAAUUUGUUUUUUUCUUAAAAAAAAAGAACGAAAUUAGAGAACACUUUUGAGAUUGGAAGGCCCAAUCAUUUUAUGAAUACAAAAAGGAGAGAUUCUCGUUGUCCACUCCGGGACACAUUUUGAUUAUUUACAAAUUGAAGGGUCGUUUUCAAAUAUUGUCUUAUAACUCUUUUUUUUUUUUUUCUUUUCUAAAUAGUACUUAUUAACUUGUCACAUAAUAGCUUCAAUUUUUGAAGUCAUAAAAGCUAACCAUCAAAAUAAAUAUCCAAUGAUUAGGUUCUCAUACACAUACGUCCCAAUACACAAACAUUAUGGACCAACUCAAAGUAUCUAAGUUGGCAAAAAAUGAGUCUAUCAGUUUAUUAUUCAAAAAUCAAUUCAAUCCAAUCCAAAAAAUCUAGGGUGACUCGAGUUGGGUUGACAUAUUUGUUUUUUUUUUUCAUCUCUCCAUAAUUUAGAUAAAUUUUCAUAUUGUUUUUUAAUAUGUUAGGUGAAUAAAUUGUCAUGUAUAUAUAUUAAUUUAAAAUCCAAUCUACAAUGGCCAUCCAAAAGAAGUUUUACUUUUAGGUUUUAGGUUUAUAUAUAUAUAUAUAACAUAAUCUGGUUUAGUUAGGUUAAUUUGACCCCUUACUUGCACAAUUCGAUUACCAAGUUCAACUUUUUUUUCCUUCAAUUUUCUAAUCCAACCAUUACAAUUUGAGUUGGGUAAUACGGGUUGAUCAGACUAUAAUUUCUUUUUAAUAUCUCUAUAAUAAAUGAAGAGAAGAAACAUAAUAUUAAUAAUAGUUUCAUCUUUUUUGAAGAUUGAAUAACAUCUACUUAUACUUAUGUUGUCAAUAAUAGUUUUCGUUUUCAUUUACCUAAAAAUGGUUUUUUUUUAAAUUUAUUUAUCACUGCGUACUUAAUUAUUUCACCUGUUUGUUAACCUCCUUAGUAUUGCAUGUCUAUAUGUUAAAUCUAUCAAAAGAAAUGAUUUACAUAUCAAUCCACACACAUUAGUUAGUGAGCGAUAUACAUGAUUGAAACAAAUUAAUUAGUAACAAUUGAUUUACACAUAACAUUCUAUUAGUAGCAAUGAUUUACAUAUGUUGUUAAUAGAUAUAAUAAUGAACUUAUUAAUGGUAGUGUAUGAUAUAAUUACUCCUACUAAUAAAGAAACAUGCAAACGAGCCUAUAUAUAAUAAAAUAAACUAGAAAAAUAUAUCAAACAUAUAUGAUGAUAAAAAGAAAAUUAAACAAAUGAUCGAGAUUAUUUUUAAAUAUAAUAAAAUGAGUUAAAUAUCUAUGCAAUAUAACCAAACCUCACUGUAUAUAAUUUUUUGUUUAGAUUAAAUGCUCUAAUGUUUCUCCCCACCCUCAUUCAAAUAUUUUAAAUAUUCUAAUAUAUAUUUCUUAUUUAAAUAUCAUUCGAAUUAUAUCAACAUGUCAUUUUAUUUAAUAUCUCUUAAUACAUCAAUUAUUUUAUUUAAUGUACACUUGAAUGAUAAAUGUAAAAAGCUUCCUAAACAGUUCUUACGGUAGAAACACUUAAAAUGAUUUUAUCACACCAUUAAGAUUAUUGAUAAGGUUUUAUCAGAGUAUAGAGACUAAAUAAUUCUAACUUACUCAAACCAAAAUUGCAAUUAAACUUAAAUAUGUUUUCCCUCAUUUAAUAUAUCAAAUAUUAAUUUGGACGUUUUAUAUUUUCUAUCAACUUAUCUGAUCCCUAAUUGGAUUUGUUGGAGCUAGGAUUGAGAGGACUUAUGAACUUACAAAUUAUAAAUUACAAUUACAAUGGUAUGAACUUAAUUUUCAUUAAUUAACUAUAGAACACUCUGCUGUAUAAAGCAUAAAGUUGCACACUUACAUGAGUUGUUGGUAAUUACAAUUGGUCAAUGCUCACCUAACCCAUGUAAUUACAUUUAUUCAUUCAUUAUCAUUGAUCCUAUAAUAAUCAAUUUAUUUAUUAUCCAAUCAUAGACCAUUUUCUUUUAAUUUAUUACGUGUUUAAUUUGAAUUUCUCGUUAAAAGAAACAAAAAUGUGUGACAAUGUUUGAAAUAUAUAUUAAAUUUAUGUUUUUAAGUAUACCUUUUGCUGUUUUUCUUUUUCUUUUUCUUUUUUUAAUUUAUGCUUUUUUCAAUGAAAAUAUGAAACAACGAAAAUUUAAUAUUAUACUCCUAAUCAUUUUAGUAAUCACCUCAGUGAUAUUUACCCACAUGAAAAAAGAUCUAAAACUUGUAGAAACAUUAGAACAAUUACCUUUGAGAGACAAAAAUAUGUAUAAUCAAUCAAUCAACCCUUAACACGAUAUGUUUGUUAACUAAAGUCAAGAGAAACUCCAAAAAUGGUAAUAAGAUUAAGUGCAAGGAAAAGAAAAACAUCAAUGAAAACAUUAGGAAAGAAAAUCAAUUGAGCAAUUAUUGUACUUCCCUAAGUGCAAAUAGGGAAGGUACUAAGUAGUCAUCAAGAAGUGCCAACUACUGGGUAUUGAUUGAUUAAAAUGCUAUCGAGUUUCAAUAUUUUGAUUCAGUUACAGACACGAACACCGUACACUGACAACAAAAUACAACAAAUAUAUGAUUGACAACCAAGUGUAAGAUUGGAAACUAAAAUGAUCGGAGUAGAAUUCAUUUUGUGAUCAAGGAAACAUCUCAAUGAUGAUAUUAGAGCUUAAAAUACAGUAUAAUGAUAAUUACAAGUACCAGAACCCCAAUUACUGACCCGACGAUCCAUUUAUUUCGACUGAUUCUUCGAGACAUUGUGGUUAAAACUUUUUUACUCUUAUCAAUGGCAUCAUCUACCCCAUGAAGCUGUAACAUUGAACCAUGUUGUUAACAGUGGAACUAUCCCAAGGAUGCUUAAAAGGGAUAGAAAUUAAAAUGUGUGUGUUAAGUUUAAGGAAUUUUUUCUUUUAAAAUGAAGUUUAAGGAUGCUCAUAGUUAGGAACCAAGUUUGUAUCUAUGCAUCUUAUGGAGUUAAAGGAUGUUAAUGACAUCAAAAAUUGGACUUAAUACUCAGCCAGAACAUAAUAUCAAAUAUCAAGACAAAACUUACUCUCUUAUGGGACUGGAGGAGAGUUUCCCGCUGUUGAUGCAAGUCCUGGAGGAUUGAGACACCGAGCUCCUCGGUCUCCAGCAUGGUUCUUCUACUCUCUGUGAUUCUUUCACCUGACUGAUUUAUUCUCUCUAUGGACAUUGUCAUCCUCUCUCUUUGAUCAGCUGAGGCCUGUAAGAAUGUCAGUAAAUAUAAUAACAAUUUUAAAUUAAACCUAUGGAAGACAAAUAUACUUUAUUUCAAAUGAUGAAUUAUUGAAACUAAAACAAUAUCUAUAUAUACGAGAUAUGCCAUUGAUACAUGAUGGAAAUUCACAUGAUGCUAUAUAAUAGAAACACAUCCAGAAACUGACACUAACUCCUGAAACAGAUUCCGUUUAAAUUAUUGAGACCUCACACAGCCAUUGAGAGAGGAAAAGAUAAGUACUGUCUAUCAACAAAGCUUAGAAACCAUCAUCACUUCAAUCAAAAGAGUGGUUGAAGAAAAAUAAAGACUCGAUAAGAUGAUCAUAUUGCAAAGGUUUAUUAAAUAGAAAGUUCUAUAGCAACUCUCAUGUUUCCGGAGCGCCUUCAAUUUCAAUGACGGUAUAAAAUACCAAAAGAGGAAAAAAUAUUAAAGGGAAAUUCUCAUUGAUGGAGUUUAAAAAAACUUCCAAUUGAAAAGGACGGAGAAAAGUGGGGAGAAUUUACACCAAGGGACAACCAUAUUGAUUAUAGCAUUACUUUAUAUGACUAAAACCAUCCCGAGAACUUAAGAUAUGCAAUAACUUUAACAAGAUAUUACCAUUUAAACAUAGGAGUGAAGAUUCAAACCUACAAAGGAAGUUAUUAGUGUUUUAACUAGUUAAGUUUACCCUAAAACAUAGGCUACUAAAAUAGCCAAAAUCUCAAGACUGUUUGGCUACUUCGCUAAUUGUCACUAAGUUUUGAAAUGGAAUCCUAUGUUAUCUAAAUAUGGUAUUGUGAAGCUUAACAGAGAUUUGAUCCAAAAACAAGAGUUGGGAUUAGAUUUAAGAAUAGUGAACCUAAAGAACCACCAUACAUGUUGGUCACUUCUCUCAUUGCCAAUUAGUUUUGAGAUGAAACUCAUGUUAUCUCAUAAAGACAAAAUCAUUUCAAUCAACGAUAAGCUCCCUCAAAUUGUUUCCAGACUUAGAACCCAACUCACGAUUGAAGAAGCAUUAGUGAGGAGAUAAGAGUAUAUGUAGUACUUAAAAUUUGAAGGCAACUGUAAAAUAUGAAUGAUGAAAAUCUACCAAAUGAGCAUCUGCCAUUCCAGACUCCAGCAGUUCUUCACGAGCAGCCUGAUCAGCAUUAGGUGUUGUCAAUCUCUUAAAUUCCUUUUUCAGUUUUCCAAGAUCAGCUUUGUACUCCCGUAACUUAGCAAGUAGGGUAGCUUUUACCCCUGGCUGCAAACUUCUAGCCUCAAGAUCCAUUUUUCGGAUCUAGAGAAUCAAUCAAUAAAGAUUAAACAUUGUAUGCAUAUCAGUAUGAAUUUAACCAACUUGAAAAGAAAAAGAAAAAGAAAAAGAAAGAAAGCCAAAAGGAGGCUCUUUAAACAUACCAAAACUUCAGCCUCAUCCAAACUAACUUUGAUUUCCGAAAGCCAUUGCUGUUUCUGCUCUGCAAUUCAGAUAAAGUUAAAAUCACCAAACAUUCCAAUAGUUCACGAUCAAAAUAAGAGUCUCUCAAUAAUAAACUUCUUUUUCCAGUUCAUUUCCAAAGUAGAAUCCAAUUCUGCACAAUCUAACUCUAAAGAACCAGUAAGAAACACUAAAAUUCAUCCCAACUCCAUAUUCAUAUCCUUUCUCACACGGUUUAGAAAACCCAGCACCUACCAAUUGUAACUCAAAGAUCUCCAACCACAAUUUAGGGAUUCUCUUCGAAAUUCUAACGACCAAAUUCUACUUAUCCCAUCUAUCUAUGUUGAAACCAGAGGCGAAAUAUAUAUAGAAAACCUGAAUCGGAGGCGGCGAAAGAGUUGGAUUUCCGAGAAACAUUGGCGGAGAGUUCACAAUAUUGGCGCUCGUAACCCUCGAAAACCGUACUCAUAUUUGACUGAAUUUUGGUGAAAGACUGAGAAAAGGUUACUUAGAGUUUCCGGCAACUCCUCCCCUCAAAAUUGGGAGAUCGGAAAUUGGAGAGAAAAGGAAAGGAAAAAGGGUUGGUGAAGAACAGCCACCGAAAUUCUCUCCGUGGUGGCUCUGAAGUAAUUGCCGAUGCCGACAACCACAAUAAGGCUUUGCUUAUUUAUUUCUCAAUUUUCUAUCAAUUUUUAUCAGAGCUGUUUGAACUACAAAUUUAUCCUUUUCAUAAAUUGAAGUAAAGUUAAUGAUUCUCCAAAAUGUCUAAUGUUUUCAUAGUAAAAUUCAAUUUUUUUUUUAUUUUGUUGAUAUAUAUUGUUUUUGACUUCUCUUGUUGUUCACCAAUUUGCAAUUUAUUGUUUACAUUCAAGUGAGGAAUUAGAUUGUAGUUAAGAAAGAGUAAUUCUUGUAUCCUUGGGAGUUGGGACUUUACCUUAUGUCCUUUCCAAGUGGGGAAUUAGAUUGUGAAUCUAAUUUUGUUUCAAGUCGACUUCACCUUCUCCUUUGUUGCCUCCUUUUCUUGGAACCUUUUUCGGUUGUGUGUUGUGUUUUUUAGUUUUUCUCUUGAGGAAAAAAUAAUUUGGUAAAGUUUGAUUUCACCAUGAUUGAAAAUAUAUUUAUUGUUCUCAAAUUCAAUUUAGAGUAGAGUUUGAAUUUCUUGUUGUUAAGCUAACAAAAAUGACAAUCAUCCAAUUUAAAGAAAAAAACUUGAAAACUGUAAUUUUUCUAAAGAAAAAUAUAAGGUGAGCUUGAGAUUUAAAGCACUAAAGUAUUAGACUAAAAUUAUUAAAUAAACGUUGGUGUGUAACCAUUAUCUGAUGUAUAUAAUGGUUUUACAACUAAAAAUGUUUUGAUAAUUGCUCCAAUCUUUUCAUUUUGCAAAUCUAGUUUAAACAAAAACACAAAAGCAAACCCCAAACAAGUUCUUGCUUAAUAAUUAAUUAAACCAAAUAAUUUGACUAUUUUUAAAACAAACUUUUGGCCUCCAGUUUUGGUGUAGUUAGAAUUUGGACAAUUUUACACUGAAAAGUUUUUAGUUUUGUUUCAAAAUUUACACUUUUUUAACUCUGAAUUUCUCACUAUCUUUCAGUUGAUAUUGUGAAGUUGUCUAUUAAUUGACUUAAAAGAAAUACAUGAAUUACAAUUGAUGUAGUUUUCACUGACUUUUCUAAUACAAUUAAUAUUAAUUAAAAGAUAUAAUAUCAUAUCAUAAUUAUUUUAAAUUAAUGACAAAGAAGAAACGGAAUAUUAGUUCUCAUGUGUAGAAAUUAAUAAAAGAUAUAAGAUAAAAUAUUGAAAUCUAAGAACCAAAUAAAAACUAAAGUAAAGUUGCAACGUUCUCAAAUCAUAAAGUUAUAAAAGAGAGCUUAUAAUUUUCGAAAUCCAAAAGUGAAGAAAAAAAAACCUAGACCCAAAAUUUUAAGCAAUUCAAUUGAUUUGCAAAAUAAUUCAGCAUAUUUGUUGGAUACUGAUGCAUCAUUGUCGCUUAAGAAUGUGAAGUUUAAGUAAAAUUGAAAUCUAAACUACUACCUCCUCCUUCUUCCCUAACGUUCAAAACAUUUCAUUGGAUUAAACCACCCAAAACACAUCAAAGAUUUUUGGUAUCAAAGCUCACUUGAAAAUUCAAAGUUGAGACUGCCGGUAAAAGAACACGUCUUACCUAUAAUACUCUUAAAGUUGGAAGUUCGAUUUGCAGCCUCAUUCAAAAGAAAAAAGGAGGAUUUUGAGUGGUUUUUGGUUUUUGGUAAUUACCAUCUCUUUGACCACCAAUGCUGCAAGCUCCAUGAUGCCAAACAAAAAAACACAAUGAUCUGAUACAAAAUGUCAAUAAUUAUCGAACAAUGAUGGUUCCAUUCCACCUCAUCCAUCACUUUCAUUCGAUUCAACUCCCUCCAUUUAAAAUACCCAAAGUAAGCAUACUACACUUAACAUACCAAGUGCUUUACUAGCAAACUUUUUGAUUCUGUACAUUACUCAGCAAAGAUAAUACAAAAUAAUAGUAAGUACAUGCUUCAUUCAAGGAUGAAUGACAAUAUGCUUCCAGAAUUCGGAAUGUUAACGAAAGAGAAAAGACAAAAGAUUGAAAUCUAUGCCUAAUCAUACGAGGAUACGUAUAACAACACUAACAAACAUCAUGGUUUAGAAUGAGACUAAAAUUCAACUCUGAGAACUCUGUGAUCAAGAAUUGUAGAAUAUAGAAGAAGAAACGCCUCUCCAAAAGAGAUGAAAGCCUGGAAGUUCAUAAAGCAUACCUGGGGUGGUUCCGGGACACAAAUUUACUUCAUAACCAUCCCUCUAAUUGUAACAAAGGAGGCUCCAAGUAUAGAUUUGAAGUGCCCUAUCUCCAUUCUGUAAAUUUAAGAUUAUCUGGAUGGAUACAGACUAAUUCUAGACAAAAAAAUUUAAUCCUCAUGGUCAAGUAUAUGCAUUGCGACAUCACUUGCCGAAAGAAGCUGAGAUUUCUGUUUGAAUAAACCCUACCCUCCAGUUCCAGCAUUGUCGGAUGCUACCUUUUCAGUUGAAGAAACAGAGUUUGCUUCACUAGAAGUUAGACCACCUUUUUCACCCUGACCAAGUACACGGUUGGAAUCUUGAUCGGGGAAGACUUCCGAUUGCAACGAGGGAGAAAUGUUAUUUACAUGCAACCAUGUGAGUUCCCACAGGCUAUCUCCACCUAGAGCACUCCUCUGAACUAGCACCCCCUUAGUUUUCAUAACAAGCAAGUUAUUCUUGAGAAGUUCAGGCACCAACUCCUGAAGCUUCUCACUUCUUUUUCCUCUAACUUUAGCUUUUGCAUACUUUUCCAUUCGACUAAGAACACCAAGCCAUAGCUUGCAGAAGGUUGUUAAUUGAGAAAGAUCCUGGAGCAACAGUAAGAACACUUUUGACAAGAGUUUCAUGGCAAGGAUCAGCGUGCCUUCCAUGUUUCUGUAAUCUUUCUGAGAGUGUCCUUGUGCAAUUUCUAAUAAAUCGUCAAGCAUUGUGAAGAUCACGAGAUCAAAACACUGUAACCACAAAUCAUGUGGAAGGUUGAUUUCAUCAACACCUGUCAAGCACUUUUGCAAUGACAAUAGAGCCUGGUUCCUAACCUCCUCCCUUUGGUCCAAGCAAAUUUUUCUCAACCCUUGCACAAGCCUCAGCCACAUGUCUCCAAUAUCUUGUGACAUUUUAAUGGCUUCCUCCUCCCUUGCAGCUUCCUUACCCUCCUUAGCCCACCGUCCUAAACAAUCAACAGAUCCAGCCAUAAGAUCCAAUGCACGCAAAGAGCGUUCCGCCUGUCCAACACGAGACUCAGCAAAUUGCCUUGAGGCAUCAAUACAGAGGGUAUAAUUUGCUGGCAACAAGUGAGCACCGUCGGACACAAUGAAGAGUAGAGCAUCAAAUCCUGCCUCAGAAGCCUCUGGAUGUCGAGCUGUAAUGGAUAGUAGGGAUGUUAUUGUACGCCAUCCUGAUGGAGAUCUAAUAUGAGAAGCAUUUGCUUUCACUAGACGACUGACUUCCUGUGUAAUUUGCUCACAGUAUGCAUCUGCUACCCGAGCAUCUAGCUUCAAGACAAGUUGUAGAGAUCUCAAAAGUUCAUCAGCAAGGUUCUCUUUAUAAGGAAGCAAGCGCUGGCAAAUCCGAAGAAGUCCGAAAACAGCUUUCUCCACCAGAGCACAGGGCAUGACAGUUGACUGGACAAUGUUAGAUAUAUGAUCAUACACACCAGGCCAAAGAAGCACAAUUCUAUCUCGGUUAUUCAAGGUAAUGGCAAUCAACAAUUCCAGACAGAAGACUGCUGUAUCUUCAUCCUCAGGAGAGCUGUUCCCUUUCUGGGGCCGUCCUGCAGCCCAUAUCAGUGCUUGUGCCAGCUGUAACAGAGAUUCAGCCUGUAGAAACUUGCUCUCUGUAAAAAUGCUGUCAAUAUUGCACUUUUGAAUGGUUUGAAGGGUGCGCUGAUGAGCAGCAAGUUGUUGUUCGGUGGGCUGUGACCUUGGCUCCUCACUGUCAAGAGAUAAGAGCUGACUGAACCGACCCAUUAGACCUGAGGAUCUCUUGGGAGUUCCAAUUGACUGUAUAUGUGCAGCAGAUAAAGAACUCGUAAGAGGCUUUCCAUGCCCAGCGUCAGCAGAAAGUUCUGAUUCAUCAGCUGCAUCACUGGCCACACGAGCUGGUAAAAGACCAAGCUUGUGCAAUCGCAAGAUGCAAUCAAGGAUGUUUCUCCAACCUGUGCGAAUGAAGUCACCAUACCUGUUGGCUAUGGUGAAAACGGUCAUAGUAGCCAUCCUAGCUUUUGUAUCAUCACCAAAUGCCAGCACAGGCUCCUCAACAGAUGAUGGGUUCAUGAGGGUUGUGAACUUGCAGAGGGACACAACAAGAUCGUCAAGUACAUCUUCAAGGUGAUGGCAUGCAGAGAUCUUUGCAACAGCUAAGAAUCCAUCAAUACAUGUUUGAUAGACUUCUUCAUGUUCUGCAUGAUCAAAUACCACAGAUAUAGCAGCAAUUGUUGGCCCUGACAUUAUAGCAAACAUAUCACGAUCAAGAUAGGCUUUAGAAUCAGACACGAUGAAUGGAGAGGAUUUCUUAGAUUUAUGCAUCAGAUCUAUCCAUCGGCUUGGGGUCAUUUCAGGAAAACCAUUUCCUUGCUCCGGAGUAGUACGAAUCUCAUUCUUACAGAUUGAGUGAUACAAUUCAGAGAGGAAAUCUCGUGGAAGAUCAUUGCCUCCAUUUAUGUGCCUGCUAUUCCGAAUGAAAUCUUCUUCCGUCAUCUUCUUUUUCACUUGAACAUUGUGCUGAUCUGUAUUCAACAUUAUAAGUGAAUAAGAAAGUAGAAGAGCAGCAUCCUUAUUUACAAGAAUUUGAGGCGACUGUUCAUAAUAUCUCUCAGAGAAUGCCUCAAGCACCCUUUGUAUCUUCUGUGAUUCUCCAGGGAGUCGAAAAGUUUCCAAAAACAGCCGCAAAGCAGUAUCCAAAUUCAUGUCCUGAAAAUCAAAAGUCCAAGCAAAUUCAUGAAGAACCUGGACACAAAACUCAUCAUGAUUUCCAAGGAAGUCCCCAACCAGAUUUUUAUCCAAACCAGCAGUGUACCUGAAAAAGCAUGCUACACUCUUGGGAUCAAGUUUAUCAGGCAAGAGAUGGGUUCCUUGAAGGAACUCCAGUCCUUUCUUGGGAUCACGAUUAAAGUGAUCGGCUCCAAUCAUCAAACGUCUCUUAAUGUACUUUUUCCUUCUCACAAAUGGAACCCAUUGAGUAGGAUCACUGUAAUUUUCACAUUUAACCAUCCAGAAAGGAGUAUAUUCCUCAAGGUUCACAGGAGUAUUUUCUAGUCCAGCUCCAUUACCAAUCCUCUCCGCCAUUCCUUGUAUAACGGCAAUGAGACCAUCCAAAGCAAGGAUAUGCAUUGAAGACAAAGGACAAUUAACUGGAAAAGCACUCUUGGACAGAAGAUUAGCAAGAUCUUCAAAGACAUUACUGCAAGUUAUGUCACAGUCUAAGUUUGCAUACAUCUCCACCAUAAAGGUUUUCUGCCUACAGAAAUCAACAAGAGCCUCCAUGGCAACCUCCUGCUGCUGAUAUGAAGCCCCAUACCUGCUCUGGGCAAGCCUCAAAAUCACACAUGAAAAGAAAGCCUCAAGCUGCAACUUCAGCUCAGUGCGCAGAUGGUGGUAGAGAUUGAGAACAAUGCUACAAACCAUUGAAAGGAUUAGCGAGCUUGUUGACAAACCAAAUUGCAUAAGGUUUCGAAAUAAUUCAUCUUGGAUUAAACUCAAUAGCCUAGGGUGAUGGCGGAAGGAUGGGCCACCCAACUCUAUUGCUGAAUUUAUCAAUCCCAAGGCAAAGAGAGGAACAUCUUCAUCAAAAGCCAUGGUAUUUGACCUAGCUCCCAACUCCAUAUGCUCAACUAGAUUUAACAAUGAACAGAGGAAUCGGAAAAUUUCCACCAUGCAGGGGACCCCAUAAGGUUCAUUCAUAAGAUGAAAGUCAAAUGGAACCGUAUCCUUCGCACUACCAUCCUCAAGUAAAUUUUCCUCCAUUCCAGUUGCCAUCAGACCUGAUGAAGGAUUAGAGUCAAAAUUGUUGGAUGAUGAUUGACCAUCAAAUUCAUGGCCCACGUUGCCAUUCUCCAGAAGCCUGUUUCCAAGCACAUAGUCAUCAUUAGCCCCCCGGCCAGCCUGAACAAGAGAAUAAAUUUCAUAAAUUAUUUUAACAAUUUUGUACUAAUUUUUGCCAAAGAGCAACUUGAUAAUUUCAAUAUCAAAAUAAAUAAUGUGAGGAGUCAUUCUAAAUGUAAGAAACAUUAACAAAAACAUAAAAAUGCAAAACCUUGUAUUGUGGACAAAAAUUAUUUUUGCUAGAUAAUUUUUUUUAAAAAACAGAAACAAAAACAAAAACAAAAAGAUGUAUCCAUCAACUUUCACUUUCUCUUAGACAAAUUCUAACGCUCAUUAUCAACAUCAUCGUCAACGUGACUAAUAGGAGUACCUAAACUUUAGCACUUAUAUGCAUAUAUAUAAAUACGACACAUAUAUGGAUAAGAAAUAAUUUCAUUGAUCGAAUGAAAUACCCAAGAUAUCCAAGGGUACAAAAGGUGAUCACUUUAUAUAAUUUAGGACCAAAAUUUCAAAGAAAGUGAGCAAAACAGCUUCUUUGAAAUUUUGACUCCACUCAGCCUUGCAAAAAAAAUAAGCAUAACAGCUUCUUUAGGAGACCCAAAAUUGCAAAGAAGCUGUUAUGCGUUUUUUCUUUUUCUUUUUUUGCAAGGCUGACGCAGUCAACGAUCCAACUCAUAAGAAUGGGCAGAUAUCUCUCAAUGUAAAAAAACUUUUCUUCCAAUCUAAUGGCAUUUAAUCACAGUUGUCCACAGAACAUGAGCGCAAAGAUAAAAAUGACAGCAAGUACAUUCUUUACCAAAUUUCACUACUUAUGACCUCAGUAAUUGACAUGGAACCAAGAUGAAACACUGACGGUUAACACUGAAGAUCCAACAUUGUAAGUAUAUGUUUAUUACCCAACAAAACUAAAAACUAAACUGAGAAACCUGUAAACCGUGACCAUGGUGCAACAGCUAUCUCAUACUUAUAAUAAAGAAAACCCAAUCUUGAUAAAAGCAUCACAGAUAAAUGAAAAAUAUCACGUUCACUUUAGUCUUCAAAGGAGAUUAAAUUUAAAAUGAAAAGGAUAUAACCAGUAUUUCAUACCCAGAGAGAUAUAGUAAGGGAACUUCAACUGAAAGAAAAAAGAUACAUACCAUAAGGUAAACUUCAACUGAAAAAAAAAUAUAUACUAUAAGGUAAAGUAAAACUACCGUGCACAAAAUGAUAAAUUUCUUUUCCAUUAAGCUUCAUCACACAUCUAACUAUCCCACGGUUUAAAAUGUAGCUAUUGAGAAAUGCAGAGAAUAAAUUAGUACCUCCUGUUUGCUGGAACUGUUGCCAUUGACCAGUGCACGUUCUGUGGUAUUGAUUUCUGAAAGAUGUGAAAAGAUACACCUAACAAGCUCAUGAACUGUGUGGCGAGCUAUCCGUUGCAAUAGCUCACCCUUGGUGGCUGCUUGAUGCACUAUGCGGAAACACGUAUUAACAAUUGUGCAGACAUGCUGAUUGCUCAACAUAAUGGAUGCCUUACUUUUCAUACAAGCAAGAAGGACCUGAAGUAUUUUCAUCAGGACCAUUUCUUCUGAUGCAGGAUCUGUUAACUCAAAUCUACAACAGGUAACAGCAUCAACUAUCAAGUGAACAGAGUCUCCAGCGUUCACAGUAUUUUGAUCAAUCAUGUCAAGAGUUAAAAUCUUGUACACAGAGGAUAAAGCAACCCCAGUAAUAGGUGCCCCAGUUUCAUCCGAUCGAACUACAUCUAAAAAUGGUUGAAGAUACACAGCAGGGUUGAUUGUAUGCCACGGAUGCUGCCAUGAAUAUAUCUGUUUCCUUAAUGAUUUCAGUGAUUGAAUUAAAGAGUGCUCCAAUUGAUCAUCACCUGACAUAUAUCGACCUCCCCAUCUUACAUUUCUUCUCAUAACUGCCAAUACAGCACCAAUUUCUGAAUUAAUCAUGCAAGCCAAUGCAGUUUUAUUUGUAUAUGUGACAUCACACUCCUCAGGUUCUUCCUCAAUUGCAUUGAUUCCAGUUUGCAGCUUCAGGCGCCCCAUCUUUGGAUAUGUUCCCUUCACCGUACUAAAGUUUGUUGAGUACUGUGAGAAGAUUGAGUAGAAACCUUGCUAACUUGAGCAAUCGCUGCUUAAGUGGAGAAGAGAAACAUAUUUAUUAGCAAUUCAAAAUUCAACGAGCCCUAAAUUAAAAGUUGGCAUAAGAACUCCAGCUAAAAUUUUCCUAGAAAGAAAAGAUGUACUAGCACAGUUCCAAAUUUAAAAUUUCCCUAAUCAAUUUGAAAAAUUAGAUAACCCAUCAAAGUUAAAAUUUAAGUUCCACUAACCAAAUGAAUAAUAGAUUGACUUCAUAUUUAUAAGUUUCAUUAUAAUAAAGAUAUCAUUCCAUAAACCACAUCCCACAAAGAUUGACGGGAGCAAUCACGCUAGAAGACGGCUCAUUUCAAGGAAGUAGAUGUCUAAAAACUGUUUUUUGUUGUUCAUAAUAGGAAGUUCAUGCUUUUCUAUAUUUUAUUUUUUUAAGGUAAGAAAUCAAACAUUUAUGAAGAAAAAGGAAAGAAUUUACGAAGGCACUAGAAAAAGAAAAAAAAAAGACACCUAAACUAGCUACAAGAACUGGUUCUAGUUCAAAAGAAUUAAACUAAGCUGAUAAAUACAGAAAGACCGAUUAGCAUUACAUAAAGACAGCCUCUAACCUCUAAAAAUUCGGCUAUUCCUUUCAAGACACAUCCUACAAAAUAGCACCCAAAAAAACAAACUAACAACAAUAGCAAUAACAAACAAACCACAAGUUCUUCCUUUAUGACUGUUGGUGAUAUAUAAUUAAUUUUGCCUUCAACCACUAACUUAAACUUUUGGAUGAAUUGAUGGUUUAAUAUGGUAUCAGAGCAGGAGGUCCAUCAAGGUCUUGUGUUCAAGCCUUUGCAUUGUCGUUUCCUCCCCAAUUAAAAUCAAUUUCCACUUAUUGUUCCUUUCAAUGUUUCAAGCCCACAAGUACACAAGUGAGGUAAAAUUGAUUCCCACUUGUUGGGCCUUUCAAAUAUUUCAAGCGAUCAAGCCCACAAGUGAGGGGAAGUGUUGGUGAUAUAUAAUUAAAUUUGCCUUCAACCAUCAGCUUAAGUUUUUUUAUGAAUUGGUGGUUUAAUAAUGGCAAAAGAGAGAGUUCAUCAAAACCUCCUCCACAAUCGAGCAACAGUCCCUAUCACACGUCACAACAACUCCAAACAGCCUAAAAGACUGACGCACAGGAAACAAACAAAUAGGUAGCUCCUCCACAUAUUCCUAUUGAUGACAAAGUAAACACCACUGAAAACACAUCACUAAGGAUGAAUGUUGUUGGACAAUAUCCUGGAUGUUCACUCUACCAUGUAAAACUUAUGGAGCAAAGGACUGCACUUUCUUAAGGUCUGCACCUUCCUAAUAGAGGAAAGACCAAGGUGUUGGUGAAACUCAAAAUUAUGCUAGAUCUAAGAUUACAUGGAAAAGAACCGACCACAACCAUCAGUAGUCAAUAAUCAUAAACAUCAGAAUGAUCCUCUGUGCAAGCCAGAUGAAAAGUCUGCAAAAGGGUAGGAGACAGGAAUAGUAUUGAGUUUGCUUUAGCCUUGAGUUCCAGAAGUCCGCAUUCUUUCUUAAUUUCUUUCUGAUUAUAUAACAAAAUCUCAAGUUACUAGAAACAUGAGUCAAGUAUAACACCACGAAAAACUUGGGAGCAUACUCAUCCAUGAAAGUGCAACUUAUUGGGUAAAUUGAUUGAUGUCUCAAGCAAUAAUCUAAGAGUGUGGAAUGUAAAGUUUGGGCCAUCAUGUCUUUCUUCUUAAAAGAAACAACAAAGUUUGGACAGUAGGGGAUGGGUCAGAGCGGGGAUGAGAAAAUCGCAAAGAAAUGUAACUAUUGAAAUAGGCAACAAAACCUACUUGUUUUAUCAGAAACUUCACCGGGAAUUUUUUCAUCAUUUAACCUAGCACAAAGUGCAUCGACUAAGAACUUUUUUGUGUCAAUAAGUCUACACUCUCAUUAAUCGUAAUUGUAGUCGUCUUGGCAAUGGCUGGAAACACGAACAACAAUUUAAGAAUGGAUAAAGGAGAAAGAGAAAAAUAGCACCCAAACUCGAAAUUUGAUGUAAAAUCUGAUAAACCUUUGAAAUACCCACCUUCAUUUUUGCUCUCCAAUAUUCAUAUUUCAAAUUUCAUAACGGGAACACUUUUGAGAGCUAUAAUACGAAUCUUGUAUCUACAACGAGGAAAAGGGUACACAACCUUGUAUAUGGAUCCAAAUUCCACACACAAAUUCGAGAAAUCCAACAAAUGCAACCUGACGCACACUAAAUUAUCAUAGUUAAGCCCGUAAAAAAGAAAGUGUCAAAUUACAUCCGUGUCAACUAGAGGGAGGGUUGUUGGCAAUUGAAUAGAGUACGUUAUAGUAACUUCCUGAGCAACCCAGCAAGCGGUAAUGAAGGAGAACAAAAGAGAAUCCUACUCGAUCACUCCGGCCACAUAGAUGUACAAGGAAAUGUCUGUAUACAAAUGAAACACAGAAAUGGAGGCCAAAGAUCUAGAAAGAUACGAAUUACCUGUAAUGCGUAGAGGAGCAAAGCCGGUCAACACAGACAGGAAGAAAAGCAGAGAUCUAGGGAGAGAUUAAAGAGCUUCACUUUUGGCAGUGUAAACUUGAUCUGCCAUCCAUGGCCUAGAUGCAAAUCAAAACGAGAAAUGCCUAGUAAACAAGAAAUCUUGCAUAAACUAGGAAUUAUCAAACUGAACAUGGAUCCAGGGGGAAUUAGAAUUUACCUAGAUCAGAAACAAUUGGAAGACGAAAUGAAGGAGAGGUGGCGUCGGAAUGGGCACGGCCGGAACGGCGGUCGGUAAAGGGCGGGGGUGAGCCGUAAGGGAGGCGACGGCCGGCGAGGAGUGGGGGAUCUCCGUUUUCGCGUCUACGACAGUGCGAGUGGAGGAGGGAAGGGAAAUUCUGAAAGAAAUGAAAGAAAGAAAUUUUGAGAGAGAAAAAAAAAAACAAUGGGAGUAUGUGGAAUAUGAAUUUACUAUUUUUUAUUAUUUUUAUUUUUAUUUUUAAAGCUUGGAUUGAAUUUUUCACUCCUCAAAUUUUUUAAAUUUCCAUACUAUCUUAACAUAUGAUAUAAUCGAUCAAUUUUAUUUAUACAACAGUUUUUUAAAAAAUACUUACAUUAUACCAAGGACAAUCUCAAAAGCAACAAAAACUCACAUGUCCACCGUGAAAAUACAAAAAAAUAUCUUAGUCAACAUGCGACUAAUCGGUCAUUCAUAUAUUACCGUCUAAACGAAUUAUUUACGAUCAUUUAGGUCAUUAUACACAAUUGUGUAGUUUUUUUUAAUGAUGAAAAAAAAUACUUCAAAUCUAAACGAUCAUGUUGAUCAUACUAAACGAUCGUGUUGACUAUGGUAAAUGAUUGUUUAGAUCAUAUCAACACAAUUAUGUAAUUCUUUUUAAGCAAUGAAAAAAAUGCUUCAAAUUUAAACGGCCGCGUUGACAAUGAUAAACGAUCAUUUAGAUCAUGUCAAAAUGAUAUUUAAAAGAUCUUGAAAUUUUCGAAUAUGAGGAAUAUAAAGUAGCUUCAAAAAAUCUUGUCAACAACAGUGAACAUGAAGUAGAAUACUUAAAUAGAAGAAUAAAUCAGUUAAAAAUAUAAGAAAGAAAAUCUGGAAAUAGAGAAUGAAUAAAUGACAAAGAAGAAAAAAAGAAAAGUGACGAAUCUUCCACGAUAUUCAAAGGCAAAUAUGGAAAUUAUCAAAAUAUUGUACCAGGUUUUUCAUGGGUUUUUGUUUUUUUGUUACACGUACCGUAAAUAUUUGUGUGUUUCACUACAUUUAUGAAAAUUAACUUUUAUAUAAUAUAAAAAAAUGUAUGUAUUUAAAAUUAACAUUAAUUGUUUAAUACAUAUUCCUUCAUACGUCAAUAAUAUUUACAUGCAUAUUUCUAUAGAUUCGAUAAUUGUUCUGAUCUUUGUUAUUAUUCUUGUGAUUCCCAAAAUUGUUUGGACGUUUGUUGAAUCUUUUAACAACUUUAGAAAAUUGUUUUGUAAACUUAGUUGUGGAACGUGUUACAGUUCAUUAUAACAUUUUUCUAUCUUGAUAGAAAGUCCUUCAUUGUUUAUGGAGUGAAAGGCAACAACUUUUUCCUUUUUUUGUCUUCUGUCGUAAUUGAGCAUCUCAAAAGUGUGUAAAGAUCCAAACAAUUCAUCAAUUUUAAUAUUUCAAUGUCUUAACUUUCCUCUGUUGCAGUAACUUUCAUAUAAAAACGUCCAGGUAGAGAUCUUAGAACUUUUCUAACAAGUUUUGACAAAUUGUAAGAAAUUAAUAUCACAGGUCACAUAUUGUACGAGAUACUUGUUAGAAUUUAUGUCAUAAAACUUGUAGUUUGUAAUCAUAUUCUAUUCAAUAAAGUCGUUAUUUAUACUUUAAUCUUAAAGUUAAUAAACUAAGGACUCAAGACUAUUAUUUAGUAAAUUUGAACUUUAUUGAACUUUAAUCUUAAAGCUAAUAAACUAAGGACUCGAGGCUUAAUCUUAAAACUAUGAACUCUUGUUCGCACGAGAUUAUUCUUAGAUCUGCAUAGGUGAUGACAACUCAUUAAUGUUGGCUCAUUAAACCUCCCAUUUCAGGGUAAGAUUGGGUGAAUAAUUGGGGACAUAAGGUACAAGACGUAAUUCACUCCUACCAGAGUUAGUAGAUAGGUUUCUCUUAAUGACUUAAUCCAAGUCUUAAACAAGGGGCCCCACCCUCUAGUUGGCCCGAGAGAGAUUCGGUUUAGUAGUUGAACCUUAAACCAUUUGUUCAAUAGCGAAAGUUGUGCAAAACUAAAUGAUAGGUGAAGAAUUGGGCGAAUAAGAUGAAGAGAUGGGGAACAGACGCGAAAUCGGUGAUUUGGCGGUGAAGAAAUAUCCGAAGAAGAUGAGAGAUGGGUUUCAAAUGGAACAAAAAAAAAUUAGGGUUUCAAAUAGAACGAAUGAAACUAAACUGAUUUGGUCGUGAAGAAAUAUCCGAAGAAGAUGAAGAGACAUGUUUCAAAUUGAACAAAAAUUUCUUAAGGUUUCAAAUGUAACAAACAAAGCUAAACCGAUCGAAGUCCAAGAAUGAUUUGAAUGUUUGCAGAGAUUUUAACGUUUACAGAGAUUAGAUUGAGCUUCCCAUUAAUGACAAUAUGUAUAAUUUUAUGUUUUUUUGAAAAAAAUUAUAUUUUCAUAGGGUUUAAUUUGAUGUGAGUUACGUGAACGAUUACUUAAAUAUAGGUAUUUUUAUUUAGGAUUUAAGUUUUUACCUGUGUAAGGGCAUUUGAGCUAUUGUCACAUCUAUUUUUUUUCUUUUUCAUAUUUUCUGUUUUUCUAUUAUAAUAAUUUUGCUAUUUUUAGGAAGUCCUAAUUUUUCAUUGUUCUUAUAGGCUCUAAAAUUAAAUUGUCAAUAUUUUAUAUUUUACCCUACUUUUAUCAUUUACUUAUAUUUUCGCGUCAUUUUCAUGAUAAAUUUAUUAAUGACUACGUUUUUGUCAUUUUUUUUAACAAUGAUACUAUUUUUAGAAUUAACUUGAGAGUACGGAGGAUUUUUUUUAAAAAUAAUGUAAAAUUUGAAACAUAUUUCAAAAAUAGGGUAGUUGCAAAACUAUUUUCAAAAAUAGGUGUUUUGAGGUGAAGUCGUGGACGGGGUACACGACUUCCAUGCAGUGGCCCCCACA
Molecule: long non-coding RNA, 127674 nt
Filed under: Cucumis sativus (cucumber)
Lineage: Eukaryota; Viridiplantae; Streptophyta; Magnoliopsida; Cucurbitales; Cucurbitaceae
Description: long non-coding RNA (CSAT_LNC001809)
Source: RNAcentral